AGGCACACACCUAUACUCGAAUUCAUAAUUUCAAAUUUAGUGUGAAAAAAAACUUAUUCAUCUUAACAUCGCUUGAUGAUAGAAAUAAAUUGUACACCAGCAAAUGGGAUACAAUGAAUAGUACCCUCCAUUUUCUCCAAAUAAAGUUGGCGUUCUUUAUUGGCGGCUAACAUAUUCUAUUUUUCUAUUGAAUAUAAUAACAAUGGAAAAGAUAAUUACACUCUGCACGAAAUUUGCAAAUAUAGUACUCUAAAGAUCAGAGAGAUGUGCCUGUCUUGGAAUCAUUAUUUCUAUGCAAUAUAAAUUACUUAAAAUAUAUUCAAAGUAAAAGGUCCAGAGCAGUGUGACGGCCACGCGGCUCUUUCGUACAAUAGUAAUUUCCGAGAUGCCCCUUAAAGUAAAAAAAAUAUCCAAGUGGAUAACUUAAUCUUUGCUAUAAAUCUGAGCCUUGUUCUUGCUGUCUUUGUAUCAAUUUAGCUAACCAAUCUAGAAAGAGACAGCAGCUAUGGUGUCCGCUACUUCAAGUUUUCUACUUCUUGUUCUUGUUUCUUCUUCCUUCUUUGUAAUAGAAGCCCAGAUACCUGCUCCAGUGAAAGGUCUUUCAUGGUCAUUUUAUCAAACCAGUUGCCCUCAGCUUGAAUCCAUUAUUAGGAAGAGGCUUGAAAAACAGAUCAAAGAUGAUGUUGGCCAAGCUGCUGGCUUACUUCGCCUUCAUUUCCACGAUUGCUUUGUUCAGGUAAUUAAUAUUGAGAAUGGAGUUUAAGAAAAAAGAAGAUUUUUCCAACAAAUACUAAAGUACUCUAGAAUAUGCUAUGAUAUUUCAACACAGGAGCAUGUUCUUAAGAGUACUGUUGAAGAGUUUCUAGAUAUAAAAUGUGUCAUUCUUUUUAAUACAUAAAAAAAUAAUACAAGAGCGCAUUGAUUAUGUUACUUCAAAGUAGAUUAACUCUAGUAUUAAUUUUGAUGGAUAUGUAAUGCAGGGAUGUGAUGGUUCAGUGUUGCUAGAUGGAUCGGCAGGAGGGCCAAGUGAGCAAACUGCAAUUCCUAAUUUGACACUAAGAAAGAAGUCAUUCAAGAUAAUUGAUGAUCUUAGGAAAAGGGUUCACGAUGCCUGUGGGCAAGUUGUAUCUUGCUCUGACAUUACAGCCAUUGCUGCUAGGGACUCUGUUGUCUUGGUAAGACCAAAACUCCCAUUUAGUCCUUGUUUCUUGGUUUAGAUCGUACUAGUUUACUAGGCAGAAACUCUUCAUUUUCAUACCAAAACUAUAUGUUUUGAAAGAUCAUAAUAAGAUAUGGAGUUCAUUUACAGAAAAAGGUGAUUUUCUUUUUUCUGAAUUUGGGACAGGAUAAAGGUGAGAUAAUGACAGAUAAAAUUUUUAAAGACUGAAGGCGUCAUGAAUGAUAAAAUUUGGGACAGGAAAAAGUUGGUUUUUAUCAUUAAUUUCAAAGAACUCGCCCCCCCCCCCCCCGUCUUCAAAUUUAUACUUGUCAAAUCUCUCUCUCUCGUCUGUUUCAUAUCCAUUUUUUAAAAUUUUGACUUUUAUAUAUUGUCAUAAGCUAGACUUAUUGGAGUAUUUACUUGUGAGCUUAUGGUCAUUUCAGACUGGUGGACCCAACUACAAUGUACCCUUAGGAAGAAAGGACGGACUCAACUUUGCAACAGAACAGGCAACCUUAGACAACCUUGUUGCACCAUUUGCCAACACCACAGUCGUCCUCAGUCGCCUUGCAACUAAGGGUUUAGACGCCACCGACGCCGUCGCUCUAUCCGGGGCCCACACCAUCGGAAUCAGCCACUGCACUUCCUUCACCGACCGUCUCUUCCCUAACCAAGACCCAACCAUGGACCAAACAUUCGCUAACAACCUUAAAACCAGUUGUCCAACCGCGAACUCCAACAACACUGUCGACAUGGAUAUCCGAACCCCUAAUUUAUUUGACAACAAAUACUACGUUGAUCUCAUGAAUAGGCAAGGGCUUUUUACUUCUGAUCAAGAUUUGUUCACUGAUAGAAGGACUAGGGGAAUUGUCGAGAGCUUUGCUAAGAACCAGUCACUGUUUUUUGACAAGUUUGUGAUUGGUAUGAUUAAGAUGGGACAGUUGAACGUGGUGACCGGUGGAAAUGGUGAAAUCAGGACUAGGUGUGAUAGGAGGAACAAGGAUAAGAAGGUUGAUAUUGCUACCGUUGUUGAAGAUGUGGAGGAAACUUUCUCUGCUUUGUUUUAAGUUUAAUAAUCCUUUGUUUUAUCUCGGGGAUAAAAGAUUUUUAAUGCUUUUUUGUAAUAAUAACGAGUGUCUUAGCUAGCAUAAUAAUAACCUUUUGUUUGUUAAUGUAAUGUAAGAAUAUGUGUUUUGGAUCUUAUUUUUUCUUCUGAAAAAGUUUGCUAGCUCCAUGGCAUCAUAAUUAUGUAAGUAUUUAUUGUUUACCCGUAAAGCGGUAUAGUUGAUUUUAUACGUGUUUUCUAAACAAAUGAAUUUAUUUGAUCCUAAAAUAGUAAAAUCAUCGAAGAAUUAUUUAUGCAAUACUUAAGUCUUAAGAUAUAGACAAAAUAGCAUAAACAAUAGUUCCGGGAACAGAGUUUUCGGGCACAACAACAAUAAAAUAAAAAAGUAAUAAGAUAAGACUGUAUUGAGCUUUGUGUAGAAUGUAGCGUAAAUUUGCCAGAAAAUUCGUGUCCUUUACAAUGACAAGUGAGCUCACUAUUUAUGGCUUCUUCCUCAAAGUGUACCGGAUUUUCAAAGACCAAGAACAAGGCCGAUGACUCUGCUCCUCCAAUAGUGGGCUCCAUCAUCCCUAGAAGUCUUAUUACCACAAAAGACUUCGAAAAGAAAUUUUCUACUGCUAACUCUCGUACAUAGGUCGUCAGUGGGUACCCUUCUUCCAUACGUCCUUCUAGCAUUCCUGUUGUGAAGGAAGACUGUCACUGCCAUGACUUGGAAAUUAUUGCUCCUGAUCUAUCGGAGCGAGUCUCCCUACCGAAGGAGGGUUUUACAUAUUUUUACACGUAUCCCUUUACUUUGGGUGCGUCCUCUUUGAGCGGAGAGCUUGACUCCGUGAUUGUGGAGUUUUGCUUCCGCUACCAAGUGUGUUUGGCACAAGUAAGUCAUUCUGUGUGGAGGACGGUUGCUUGCCUUCGGCGUUUGUGCCAUGAGACUGGAGAAGAGCUAAUCUUAGCUCAUAUGAUGAAUCUCUAUUCUCCCAAAAUCUUCCGCGGGGGAAUGAUAAACCUCUAUAAACGUGUCCACCAUGAUUUGUUGUCUAGCAAACAAUGACCGUGGGUGGAUGGAACGGUUCGUUGCAGCUGCCACCAACGACAUCAUUCCGGCAAUGGCUCCAUCCUUUCCGGCCGCUUGGAAACACAUUCGUAAGCUCUUUGUUUAGUAUUUCCUUUUACUAAAUAUUUUUCUAUAGUCGUAUUGAUCCUCCAUCCUUCGCCUGGUUUAACAACUCGAUGGAUCCCACCGGUGGUUGAAGGUUUGGAAAUGUGGGUACAAAAGAUUAUGGACGUUACGAUGCCCGAGACUCGCUUGUGGAAAGAACUGCCCCCUAAAUACUGGUGGAAGGCCUAGAAUCGUGGUAAUUCAAACUCACCUUGUUUCAAUUUUUCAUGUGAAGAACUUGAUUGAUCCCUUCUAACCUGUCUAUGAAAUUAGGUCUACCCGCGAGCUAUGUUGAUAUUCCCGAGAAGAAUGUCUUGGCUGAUCCUGCCGAUGCCCCCGAGUCAUCUCCGGUAGUGAUGGUGACUGGCCCUCCUUCCGGGCCGCUCAUAGACACCGUGACGAUCGACGAUGAUGAAAAAGCUAGUGAUGAGGGAGCUUCUCUACAUAGAAGAUGACAAUCCUUAUCAUCUCAAUAGGAUGCUCGACCUGUUGAGAUAGUUACACCAACCGAGGACGAUGCCUCGGCACUUUGGGGAGAGUUUGAUUUGGUAUAUUAUGUCAACUCCCAUUUUCGGGCCCCAAUUGUUGUGCCCGGUACUGCUGGGCUGAGAAUCCAACAACCAGCACUACCUUUGAUGCAACUGCUUCUCACUCUUCAACUCCAUUAGCUUCAUCUCCAUCUUCACCAACACUACCAACUGCUACAUAACUUCCAUCUUCAUCCACUCUUCCACCAGCAAUUGCUACAACAUCUCCAUCGGCCGUACCUGACCAUCAAUAAGGUGUUCCUCUUCCACAAAACCCUGUUCAUGGGAAUUUAGGGCAAAAUUAUGCUGCCCCUUCUGAAGAUCCGCAAAGGAGGAGGAAUGUUACUCUUUCGGUCUCUACCGGAUGUAACUUGCUAUCCCGAUGAAUGGAGCUUGCUAAUUAUUUGAAGCCUUUGGCUUCAGAGAAAGACUAGGAAAAGAUUCUGGCACUCUUGGGAGAAUGUCUGUUGAACAACGCCAUGCACAAUGCUGCAGCAGUACAUUCCUUUCUUCCUUUAUUACUCCUUCUAUUUUUGGGUAUGAACAUAUCCUAAAUUUUACCCUUCUUAGUUUGUGGGGCAACUUUCUUGCUUUUGAGGGCCUUGAGAGGUUGAUUCGUGAAAAGGAAGAGAUUACCUCUGCAUGGGAUCAGCUUUUGGCAGAGCAGGAGCAACAUAUCGCUCGCCUUUCGGAACUGGAAGCCAAAGCUUCUGAGGUUGUUGUAUUGGAGGCUCGUUUGUGGCAAGGCGAGCAAGAAGUGGUAACCCUUAGCCAAGAAAUUGGCAUGCUGAGGGUUAGAUUUGACGAAGCCAAGGCCAAAUGGGCUGAAAUUCAUAACACAGUUCUUGUUGCAACCGAACAUGAGACUGCCUCCGCUGAAAUAGUGAUCAACUUAGAGGUAACCUUGAACUCAAAAAUUGAAGAGCUUCCUGCUACGGGGGCGAAACACGCCUAGCUGGAAGAGACGUACAGGAAAACUAUCGAGCAUAAUAGGCUUUUUAGUUCAACUGUACGUGACCUUGAUGUUAGCUUUAAAUCUGCUAUGUCCUCCCGGGAAAACCUUUCUAUCGAGGUAACCCAACUCAAAGAAGAACUUAACUGCGGAGCGAUUUCCCUCGACUUUGAGAAAACUUACGCUAUGUACAUCAUGAGAAGAAAAACCUUGGAAGAGGCCAAAGUUGGUGUCAUUAAUUUUGAUGCCGAAAUUGCUAAGGCCCGUGAGCUUAAGUUAGCUGCUAAAAGUGGACUCCCAGCGAGGUCUGAUGCACCUAGUCCUUCUGGUUCCAUUUUCGAGUUCUGGAGAACUGAAGAAGAAUCGGAGGAUGAUGAUACUAAAGGCCAAACUGGUGAAAAUGUUGAGCCAUCGGUGCGUCUGUCUACUUCUCCCGGGGGCGCGGACACUUCUCUUCCUCCUAGUUUCGGAGAUAAUACAGUUUAGCUUUUCUUUUCUUUUUCCAAUUCUUGUACCUGUGCCGUUUUAACUCUUUUUUUUUUAAAUAAAAGCAUCUUUUGCUCAAGUAUUGUUUGAGUCUUCAUUUUGUUUGAAUAUUCAUGCAAGUCUUUAAUAUUUGCAUUUUCUUCCUUUUGCUUAAGAAUUUUGCGCAAGCUUUUCUGUUUUGCGUCUUAUUAUACGAAGCCUUGGGUGUAUUCUCCCCGAAAGCAUUUUCGGCUUUGAGCAUCAACCCUUUUUUGUGAGGGCUUUGAUAAGUAUUUGCACAAGUUUACUUUUUGCGUCCUUUCGUAUGCGACUUCGGGUGUAUCUUUCAUCGAAUGCAUUUUGAUUUUGGGCAUAAAUCCUUCCGGAACCAACCGUUUAACGUGAGGGUUUUUAUAAGAGAGGGCCCUCUUAUGUUUACGACAUCUCUUGUUCAUUACGACACUAGCAUUUGAAGUAUUUGUUUAACUUUCAAAUGACAAAGUUAAUUCAUCGUUCAAACAAGAAACAAGAUAAAAACAAAAGCAUUUCAUUUUAUUCCUUCUAUUUUCAAAAAGUACAUAUGCAUUUGCUAUAUUGAAAAGAAAUUACCAUUACUUGUGGCUAACUUGUAUAACUUGUUUCUACGGGGCUGUCUGCGGAGUCCCCAGUCCCGAUGAUGCAAUUAUAUUUCCGUUUUUUUGUUUCCCAGUUGACAUGGCAGUCAUUAUUGCCGUAUCCUCAUAUUAUCCCCCCCCACGUAUUCAAAUGCGAAAAGUGCGAAUAGGAACACUGGAAGUCUUGUAUCUUCAAAUAUUCUACUAAUGCACCUCUAGUGGUUUGUGCUCGUGAACGAUCAGGUAACCUUUGCUCAAUAGCAAACUUAACUUCCCGGUGGGAAUUUUCUAUAGAGAAAAAGAUUAUCUAACUAUCCCCGAGUGGAUCCUUGUUUGUGUGCCUUGCUAUUAAAGGUCUUAUUGUUGUUGUCUUCGUAGUAUGCUUUCUGUUGCUGCCUCGUUAAAAACCUUGCCAGAAAAACCUAAUUGGGACAAAAACUGAACGAAGGGAAAAAGAGUGCAACACAUACUUUCUGAUUAGAUAAUGUUCAUCAGCAAUAAUAUCUUUUGAGGUGUGCCACGUUCCAAUUGCUGGGAAAUAUUUCUCCAUUUUGGUUUUUCAACUCGUAUGAACCUUUCCCAGUGAUAGCUGAAACCCGGUUGGGGCCUUCCCACAUUGGACCUAGCUUCCCCGCAUUGAGCUCAUGGGUGUUUUGAGUUACUUUCCUUAGGAUCAAGUCUCCUGCUUUCAAAUAAUAGAGGUUGGCUCUUUGAUUAUAAUACCGCUUCAUUCUCUGCUUUUGAGCUACCAUUCUUACAUACUCCAAGCCCCUGCAUUCAUCGAGCAGUUCCAAGUUGACUAACAUUGCUUCAUUGUUCGAUUCUCCAUCUGCUGGAAAUAUCUCAAGGUGGGUUUCACUACUUCCACCGGGAUUAAAGCUUUUGCAUCGUACACGGGGGAAAAUGGGUUUCUCCUGUGCUUGACUUGGUCCUAGUUCGGUAUGCCCAUAGAACUCUAGGUAAUUCCUCGGGCCAAUUACCCUUAGCCGCUUCCAAGCUUUUCUUGAGGUUUUGAAUAAUCAUUUUGUUUGUCGACUCUGUCUGUCCGUUUGCGCUCGGAUGAUAGGGUGAAGAUGUGAUCCUCUUUAUUUUUAAAUCUUGGAGGAACUUUGUAAUUCUUGCGCCGAUAAAAUGUGGUCCAUUGUCACAUGCUAUCUCUUUUAGAAUUCUGAACCUGCAAUUUAUAGUUUCCCACAAGAAAUCCACCACUUAGCAUUCUCCGAUCUUCUGAUAAGGACCUGCUUCCACCCAUUUAGAAAAAUAGUUAGUCAAAAUUAAUAGAAAUCUUACCUUUCCAGGAGCUGGUGGCAGUGGUCCGACGAUGUCCAUCCCCCAUUUCAUGAACGGCCACGGGGACAGAACCGAAUAUAAGGGUUCCGCCGGUUGAUGCACCAGUGGUGCGUAGUGUUGACACUUAUCAUAUUUUCGUACGAAGUAUUUGGCGUCUUGUUCCAUGCGAGGCCAAUAAUAUCCUGCCCUUACCGACUUCAACACUAAGGAAUUUGCGCCCGAGUGGUUUCCGUAUAUCCCUUUGUGAACCUCUCUCAUGACAUAGUUUGCUUCGGAUGCCCCUAAGCAUCAGGCCAGCGGGCCUUGGAAAGAGUUUCUAUACAAUUGGCCUCUCUUGAAGCUAUAUCGCGCUGCUUUGGUGCGCAUCGCUCGGGGUAGUUUGGGGUCUUCAGGUAGCUUCCAGUGUUUGAGAUAAUCGAUGAUUUCAUUCCUCCAGUCCCAGACCAGAUUAGUCGAAUUUACCUCAUAUUAACCAUCUGUAUCCAGGACUGAGUUCAUCAGUUAUGCUACCGUCCUGGACUCCGACCCUUUAUUUCCGUUAAUGAUCCUAGGUUUGCCAAUGCAUAUGCUUCUGCGUUAUCUUCCCUUGAAAUAUGAGUAAUUGACCAUUCCCGGAAUCACGCCAACAGAGCCUAAACCUUUACCACGUAUUGUUGCAUGCACUUCUCUUUGGUCUCGAAGAUCUCGUAGACCUGAUUUACCACCAGUUGUGAGUCGCAUUUGAUUUAGAUCACCUCAGAGUCAAGUCCCCGGGCCAAUUCGAACACUACAAUCAAAGCUUCAUACUCUGCUUCGUUGUUAGUUAAAUAGACCGUCUUGAUGGCUUGCCUUAGGGUUUCCCCCGAAGGCGUGAUUAAGACUAUACCGAGCCCGAACCGUUUUACGUUGGAAGCUUCGUCCGUAAAUAAGGUCCAAAUCCCUAAUGUCGAUUUUGACACCAUUACUGCCUCCUUGGUUUCCAGAGGCAAUAAUCCCGAACUGAAAUCGGCCACGAAGUCAGCCAAGACUUGCAACUUAAUUGUAGUCCUUGGUUUAUAUUCUAUGUCGAAUUCACUCAUUUAGAUGGCCUAUUUGGCCAAUCUACCCGAGAUCUCGGGUUUAUGGAGGAUGUUUCGCAAAGGAAAAGUAGUCACCACGGCUAUCGGGUGGCAUUGGAAGUAGGGCCUCAGUUUCCGAGCGGCGACUAUGAGAGUUAAGCCCAGUUUCUCCAAAUGUGGGUAACGCGUUUAUGCUCCCGUUAAAAUUUUACUAACAUAAUAAAUGAGAGAUUGCAUACCUUCAUUCUCUCGGACUAAAACCACACUUACCGCAACUGUCGAGACCGCGAGUUAAACCAAUAAUGUUUUACCUUCUUUUGAUUUUGAAAGCAAUGGAGGGCUUGAAAAGUAUUUCUUUAAAUCCUUCAAAGCCUGUUGGCACUCAGGGGUCCAUUCAAAAUUAUUUUUCUUUUUUAGCAGUGCGAAGAAAUGAUGACACUUUUCUGAUGACUAGGAAAUGAACCUGCUUAAAGCUGCCAAUCACUCUGUAAGCCUUUGGACUUCCUUCACGUUUGAUAGUUGAUCUAGAAUGUCUUCUAUGGCCUUGAUCUUAUCGGGGUUUACAUCAAUUCCCCUUUGUGAUAUGAGAAAUCCCAGAAACUUACUAGAGCUGACCCCGAACGCGUAUUUCUCUGGAUUAAACUUCAUAUUAUGCCUCCUUAGUAUGUUGAAAGUUUCUUACAGAUGUUUAAGAUGAUCACCUACAUUUAAAUACUUAACGAGCAUAUCGUCUAUAUAAACUUCCAUAGUUUUUCCUAUUUGAUUUUCAAACGUCUUGUUCACGAGUCGUUGAUAAGUGGAUCCGGAGUUUUUCAACCCGAAGGGCAUCACAUUGUAGCAAUAUAUACCGAAAAUCGUUAUAAAUAAAGUUUUUUCCUGAUACUCCUGGUUCAUCUUAAUUUGAUUGUACCCAGAAUAAGUAUCGAAAAAACUCAUUAACUCGUGCCCAGCCGUGGCAUCAAUCAUUUGAUCGAUGUUUGGCAGUGGGAACGAGUCUUUCUGGAACACCUUGUUAAGAUCUUUAUAAUCUACACACAUGCAAAACUUAUUGUUCUUCUUAGGAACUACUACUACAUUGGCUAGCUAGUCUGGAUAUCUUACCUCUCGGACCGAACCAAUAUUAAGUAAGCGAGUUACCUCUUCUUUGACGAAUUUAUUCCUGGCUUCGGCAAUCGAGCGUUUCUUUUGUCUUACCGGAGGUAUGUUGGGAUCUAAGCUUAACUUGUGUACGGCUACCUCUGUUGGGAUGCCUGUCAUAUCUUCAUGCGACCACACAAAAUAAUCGGUGCUAAAUUUAAGGAAUUUAAUAAAGUCAGACUUGAGUUUUGGGUCCAGUCCUAUCCUCAAGUGGAAUUUCCUUUCUAGGAAUUCUUCGAACAAUGCCACUUUCUCCAGCUCUUCCGCUGUGGAUUUGUUUGCAUCAGUCUCUUCUGGGACUUGGAAAUAUCUCGGCACCUGACAAUAUUCUGACGCCUCUGCCCCCGAGUUAACUUUAUCUAGUUUGGGAGUAGGUGUUGGUCCCUGUAAUUGCUAUGCUAAGUGUUCCUUUCCUUUGCUACUGGAGACCUAAAUUGCAUUCAUCUCCUUUGCCGCCGGUUGAUCACCCCUUGUAUGCUUAAUCCCUUCGGGCAUUGGAAACUUCAGCAAUUGAUGAUACAUUGAUGGUACAACUUUUAUCUCGUGCAACAAUGGCCUUCCCAGAUCCCAUAUCACCAUCUACUACUUUGGAAAAAGUUGUUUUCAUUACUCCUUCAGCGUUCGUGAGUAAUAAAAUUUCUCCCCAGGUUGUCACACUUGCGAGGUUGAAUCCGGCGAUGAGCUUUGUGGCCGGAAUAAUGCUUUCAGUGAGUUUAGCUUGCUCCAAUACUCUCCGUUGUAUAAUAUUAGCUGAACUUUCUGGAUCCAUUAGAACAUAUUUAAUCUUAAAAUCUAGCUCAUUUAAAGAAAUUACAGUGCGUCGUUAUAUGGUAGCAACAAUCUCUUUGCAUCCUCCUCCGUAAAAGUGAUAUCGUCUUCCCGAAGCCUUUUGCUAUGCGUUAUUGAUUCUUUCAUGUUCUUUGCUGCUGAAAAGGUGACCCCGUUAAUCUCGUUCCCUCUGAAUAUCAUGUUGAUUGUUUGACGCAGGGGAUCUUCUCAUGCUUUUGAGGGUUCCGCAUUGUCCCGGUUAUGACCAUAAUUGUUCUUAGCUCGGUCACUCAAGUAUUCUCCGAGGUGAUCAUUCUUCAAUAAUGUUGCCACUUCUUCCCGGAGGUGUCGAUAGUCUCCUGUCUGAUGGCCAUUCGUCCCGUGGUAUUCAUACCACAAGUUGGUAUCCCUCUGGCUGGGAUCAGAUCUCAUCGGUUUCGGGAACCAUUCUUCUUUGAUGUUUCUCAUGGACCACACCAACUCCACUGUACUGGCGUUGAAGUUGUAUUCCGAUAACUUUGGGUAAGAAGGAUACCGUGAUCCUGACACUUCUUUAUCCUGCAGUGAUCGAUUGUUCUGACCACGAGCAGUCCUCCUGUCAACGACGCAUCUAUCCGCUGUCCGGGAACCUCUGUUGCGACCUUCGGUCCGUUCGUAAGGCAAAAACUGGCCCCUCGAAGUCUUUCUGUCCGCGUCAUAAUCAUCCUUUGAUUUUUCUCUAUUCUUUUCUCAUCCUUUGGUCGACGAUGGAAAACCAACUUUAUCAUCUUUGAUCCUUAUUUUUGAUUCAUACCGGUUGUGGAAAUUCGCCCAGGUCGUUGCUUGAAACUCGAGUAGGCUUUCCUUCAAUUUUCGGGAAGUGUCUGAACUCCUCGGAUUCAAUCCCUUGUUGAAUUCUUCAGCCGCCCAUUCAUCUGGGAUAGCCGGGAGCAACAUUCUCUCUUUCUGGAAUCAGGUAACGAACUCUCGUAGAAGCUCGGACUCUCCUUGCGCAAUCAUGAAUAUGUCAGCCUUUCAGGCCUGUAUCUUUCUAGCCCCGACAUGAGCCUUGAUGAAAGAAUCUGCGGGCAUUUCAAAAGAGUCUAUGGAAUGCUCGGGUAACAGCGAAUACCACGUCAAGGCUCCCCUCGUGAGGGUUUCUCCAAAUUUCUUUAGCAACACAGAUUCAAUUUUGUGAGGAGCUAAAUCAUUUUUCUUUACCGUCAUUAUGUAGGUGGUAAUAUGCUCCUGGGGGUCUGCAAUUCCGUCAUACUUUGGCACUUCAGGCAUCUUGAACUGCUUCGAGAUUAACUAUGGUACCACACUUGACUUGUAUUAAAAUUGAGUAUACCUUUUCGAGUUCGGACCUUUCAGCACUGGUGGCACACCCGGGAUCUUAUCCAUGCGGGCGUUUACCUCCCUCAUAAACCGUAAAAGUUCACUCUUGAAAGGAUCAUUCUUGUUGUUGAGGCCAGAUCCGCUCCCCCUGCCUUAUCGGAGCCAAUUUCAUCCCUGGGAGUGUUGUUGUCGCCCCUCUGCGUUGUUUGAUUUACGGGGAUACCGGGAGCAAUCGGAUCUCGCAUGUUUGCAUUAUUUGAAGCUCUCGACAGCACCUAUUUCAACUUCGUCAUGACCUUAUUCUGUCGCGUGAAGUGGCCUAGAAUGAUCGCUUGUUGCUCUUGCAAGACCCUUACAACGUCAACGACAUGUUCCUCAUUAGCAUCAUCGGGAGUGGUCUCCCGAACAUAUCGAGGAUAUUGCUUAUCAUACACCGGUGUAGCGCCAUUUCCCUCAUUAUGGGUGUCACUAAUUGAGUCCUCAAAAUGAGGAUGAUCUACUCGAAUCUCGGGGUUGUGCAUGUCGUUAACAGUGUUAUAUGUCAUUUCUUAUGAUUUUUUCUAAGAUAAAAUAAUCAAAACACGUUCGUAAAAAGGCAAGGGUCAAUUUAAUUACACGGCUGUCUAUGCCCCACGGUGGGCGCCAAACUGUUUACCCGUAAAACGGUACAUUUAAAUUUAUACAUGGUUUCUAGACAGAUAAAUUAAUUUGAUACUGAAAUAGUAAAAUCAUCGAAGAAUUAUGAAAUACUUAGCAUUAGGAUAUAGACGAAACAGCAGAAGCAACACUUCCGGGAACAAGAUUUUCGAGUACAACAACAACGAAAUCAAAAAGUAAGAAGAUAAUACUAUAUUGAGCUUUGUAUAUAAUGUAGCAUACGUUUUUCAGAAAAUUCAUGUCCUUUACAAUGACAACUGAGCUCACUAUUUAUAGCUAUGAAGGAAGUCCUAGGAUCGUGCCCUUCUUUAAUGUCAAUUAUGAGGAAUAUUGGUGAAGAUGUAACGGUGAACAUAAAUGGUAAAUUCCCUGUAACGGGUAAUUGCUCUUAAUGCCGUGGAAUAUUCUCUAUUAAAUGCUACCGGGCGAAGAGCAUUUAUCACAUCUUUAUGAACGUUAUUCUUUUCGGUUACAAACAAAACAGUUGCCUUCGGUCUUUGGUCAUCCCCCGUCUUGGAUUCCACGUGUCUCUUUUUUGGACGGCCACGUGUCAUAACAUAUUUUACCCUAUACAUUUAUAUAUUCACUUUUACUGCAAAAGUAUAGCCACAAUGUGUCAUUAUUAACUAGAUGUGCGCAUGGCCGUGGGACUUUAAUUCUAGUAAUGUGGGGGUAUUAAUAUAUUUGUAAGUUACAACGUUAAUAGGUAAAUUUCACAAAUAGUCAUAUAACUAUGACCUUUUUUCAUCAAAGUCAUAUAACUUUAUUUUCUCACACAAAAGUCAUAUAUCUUUCACCAUCUUACUCAUUUUUUUAAUUUUUUAAUUCAAACUAAUAAAUUAUGAUACAAUUAAAAUAUGUCCGACCCGACCCGACCUAAUAUCCAUAUCCACAAAUUAAGGUAGAUCGUUUGAAUUUUCAACCAGAAAUUCUUUAAGGUAGCCUCAAAAUACGAUACUUCUCAUAAUUAUGCUUACCAACAAACUAUACAAUUUCAUGAAUGCAAAACAAUUAUCAUGCUAUUUUCUUUUCAGUUAUUCGGUUAUUCCUGGACCUCUCUCCUUAUGUAAGUAUCUUAUUUGUGAUAAUGGGUAGGUGCUUCAUAGAUCCAUGACUAUCCUGUCACAAUCUAUUUAAUUCUAAGGAAGUACCUAAUAGUAAAAAUCAUAAAGUAAAACAUUCCUCGAACUAAAAGAACUUUUAUGGAAAAAUAGAACUACUUUUGUAGGAGAACGAGCAACACUAUUGAACAAAAUAUUGCUUACUAAGCAAUACAACAAAUAAAAUAUGCGUCAACCAAAAGACAAAAGCAGACACAAUAUAUUGUGUCAUUUUAAGUGUAUGCCAUUUACAAAAGAUAAUUUUUUUUUUAGACAAACAUCCCUAUUUUGUCUUUUGAGAGUUUACACAUCUUCUUCACCACAACUUGCACAUAAUCUUGUAUAACGUUCUUCUUGACUUCCCUGCCUCUUUUUUAUACUUUCACAACUUCAGUGGCACCUUGCAUAAUUUUAUGACCAUGUACAGCUCUCCUGGCAACAUCUUGUUCAGCAACAUCCUAUAAAACAAUGCAACACCAUGAAAAAUUAAUAAAAGAUGUAUUUUACGUCUAUAGUUGAUUGAUUUCUUAAGAUGAGGUCCACAUCUAUCCUUUCUGCAUUUUGAGGUUGUUGAAUGAAACCUUGAAUAACCCACAUCUCUGGAUAAUAAGUGUCACGACCCAAACUCUGGUUUAGACCGUGAUGGCGCCCAGCACCCUUGCUAGGCAAGCCGACAGUGAACAAUCUAGUAAUUUUCAUUUUUAAUAAGUCAAACAGCUAACUUUCUUUAAAAAUUUAGAGAAUUUAGCAAAUAACGGAAUUUAAAGUGAACAAAAUGAAAACAGCUAAAUGAAAUCAUAAACGUAGAAAUACAACCUAAAAUCAUAAGUCUACUAGCUAGUGUAUGUCAAGACCCGGUGUCACAAGUAUAUGGGCUACUAGUAGAAUAUACAAAAGAAUUCUAAUCUACCGUCUAAAAUGGGAUAGACAAAACAAAUAAACAAAGAAAAAGACUCCGGCUGCUGCAGAACGACUCGAAAGGGUAGCUCACCGAGUAGUCUUAUAGCGGGGAUCAAAUAUGCGCAUCGGGCUGGUAAUCAGAUGUACUUGCCUCAGAUCCUGCACAAUCAAGUGCAGAAGUAUAGCGUGAGUACAUAAACAACAUGUACCCAGUAAGUAUCUAGUCUAACGUCGAAGAAGUAGUGAUGAUGGGUCGACUCUGACACUUACUAUGGGCCAACAAUAAUAUAUCAAAUAUAUACUAAGCAUGGAUUUCAUGAACAAUACUGAAAGCUCAAUAUCAGGAAAUAGUAAAUUCUUCUUUCGCAAGUAUUAAAUCCCAAGCUUAGUUUCAUUAUUUAACAGCUUGCAAUUCAAGGCAUUUUAAGUGUAAAUCAUGAAUAGUUCCAAAGUUUUUCAUGCGCAUAUCAUGCCAAGGUCGUACGGCCCGAUCCAACAUAAUAUUUAAACUGUGCACUGUCGAGGGUCAAACGGCACGAACCAUAGAUACAUCUAUCUACUAUCGAGGCGUUCGGCCCGCUCCAUAAAUAGAAAAUAUUUCAAAUAACACACAAGUUCUCAUUUAUAGUCAAGUGUUCCAUUCGCAAAUUUAAGUAAGUAACUUUAACCUUUUUCAAUUCUUUUAUCAACUCAAAUAUGCCUUAAGCAAUUAAAUCAACAAAUGAGAGUGCAAACAUUUCAAGUAUAGUAUGGUAUAGGUCCUAGACUACCCGGACAAUAGCAUAAUUAGUAGCUACAUACGGACUCUCGUCACCUCGUACAUACGGAGCCCUACACGUAGGAGCACAUUUUAGUUAUAAUUUACCUAUGGGGUUAAUUCCCUCUUAUAAGGUUAGAAAAGAGACUUACCUCGUCUCAAAGCCUACUUCCCAAUUCAAGAAUGCGCUCAAACCUUCAAAUUUGAUGCCAAACGACUCGAAACUAGUCAAACAUUUCAUAAAUCAAUCAAUCUAUGCUCAGAAGUUCAUAUUUUUAUUAUUAGAGUGAUUACCCAACCCAAAUUGCAAGAUCCCUAAAAUUCACCCCGGGGCCCACAUACCCGGAUUCCAGAAUUAUUUGAAGAAAGUUAUUACCCAUAAUCUUAGGAACAUAAAUAUAUGAUUUUCACUAAGUUUCAUAAUCAUUUUCAUGGUAAAAUCUAAUUUUUAUUAAACCCUUGAUUUUUCAUCUAAACCCAUGAUUUCUACCAAUUUUCAUAUUGAAAUCUACCCAUAAUCUAUGUAUUAAACUCACAUUAAGGUAGGAAUUACUUACCCUCAAUAGCUAGGUUGAAGUCUCCCUUUUUGAAGCUCUAAAAUCUCCCAAAUGUGUGAAGAAUGGGAGAAAAAUGCCUAAGUCCCGUAUUAAAUGAAGUUCACUGUCUUCAGCAAUUUUCGCACCUGCGGUCAUAGGGCUGCACCUGUGCCCUCGCUUCUGCGGACAAAAGUCCGCUUCAGUGAAACUCCCCUGGACCGGCUGGCGUCACUUCUGCGGAUGGGUAUCCGCUUCAACGGAGGAUGGGCUGCCCUUCCUUGGCCGCUUCUGCGAGGUUUGGCUCGCACCUGCGGCUGGCCAAGCGCAGGUGCGAUUAUGAUAGACCUGAUGCUUCAGCUAUUGCUCCAAAUUCUCAUCUUGGUCUGAGCCUCGUCCGAUUGACACUUGGGGCCCCCGGUUCCCCGCGCAAACGUACCAACAAGUUUGGAAUCAUAAAACGGACUCUCUCGAAUUCUCGGAACACCCGAAACAACAUCAAAACUAAGAAUCGCACCCCAAAACCAAUUGAAUCAAACUUAAGAACUUCAAGUUCUUCAAUUUACUCCCAAUGCACUGAAACGUACUUAAACUACACGGAAUGACACUAAAUUUUGCGUACAAGUCUUAAAUGACAUUACAGAACUAUUCCCGAUCUUAGAAUUCCGUUUGACGUUGAUAUAGCCAAAACCCGCUCCAAACCAAAUUUAAAGAACUUCAAGAUUCUUCAAGAACCAACUUUCACUAUUAGGCGCCAAAACGCUACAAGGUCAUCCAAAAUCUGAUUCUAACAUACUCCCAAGUCUAAAAUAUCAUACGAACCUAUUGGAACCGUCAAAUACUAAUUCGAGGUCGUUUACUCAAAAUGUUGACCGAAGUCAAACUUGGCCUUUUUAGCCAACCUUUAGGAAUCAAGUGUUCUGAUUUCAACCCGAAUCCUUCCAAAUCACGAACCAACCAUCCCCGCAAGUCAUAUACUAAUGAAAGCACAUACAAAAAGUCUUAUUUGGGGGAACGAGAUUCUAGAAAGUAAAACGACCGGUCGGGUCAUUACAAUAAGUAUUUGACUAGCCCAAAAGGUAAGAUCUACUUACACAAUAGACAUGGGAAAGCCUUUUAUUUUCUCUCUCAGUGCAUGUUAGGUGACCUAGCUUGUAACACCCUGAAAACGUUUGAAGUGUUUUAAGACUAUUAAGAAGAUUGGUGGGUGCCAAUUAUAUUAAUUCGAGUAUGAACAAGACUAAUAAUAUGAAUGAUAUCAAUUGAUCAUGAUAAUAUAUGUAUGAGGUUCAUUUAGAAUGGUUUAUGAUCCAAGCAGAGCCCUAAGGCUAAGUCAAGUUGUAAAUUAUAUAAUGGAGUAAAGUUUCAAGUGAGUUCGCACAAGACAUAACUUCAAACGAGCAUAAAUCUCAUGAUAUGAAGAGUUAUAUGGUUUAUCACAUAUCUAAUUAAAGGUCUAUGUGUCUAGUUUCUAAUACUUCAAACCGUUCAUCAUUUGGAGGGUUUUACAAGGAGUUAUGACAUUUUUACCAAAGGAUAGUAGAACAGCUAUGUGAGUCUUGCGUAGCUUACACACCAUGCGUAGGCAAAUCCAACAGGUGCUAAUAGAAGAGGAAUGGUCGGACAUCCUCUGUAACCUUUGUGCGUAGCCUACGCAUCCAUCAGACUCAUUUUUAAAAUGUAGAAAUAAGGGUUUUGAGAGAGAAAGUGUUAGUUCUUCAACUUGGAAUUGAUUUCUAGAGAGAACGGGAAGCUCUUCCACCAUGGAUACACUUCAAGGUAUGUUAUUUUGGUACAAAGAUGAUUAUAUUACAUCAUUUAGUAAUAACACUAAUACUAUUAUGGAUCAAAUCCAUAGAAAAUGGGUUGAAUCUUCAAGAACAUCAAAAAGAGGAAAAGUGAGAUUCUUCCACCAAGAGGUAAUCCCUUCACUUGAGCUUCAUAUAUAUGUCAUAUUGGAGUAUGGGUAGCAUAUUUAUGAGUUUUAUUUGAAGUUGUAAUGGGAUAUUAAAUGAACCCUAUAAGGGUGGGCCUUGAAAAUGAUAUUUUGGGUAAAAAAGAAGAUGAAAGUGAUGAAUUGAUAUAAAUGAAAUUGCUUUGAGUUUCUAAUGAUUCCAAUAGACUUGAUAACUUAAUUGAUGAACGAAUUGAAUAGGAAAUCACCAUUUGGACAAGAUGCAACACUAGUUCUUGAAAUGGGUGUUCUUGAACCUAGAGUUUUGUUGGAGAAGACAAUGAAUAGUGACUUGAUGAUAUUGGAUAAUUAACAUAGUGUUAUUAAAGACUCUAAAUGAGUAUUAAAUGAUAAGAAUGGAAUUGAAUAGGCUAAUGAGUGAGCCUAUUGGAUAAUUUGGGAUGGUUGUAGGCUUGUUGCUGAAUUGUGAAGCUUAAAAGAAUAUUUAUAAAUUUUUUUGUAUUUGUAUUGAUGUAUUUAUGAUAUCUAAUGGUAGAUACUGAAUUGUGAGCGAUAUUUGAUUAUUUUAAUUAAUUGGAGCAUUGUAGUAGUUUUGGAGCUUGAAGGUUGAGGUAAGUUGAUUAAGACUUACUCUUCUUGAGGAAUUCUCUUUAAAGCAUGUAUUAAGUUGAUCUAUUGUAUUAUUUGUAAAUGUGCAUUCGUACUUGUGGAGACAUGCGAGAAAGAUGUCACAAUGUGUUUCUAAAUUAUUGCUUAUGAAGUGUCAUGCAAUUUUAUAAAAGUCUUAUUUUUAAAACUUGGUUGCAAAAUGACACUUAAGGAAAUUCUUAUAAGUUUUAUUAAAACUUAUUUGUUGAUAAGAGUAUAAAAUGCUUGAGUGCUAAAUAUAUGUUUUCAUGAAAAAAGUUUAUCUUUUGAAAUUACAACAAAGGAAGCACUUGUUGUAUUUUUAGAUUGAUGUUAUUUGGUAAAGGCUUUAACAUGAAAAAGGAUAUUCAUUUGAUUUUGUUCAAAUAGUUUAGAUUGUCUAUGAAAAUCAUGAUUCGAUAAAAAUAGAUCCUUUGAGGUAAUUAUGCUAUGAAUCUAUUUUUGAUAUGUCAAAUAUUUUGGGAGUUACUAGCGGAGACCACCGAGAUUGGUUCGAAUGUUGAGUUCGUUACCAUGAAACUACACGUGCCGGUGUAGGGACACAUUCCAAGGCAAAGCCGAGGUUUGUGGGAUAAAGUCCCCCAUUGAGAGGGAAGAUGAUCAUUACUUAAAGUAAUGAGGUUAAGUCGACUCGUACGGCACUACGGGAAGCCGCCCAGACAAGUAGGGUCAAAUACUUGUUGCUAGGAUGAUCACCUAGUAGUUGUUCAUUAUGUCAGUGUCAGUAUAGUACUCCCGGUGAAAGAAAAAAGAGAACUUUCUUAUGUUUAGGCCUAAGGAGUCGAAAAUAAUUUCGAUGACUUAAUGAGAUUGAAAUGGUUUUAUAUGAUUUCUAUGAAAAUCUUGGGUUGAUAGAGAUGUUCUAAAAUUUUAUAGCAUGGCUUAAAUUUCACUUGUCUUUUAUUUAAAAUGAUAAGAGCAUGAUUUAUAUAAUUGUUUAUCACUUUAUGUCCAAUAUUGGUUGCAUAGUUUUUUAAAAUCUUGUCCCAGGAACUUGAGUUAAAGAGAGUCUAUGUCAAUUAUUGAGUACCGAUGUGGUGUACUCAACCCUUAGAGGCCCAUCUCCAGGGCUCCACUUAUUUUACAUGUUUCAAAAUGAGGUAUGAUAUGUGGCAUGCGGUCAGGGCUAGGAUGACUCUCUUCCUGAGGUAUAUGGUGAGGCACCGCUCCUAUUUUAUGGUAGCUAUCAUGUUGUUUUCUUAAUUUAUACUAGUCGGGUAUUAGCCCUAUUGUUUAAUUCUAUUCUUUGGUAUAAACGCUUCAUAGAUAGUUGUGAAACGUUGUAGUAAUGGCAUUGUACAUGACGAACAUGAAAAGAUACUUAUUUUACUUAGUCUCAUUGUAAUAAUUAUUAGAAGCUUCAUGUAUAUUUGAAUUGGAAAAAUAUUCCAUUGUUUAACUUGAAAAUAUAUAAAAUUUUCAAAGAGCUUCCGCAGUUAAAUUAGUUUUCAUGCAUAUGGUUUGGGUGCAUCAUAUUGGUUGGUUCGCUCGAGUCGGAUAGUAUGCCGGGUGCUGGUCACGUGGAUUUGGGUCGUGACAUAACUAACUUGCGCCUUCGCUAGAAAUGGGAGGAAGAGGAAAAGCGAAGAAAAACACUAGUGGUAGAAAGGAAACUAACAGACAUUACCAUGCGAGAACAAGGAAAACGAACAGCAAAAGCAAAAGACAAAAUGCAAGAGGAAGAUCAGGAUCACGAAAUUGACAGUGACCUAAAUUGGCCAGAUCUGGGUAGUGCUCGAGCUAAAUUGGAAACGCCGGUGAGCUCAGGAACUCAAUUGAUACCUGUGGCGAGCUCUGGAGCUAAAGGACCAAUUAUAGUGCCGAUCACAAUUGGUGAUGCGAGUACGAGCAAGUUACAAAGAAAUAGAACAGUACAUGUAAGCUCGCCAAAGGAACAGAGGCCUGCAGAGAUUGACAAUAGGAAAAACACUCAGGAGAAGAAACCAGAGUAGGCUGGAGAUGGGGGAAGAUGGCGGGCAGGGUUGUUCCAGGAGAACAAACUCGCAGCUAAGGGUAUGAAUCUAACAUACAUUCCCCCCCGGGUGAUGUAGGACGGGGAAAUCAUAGUACAACUACUAAAAGUGGACAUUGCAGAAGAAAACCAGAAGUGGAAUCGAGCGAUGAUCAUGUAUGUGAUGGGUAAUACUCCAACUAUUGGAGCAAUUGAACGCUUCAUAGCUAACCAGUAGAGUAAUGUGAAAAAACCUAAGGUACUCUUCCAGAAUGAUGGAUAUUUCAUAAUUUUGUUGAAUAGUAGUGAAGAGAGGGAUGAAGUACUGCUGAAUCGUACUUAUACUAUCAAUAGUAGGCCAAUCUUAAUUAGUCCAUGGAUGGCAAGAUUUUAAUGAAAAAGAUCUGAAAACCAUUCCUCUAUAGGUCAAGUUCCCUAAGCUGCCGCUCAACUACUGGAGCAAACUAGCCCUAAAAAAAAUUGGGAGUAGUUUAGGCAAGACCCUGUAUGCUGAUGUGUGUACUACAAUGGCUGAUAGAGUUUUCUAUGCUAUGGUCUUGAUUGAAAUGGACAUCAUUAGGCCCCUACCAGAGAAAUCAAACUACAUGAUCCUAAAGGCAAGGUGAUCGAGCAGAUGGUGCAAUUUGACUGGAAAUCUCAGUACUGCCAGACCUGUUGUCAACUAGGUUACUCGUGUAGAGAUUAAAAAAAAGCAGAAGCAAGAGGGUGGACAUCAGAGAGGUCUAGAAUUGAAGCAAAACCAGGAAUGGAGAAUAGUGAGGGAGUUUGACCCUAAUAUGGACAAAAUUGAUGCUCAAGGCAUGUUCCUUAAUCAAUUGGAGUCAGCAGGAGAGGCGCAACCCAAUAGGGGUGGGCAUAAUAUCGACCGAAUCGAAAAAACUGGCUGAACCAAAAAUUUUGUUUUAUUCUAUUUUUAUUUUUCGGUUUAUUCGGUCAGUUUGCGGUUUAUAGUUUUAAAACGUUUGGUGUUCGGUUCGGUGAUCGGUUUUAAUGGUUCGAUUUUCAGUUAAACCGAAAAAUCAAUUUUUUUAAUCAGUUUUUUUACUCUUAGUCCCUUAUCGUGUUGCUCUUUCUUAGCCUUAAAGCCCAAAACUCAUUCUCAACCUAUAGAAGCCCAAUCCAUUGGAUAUUCUAACACAAACACAACUCCAUUUAUAUAUCCGUCCACUUCUGAAUUCUCCUUGCUUAUUUCUUUCUUCCAUCCAAAAAGUACUUAAUAUGUUUGUUUGAAGCACUAAAUUGAAAAAAGAUAGAAAAUAUUAAAGAUAAUUAAUUCAUACUAUUGAAGUUGCUGACUUACUGUUAUAGUAAUUUGAUUGGAUCUCCACUCUAUACAUUAGUUAGAUAUAAGAUUUUAAUUUUUUUUCCUUCUCUUGUUUUCCCUUCUCUUCACUUAUUCACGGCCUCAUCCAUAAUUCAAAAACUUUUAAGAAAAAAGAAACUAAAAAUAAAUCAAAAGGAAGAGAGUAAAGGAAAAGACAAAAAAAAAAGAAGGAAGAACAUUCAUAAAGCAUUGUAUCAGUUGUUGAUUUAUAAUAUUACUUCAUGAAUGAAGUAUAUAUAUCACCGCAAACUUUUAAAUUCUAUAUAUGGACAAACAUAAAUAAAGUUUACUUUAUAUUGGAUCAUCCAUAAUAAAUAAAAUUAAUUAGUAACUCAAAAAAAUAAAUCAUGUCUCAAGCUCUUUAGUUAAGUUGGGCUUCCAUAACUCUUGCAUAAAUACUCUUAUCUUUUUAGUGUAUUUGAUGGUAUUUCUUAUUUCUUUUGUUAUUUACUGUCAACAAGUAAUCUAUUUUCGUUGUUUUGUACUAUUUUUGUCAUGGUUUGAAAUCGAAAAACCAAACCGAACAUGAAUAAACCGAACUGAACUGAAGUUAUUAUGGUUCGAUUUUGGUUAUUAAAAUCACAAACUGAAAACCAAAUAAACCGAACCGAAAUUCUAUAAAACCGAACCGAACCAACUGAUUCCCACCCCUAUAAUCCAACCAGCAGGGAAAUGACUCACAAUGGCAACUUGCUAGAGAAAAGUCUGUAUCAAAGAAGAAUAUAGGACCCAUAAGAGAGAAUGAAGUAGGCAUUGGCAAUGCCUUCAAAGCACUGGUUGACACAACACAGAAGAUAGUGCAACUAUCUGAAUCUCAAGGUACAAAAGGGCAACAGAGUAGAAGUAAUAGAGGAGGAGGCCCACAACAAACAACCAUAUUAUGAUGAUCAUCAUAGCAUAGAAUGUUAGGGGGUUGAAUAAAGUCUAUACACAAAAAGAACUAAAAAAUUACAAGGAGAAUAAAGUGGUGAUUUUUGAUGUUAUAGAGAAUAGAGUAAAGGAAAUCAAUGCAGGUUCAAUAUUGAAGAAGAUACUUAACAGCUGGUAAUGGGCAGGAAAUUAUGAUGAAGUAUCAAGUGGUAGAAUAUGAGUUGUAUGGGAUCAAUCACAUGUGGAGUUCUCUGUGAUCAGAAUAUAUGAACAAUAUAUAAUGGGGCAUGUUACCAUGAUCCAGCACAGAAUCAAUUUCAAUUUAUGUGUUGUCAAUGGAAUGUAUAUUAUACAAGACAGGAAAAGCCUAUGGGAUGAUUUAAAGGUGACUAUGAAUGGAGUCAGUGGCCCUAGCUUAAUAAUGGGUGAUUUUAAUACUAUCAUAUCUAAGUAAGGAUAAGGUACAUGGAAAUCCAGUCCAGGAGAUAGAGGUAAGGGACUUCAAGAACUUCAUACUUGACACAAGACUAGAUGAACUUAAAAUAGUUGGAUGAAAGUUCACCUGGACAAACAACCAUAUCUAUAGUAAAAUUGAGAGAAUACUGGUAAAUGCAGAAUGGAUACAGAACUGGCCUUACAUAGAGUGGGCCUAGCUUCUCUGAUCAUUGUCCUUUGAGUGUGUUUUUUUAUGGUACUAACCAAGAAGGUAGGGGACCUUUUCAAGUUUCUCAAUUGUUUGGAAAGCCUCAAUGAUUUUGAUGCAAAAGUAAAGCAAUGCUGGAAAACUAGUAAUAGGGGACCUGCCAUGCUUAAUGUGUGGAAUAAGCUCAAAGUGCUAAAAGGAGCCCUAAAGUAACUGAAUAAACAAGAGUUCGGUGGUAUUGGGUAUAAGAUUCAAGUGGAAAGGAACAAACUGGAAGGCAUCCAAGCUCAGAUGACUAUGCCAGGACAUGACACUGAGGCAAUACUACAAGAGAAGGCUGCAAAGCUAGAACUAGAAAAAUGGCUGAUGGUUGAGGAGAGUGUCUUGAAGCAAAAGUCAAGAAUUCAAUGGCUUAACUAGGUGAUUAUAACACAGUAUACUUCCAUGCUUGCAUGAAAAAUAGGCAAGCAAAGAAUCAUAUUGGCAAGCUGACUAACAGUGCUGAGCAAAUCCUUCAAAGUGAAACUGAAAUUGAGGAGGAAAUAUUUAGUUUCUACAAAAGACUACUUGGUACUGCUGCUCCACAACUGCCAGUAGUUAUCCCAGAUAUCAUGCAUAAUGGUUAUACUUUAACUAGGAAUCAACAACUAUAGCUUAUCAAACCAGUUACUAAAGAGGAAGUAAAGCAAGCUAUAAUGGAUAUUGAUGAUAAUAAAGCACCAAGAUGUGAUGGUUAUAAUUCAUUCUUUUUUUUAAAAAGACAUGACACAUCUUGGGUGAUGAAGUUACUGCAGCAGUAAUGGAGUUCUUUAAAACUGCUGAUAUGUGCAAAGCCAUCAAUUGCACCACUAUUACCUUGAUACCAAAAGUUAAGAACCUAACUAACAUCAAGGAGUUCAGGCCAAGUUCCUGCUGCAUAAUGCUUUACAAGAUCAUAUCUGAAGUUCUAACAGCAAGGCUACAUGAUGUUAUAGCAGAUUUAAUAGAUAAUUGCCAAAUAGACUUUGUACCAGGUAGACUGAUCACUGAUAAUAUCAUCAUGAGCCAUGAGCUGAUGAAAGGCUAUGAGAGGAAGAACAUCUCCUCAAGUUGUAUGCUCAAAAUAGAUAUACAGAAGGCCUAUAAUUCUGUUGAAUGGGUGUACAUUGAACAAGCGAUGAAGGUGUUGGGAUUCCCUGAAUUGUUUGUGAAAUGGAUAAUGGCCUAUAUCUGCACAAUGUCUUACUCAGCAAUAAUCAAUGGUAAGCUUGUUAUGCCAUUUGAGGCAAGGAAAGGGCUGAGACAGGGUGAUCCCCUAUCCUCAUUCCUAUUUGUAAUGGCCAUGGAGUACCUAAGUAGACUAAUGAAGCCACUGAAGGACAACAAGAAGUUUAAGUUUCAUCCAAAGUGUGCCAAAGUCAACCUAGUUUAACUGGGGUUUGCUGAUGAUCUACUUCUUUUCUGUAGAGGGGACUUAAAAUCAGUGAAGAUACUCGAUUAAUACUUUUAAAUAUUUUCUACAGCCUCAGGCCUAAUUGCACAUCCAAACAAAAGUUGUAUUUACUUUGGUGGAGUGAGCAACAUGACUCAACAACAUAUUAUGGACAUGCUAGGAUACUCUAAAGGUGAACUACCCUUUAGAUACCUUGUAUCUUACUGAGCACUAAGAGGUUAUUAGUUAUUCAAUGUGAACCUGUAAUUGACAGAUUGUUAAGUAGGAUUCAAAGCUGGACAACAAAAUUUCUAUCAUAUGCUGGAAGAGCAAUGUUAGUAAAGAGUGUUAUAUUUGCUAUACAGACAUUCUAGGAUCAGAUAUUCAUUUUGCCAAGGAAAAUCAUUCAGUUUAUAGAAUUAAUUUGCAGGAGAUUCUUAUGGACAUGAGUUGUUGAACCUACUAAAAGGCAUUGAUUGCCUGGGACAAACUGUGUUCCCCAAAGGUAGCAGAGGGCCUUAAUAUCACCAAUGUGGAGUUAUGAAACAAAGAAGCUAUUUGCAAGCUCUUAUGGAAUAUUUGCACAAAGAAGGAGAAACUGUGGGUACAAUGGAUUCAUUCAGACUACAUAAAAGGAAACACUAUCUGGAAUACAGAGCCCAAGAGUGCAUCAUGGAUCAUCCAAAAGAUAUUCAAGGCAAAAAACUACUUCGAGGCUGCUGGAUUUACAGAAGAGGAUGUACAUCAUAUGGAGAGAUUUCUCUAUGAGACUGUUAAGUCUCGAUCAAGGACAUAAGGUCUUGAACAACUUCGUAUUAUGUGUAUUGAUUUGCGUGCGUGGUGGAAUUCAGUUAUCGGAUGAUUCAGAGUCAAAUUGGAAGAAGGAUGCAAGUUUUAGAAGCUUAAGGCUUAGGAUUUUGACCGUAGUUGGAGUUGUGUUAAGACAACUCCGGAAUGGAGUUACAGUGACUCCAUUAGCUCCGUUGGGUAAUUUUGGACUUAGGAGCGUGUCCGACCUGUGAAUUUGAGGUUUGCAGCUGAUUUAGGCUUGAAAUGGUGAAAGUUAAAUUUUUGGCGAUUUUGACCGGUAGUGGACUUUCUGAUAUCGGGGUUAGAUUCUAAUUUCAGAUAUUGGAGUAGGUCUGUAAUAUUGAAUAUGACUUUUGUGCAAAAUUUGGGGUCAAUCAGACAUGGUUUGAUCAGUUUCGGCAUUGGUUGUAGAAAUUUAAUAUUUCAUCGGAGGAUGAUUCGUGAUUUUAGAAUUGUUUGAUGUGGUUUGAGGGCUCGACUAAGUUCGUAUGAUAUUUUAGGAUUGGUUGAUAUAUUUGAUUGAGGUCCCAGGGGCCUCGGGUAUGUUUCGGAUGCUUAACGGAGGAAAUAUUGGACUUAGGAAAUUUCUAAAGUUUGCUGGUUUCUGGUGUUUCGCACCCGCGGUGGGGGAACCGCAGGUGCGGGGCUGCACAUGCGGAUGAUUAAGCGCAAGAGAAUUUGGAGGGAGUGGUCUGGGGCCGCAGGUACGAGGUGAGUUCCGCAUCUACGAUGGAAUUUCCACAGGUGCGGAACCGUAGAUGCGGUUGAAGGCCCGCAAAAGCGGUUUGACGUGAAGAAAAAGGGCUAAGUGCGAGGGUUUGAUUUCAUUAUUCUUUUUUGGACUUGAGAGCUCGGAAUUUGGCAAUUUUUCGAGGGAUUUUCAGAGGAAGCUUUGGGAUUUGGGCCAUUCGAAGUCAGAUAUUCGUGGAAAGGCCUUGUUAGUGAUUGAUUGAGCUUGGUUCGAGGUAAGUAUCUUGCUUGACUUUGUGUGGGGGAACUACCCCUUAGGAAUUGAGUCUUUUAUGCUAAUUGUAGUCCGAGUACGCGAGGUGACGAGUACGUGCUCGGACGUAUUUGUGGAAAAUUUUCCUUUUAGGGUUCUUAGGUCCUUGUAUUCACUGAAUAUGCAGUUAUUCCCGUUAUGAUUACGUUUCUAAAGUACUAGUUUCACUUCUACCUUCUUUUAUUAGAAUUAAUUGCUUCAUGAUCCACUCUUGUUGUUCAUUUGAUUCAUAUGUGCCUAAACUGAAAUUGUUAUCUCUUCUAUUGCCAUGUUGCAUUUUCCCUAACUGCUUAUCUUUAUUUGAAGUUGUAGUUAUCCCGUUUGUAAAUCUUCACCCUUAAUUGAGGUUAUGAUUAUCUUUUCGCCGCCUACCUUUAUUUGAAGUUGACUUGCCCUUAUUUGGAAUUAUUUGACUCUUGCUAGUUUUCUUGUUGUUGAACCGUAUAUUGUGGGAUCAUUGUUACAUAUUAUUUUCGUCCCUGUUGAGCUAUUCUUAUUACACCUAGUAUUCUUUAUUAUGGCUAUUCCUUGCGAACUAGUUUUACCGUUUCUUGAAAUCGAAGGUUCUUGAGUUGAUUUAUUUGUCGUACCCUCGUAUUAGUGUUAUUGUUGUUGUUGUACUUGUUGUUCUUGNNNNNNNNNNNNNNNNNNNNNNNNNAGCUGGUAUGAACUAUGUUAGGACACUUGCACAAGCAUACACGUAGUUAAGUCACUCUUUCGGUAUAAGAGGUUUCCUUGAUAUUGUUGAGUAUAGAUGCACACCCUCGCUUACUUGCCUUCUAUGUGAGAAUGGCUCUAUUUGGCACGCGAGUCGUUAGUGCGGUCAUGAUGUGUAACAAGGGCACAUGAUGCCAAGUGUUAGGGUUCAGGUAUUGAGACCCGUGAUUUGUGAUUUGUCCGAGGUUCGGAACCUCGUGGAGUUUAUUGACUAAAACCCGGUGUGAAAGCUGUCGUAUUGUUGAGUUGUUACUCGUCCUUUCUUUAUAUGUGAUUAUCGAACUUAGGUUGUGUUUCCGUUCAUUCUUCUAUGUCAUUAUUAUGAGUUUCCGUUGAUAGUUGUUAUUUUCCUUCCUUAUUGAAAUUAUCAUAUUAAUUACCAUAUCGCGUAGUCUUUAUGCAGAUUUCAUACUCUGUUAUUUCUAUACUUAUACUUGUUCAGGUUAUUUAGUCCAGUAAGUGUCUUGACUGUUCCUCGUCACUACUCCACUGAGGUUAGUCUUGAUACUUGCUGGGUACCGCCGUGGUAUACGCAUACUAUACUUCUGCAUAUUUUUGUGCAGAUCCAGGUAUUUUGAAGUCAGUUGAUCAUUAGCUAGCUGUGCGGACUGUUGCUAUGGAGAAUCAAGGUAAACCUGCUGCUGCGUUCACAGGCUUCGGAGUCACCUUCCUAUUUUGUAUUCACAUUGUUUUACCUAUUUCCAAACAAUUGUAUAUAGAAAUUUGUAGCAAUCUUUGUAGAGCUUAUGACUUGUACUACCGGUUUUGGGAAUUGUAAAUUUUUUUACAAAGAACUCCAUUUCAAGUUGUUAGAUGUUAUUUAUUAUGGUUGUUAUUCAGUAAAUGUUAGGCUUACCUAGUCCCUAAGACUAGGUGCCAUCACGAUAUCCAACGGAGGGAAAAUUGGAUCGUGACAAGUUGGUAUCAGAGCUCUAGUUUCAUAGGUGCUAUGAGUCAUAAGCGAGUUUAGUAGAGUCUGGCGGAUCGGUACGGACAUGUCUGUACUUAUCUUCGAGAGGCUACGGAACUAAUAGGACUGUUUCACUUCCUUCAUUCCUAGCGUGCGAGUUCAUUGAUCUCGAAGUUUGAACUUUUAUCAUUCCAUUCUCUCACAGAUGGUGAGGACACGAGCUGCAGUCAUUGAUGACAUUACCCCCGGAACAGAUAUCGCUAGGGGCAGAGGCCAACGAGGAGCACGUACCGCAGCUAGGGCACCUACCAGAGCAGCAGUUGAGGAGCCGCCAGUAGUUCCAGUUAGGGGGGAGGGGCAGGUACCGGAGGCGUCUUCUGUUACCCCCAGACUUCAGGAGACCUUAGCAUAGUUCCUGAGCAUGUUUGGUACAUUGGCUCAGGCGGGGUUGAUUCCGGUUGCACCAACUACUUCACAGACCGGGGGAGGAACUCAGACUCCCGCUGCCCCCACUCCAGAGCAGCGAGUUCAUGUUGGUCAAGUUCCAGGUGUCAUGGCGACACAGUCUGUGAUUCCAGUUCAGCCUGAGGUUAGGGCAGCAACAUCCGAGGAAGAGCAGCUUAGACUUGCAAGGUUAAAGAAAUAUUACCCUCCUACUUUCAGUGGUUUGGCUUUAGAGGGUGCACAAGGUUUUUUAGAGGAGUGCCAUCAUAUUCUCCGCACUAUGGGCAUUGUUGAGACGAGUGGGAUUGCUUUUACUACGUUCUAGCUUAGGGGAGCGACUUAUCAGUGGUGGCGGGCAUACGAGUUGGGUAGCCCGGCCAAGUCAGCUUCACUUAUAUGGGUUCAAUUUUCAGAGAUGUUCUUGAAAAAGUUUGUACCUCAGUCCCUUCGAGAUGCAUGGCGUGCAGAGUUUGAGCAUUUGUGCCAGGCACUAUGUCAGUGUCAGAGUAUGCCAUUAGAUUCAGUGAUUUGGCCAGGCAUGCACCUGCUUUGGUCACUACAAUUAGAGAGCGUGUCCGUAGAUUCAUUGAGGGGCUCAGGCAUGAUAUUCGGUUCAACAUGGCUCGGGAGUUAGAGUCGGACGUUUUGUUUCAGCAGGUGGUAGGGAUCGCUCGUCGAGUAGAGGGCAUAUGGGAUCAGGAGAGAGGAGACAGGUGAGGUCAGGAGAGAGAGGACAGGGAGGCGAGGAGGCCUCGUAGACCGGAGAGAUCUACUGGUCCUUAUUUUGGAGGCGGGUUAUGACAUGGUAGAGGUUUUGUGGGUCAGCUAGUUCAGUUUGCACUUCAGGCUUCGCACAGUAUUUCAGGUGCUCAUGGGUUUCAGAGUACCCGUACCACACAGUUCCCAUAGCCACGUCAGUAGAAAGGUUGCUUCGAGUGUGGAGAUACCAUCCACAGGGUGAUUGAUUGUCCUAGACUCCGUACAGGUGUGUCACAAUAUAGUAUUCAGGCGAGUAGAGGGCACCCAAAAGUAGAAGGCUCAACCCGUUGAUGUGUUUCAUAUAGUAGGCUUGAGGCCUUUGCACCAGAUGAUGCCAUACAGGUAUGCUUUUGAUUUGUUACAGAGGGACACCAUUCGUAUUUUGUUUCAGUUCUGCUUAUCGGGGCGAGUUCCCCUAUUUGUUGUCCCACCUAUGGGUGAGUUCAUGAUUUAGCAUUAUGUUUAUGUGUUUGCCCCUGUUGGGAGAUUCUAUGAGUGAUAGUCGUGUCUAUCGUUGUUUUAAUUCAUUGUUGAAAGUUACGAGACUAGAAGUGAAUUCAUGUUGUCUAGUAUGGCAGGUUUGAUGUGAUUCCUGAGUAAUUUGGUUACGAUUUGUGAUUGGAUACUCUACCCGGGGUAACAGUUUAGUAAGUGUUGUGAUUUUAUUGGCAGAAUUGAGUUAAAGGAAGAUUUCCAUUGGUAUGAUGUGUAUUCGACUUGUGAUUCCACGUUGAGGGUGAGACCCUCACGAUUCCAUAUGAUUUGAUAUGUUUGAGCCGGGCUGCGUGCUGCGGUAGAAGUUAUAUCAAGAUGAGAUACUUGUGAUUUGUUCAUAUACCUUGAUUCUUCCUUUUUAAAUUGAUUCGUAGUAUGGUACUGAUAUAGAGUUUUGCCUGUCGGGCUUGUUUAAUAUUUCUCUUAUGUGUUUCUAUUUACAUAUUCAGUCAUUUUUGUUCUGUGCUUCUUGAGUUUUAGCUUGCGGGGUAUAUGUCCGGUGGCGUUAGUUGUGACGUGUUGAUUCGGGUGUAUAGUUAAGAGGUCUUCACAUUUCUUGUAUCGUUGUCAGUGUUGUGAAGGUUUGAAAUAGGGUUCUAACGGAUAUGAGGCUAAUUGCCGGUGCUGGUUUUGAUUACGGGCAGCUAUUGUGAGCAGAAAUGUUAUCAUGGGCCUAAAUGUGGUGUGUCACAUUGUGUGGUUGUACCUUGCGGUUGUAGGCAUGAGUUGCUGAAGCUAGGUGAGACUGAUACCGGGUAUGGAUUUAGAAUCAAGUCUUUUGGAGAUGAAUUGAAGGUGAGAAUUCUGACUGUAAGCCUUAUCGGUGCUGGUAGAAAGGAUAAAUUAUAGUUCAGAUGGUGUCAUAAGGCUUAUAUGGAUUGGGGUGACGUGGGGUCACUCGCGGGUGUAUGUUGGAUAUGUGCUUUCAGUGAUUUGAAGACUUCGAGGCGAUUCUUGGAACGUUCGAGGACAAACAUUUGUUUAAGAGGGGAAGGAUGUAAUGACUCGGCCGGACGUUUUGAGAAUUUAAGUACUGAUCGGUGGCAUAAGGUCCUGAGCAGCUUCGUAUUAUGUGUAUUGAUUUGCGUGCAUGGUUGAAUUCAGUUAUCGGAUGAUUCAGAGUCAAAUCGGAAGAAGGAUGCAAGCUUUGGAAGCUUAAGUCUUAGGAUUUUGACCGUAGUUGGAACUGUGUGAAGACAACUCUGGAAUGGAGUUCCGGCUGCUAGGUUAGCUUUUUUGGGUGAUUUUGGACUUAGGAGCGUGUCCGGAUUGUAAAUUUAAGGUCUGCAGCUAAUUUAGGCUUGAAAUGGCGAAAGUCAAAUUUUUGGAGACUUUGACCGGUAGUGGACUUUCUAAUAUCAGGGUCGGAUUCUGAUUCCGGAAGUUGGAGUAGGUCUGUAAUCUUGAAUAUGGCUUGUGUGCAAAAUUUAGGGUCAAUCAGACAUGGUUUGAUAGGUUUCAACAUCGGUUGUAGAAAUUUGAAGUUUCAAGAUCUUUUAGUUUGAAUCGGAAGAUGAUUCGUGAUUUUAGCGUUGUUUGAUGUAGUUUAAGGGCUCGACUAAGUUCGUAUGGUGUUUUAGGAUUGGUUGGUAUGUUUGGUUGAGGUCUCGGGGGCCUCGGGUGUAUUUCGGAUGCUUAACGGAGGAAAUAUUAGACUUAGAAAAUUUCUGAAGUUUGCUGGUUUCUGGUGUUUCGCACCUGCGGUGGGGGAAACGCAGGUGCGGGGCCGCACAUGUGGAUGAUUGAGCACAGAAACAGAUUUGGAGGGAGUGUUCAGGGGCCGCAGGUGCGAGGUGAUAUCCGCAUCUGCGAUGCCCGCAAUUGCGCUGGAGAGAUCAUAGGAGCGAUGGAGGACCGCAGAAGCGGACAUAGGUCCGCAGGUGCGACCUUUUGAUCGCAGAAGCAGUCGAUGAGUUUUAAGUGAAAACCGCACAUGCGAUGGAAUUUCCGCAUGUGCGGAACCGCGGAUGCGGUUGAAGGCCCGCAGAAGCAGUUUGACCGAAAGAAAAAGGUCUAAGUGCGAGGGUUUGAUUUCAUUCUUCUUUUUUGGACUUGAGAGCUCGGAAUUUGGCGAUUUUUCAAGGGAUUUUCAGAGGAAGCUUUGGGGUUUGGGCCAUUCGGAGUCAGAUAUUCGUGGAAAGGCAUUGUUAGCGAUUGAUUGAGCUUGGUUCGAGGUAAGUAUCUUGUCUAACUUCGUGUGGGGGAACUACCCCUUAGGAAUUGAGUCUUUUAUGCUAAUUGUAGUCCGGGUACGCGAGGUGACGAGUACGUGCUCAGACGUAUUUGUGGAAAAUUUUCCUUUUAGAGUUCUUAGGUCCUUGUAUUCAUUAAAUAUGCAGUUGUUCCCGUUAUGAUUACGUUUCUAAAGUACUAGUUUCACUUCUACCUGCUUUUAUUAGAAUUAAUUGCUUCAUGAUCCACUCUUGUAGUUCAUUUGAUUCAUAUGUGCCUUAACUGAAAUUGUUAUAUCUUCUAUUGCCAUGUUGCAUUUCCCCUAACUGCUUAUCUUUAUUUGAAGUUGUAGUUACCCCUUUUGUAAAUGUUCACCCUUAAUUGAGGUUAUGCUUAUCUUUCUGCCGCCUACCUUUAUUUGAAUUUGUUGCAUCUCUUUCGUAAUUGUCCAAACUUAUAAAAACACUAGAUCUGCCACUUGGAUAUUAAUAUUGACUUGGAUUAACCAUUUUCUCUAGAAAUCUAAUUAUAUAAAAACCUAGAUCUAAAUUUUGGGUUAUACAACUUACUAUCAUAAUUUAAAAUUUAUUGAUAGUAAUUUUUUUAAAAACACCUAAUGUAACCUAAAAGCCUUUUAAAUCCUACUAUUCCUAUUCGAAGUCCCUUUCUUUAGAGUAUUGUUCAAUGUGCAACAGUAAAAAAAAUUAAAGGUACUGUUCUUCUUCUUCUUCUUCCUUUAAACAUACUAUGAUGACUCAUUUUGAUUGGGGCUAGCAUUGAAUAGGAAAGUACCAUUAUACCAUGUGCAACUAAUGGUAUUUACUUUUUUCAAAAAAUAUCUUCAAAGCAUUAUUUGGUAUACAUUGGAAUGAUUUUUUUGAUUUUUUUUUUCUUCUUUAAGAAUGAGUUUCAAGUACCAUUUNNNNNNNNNNNNNNNNNNNNNNNNNNNNNNNNNNNNNNNNNNNNNNNNNNNNNNNNNNNNNNNNNNNNNNNNNNNNNNNNNNNNNNNNNNNNNNNNNNNNNNNNNNNNNNNNNNNNNNNNNNNNNNNNNNNNNNNNNNNNNNNNNNNNNNNNNNNNNNNNNNNNNNNNNNNNNNNNNNNNNNNNNNNNNNNNNNNNNNNNNNNNNNNNNNNNNNNNNNNNNNNNNNNNNNNNNNNNNNNNNNNNNNNNNNNNNNNNNNNNNNNNNNNNNNNNNNNNNNNNNNNNNNNNNNNNNNNNNNNNNNNNNNNNNNNNNNNNNNNNNNNNNNNNNNNNNNNNNNNNNNNNNNNNNNNNNNNNNNNNNNNNNNNNNNNNNNNNUAUCAUUUCUCAAAAGAAAAAAGAUGAGCCCCAAACUGAUAGUUGGCCUAGCAUCCAAACAAGUUGUUUUGGCUCCUAGAAAUUUAUCGUUUUCAGAUAAAUUUAUCUUCGCUUAUAGGCAAUUACCAGUGGUUUUAUAUAUUAGUCGUUUUGAUAGAUUAACAUUUUAGAAAAUGAAAAGGUAAAUAUUUAUUACCUAUUUUUUAAAAAUUUAUCCUUACUAUUUUAAUUACUGAAGUGUUAUUUAAAUAAAAUAUUUAAACAAAGAUAAAUAGUGGUUUAAAUAUGUACUCUCUCAUGAUUAAGGCUAUGAAGUAAUUUUCUUAAAAAGUCUUGCGAAAUUUUAAAAGGCAGACUAUACUGUUCUUUCCGUCUUUUGUUUCUUUUUAUAUGCAUAUUCUGCUUCUUUUUUUUCCCUUUCUUCUUUUGGUGAUUAAAGCAGUUUAUUCUUUGACAAUUUCACUGAUAGAGGCCGCCCACGUGCAAGGUAGCAUUUAAGACUUACCAGUACGUAGGAACGUAGGUUCAGUUAAAUAAUGACUCCAACUUUGGUUCUUUUCUUUUUGUUGGUAAACAGUUGCUCCACCUUUGCUCUUUGAUAUAAGUUGCCACAUGGUCUGCAUUACAAUUUACAAACAUGAGUCAUAGCUUGAAAAUUGAAAUUUAGUGAAGAAUUCUAUUGAAAUUCAUCAUAUUAAAACGAACAAUACCUCACAAGUAUAAAAGAUUAGAAAGUUGAAUAUUACGUGUGAGCUAAUAAAUAGGAAAACUAAAAGGUAGAGUUAGAGUAGAAAGUAGAAAGGUGACAUUUAACUAAUUGAGAUGGAAGAAGUACAGUAAGAAAACUUAUUCACAUUUAUUAGAUGUCUCAAACUAAUAAGUCCAUGAUAUAUUUUUUUAUACAAAUAUUAUAACCCAAGCUAAUUAAUAUGUAUUGCUAUGACAAUUUUGUCACUUAAUUAUGAAGGAUUAACAUGUUCGUCCAUGCACCAGAUCAAAUAUCGCAGUAUAACUUAUUAGGAUACAAUAAACCAUUUACACUCUUCUCGAAAUACAAGUUGGCCUAUUUACUGGCGGCUAACAUAUUUUACUUUUCUGAUUGAACGUAACAAUAAUUAAGAAGAUAAUUUGCAAAUCUCACUCUGCAAUCUGCAUGAUAUUCGCACAUAAUUUUAAAUAAUUGGGAUGGCCUUUCUUGGAACAAGGAUGUCUCUCUUGGAGUAAUAAUUACAUGCAAUGCAAUAUGAAAUAUUUAAAUCGAAAGGUCCACAGCAACGUGACGACCAUGUGGCUCUUUCAUAAAAAUUAACCGUGAUGCCUCAUAAAGUCUAAAGCAUAUACCAAAAAAAUCCUAAAGUGUACAGGUUUAUCUGGCCCUAAAGUUGACCCUUUUACUUGCUGUCUUUGUAUGAAGCUAAUUAACCUAGAAAUUAAAGAGGCAAAAAUUAACCUAGUGUAUAAGCAAGUCUGCGACCACGUGGCUCUUUCUCCGUUGUUAGCGGAAAUGAUAAGUUAAUACAACCCCUUUAAUUUGUGAAACAAGCAAACACUAGAAGUUAAACCUCACUGGGCUAAAAGUUACAUUAUUUUCUUUUUAUGUUAUUUAAUAGGAAUAUUAUUUAAUUAGGCGUAAAUUUUAAAAUGUUAAUACAAUUAUUCAUUAUAUGAGUAAUAGUAGUUGAAAGAAAACUACUUAAAUUGAAUGAUAGUAGAAUGCAAGUUUGAGUAGUUAAUUUUUCUAAAGGUCAUACAUGAGUAGUUAGUAACUUUCUAGGGGUCAAGGUUUUCUCUCUCUAGAAUGAAAUUUCCUCUUAGCGACGGCCGAAGAUGACGAGGAAAUCCAAAACUAGGGGAGGAAGGCAAUGAAGUCAAGAGUGCAUACAACCUCCAUCUACAGAAUAAAAAAUGAGAGUGCCUAACUCGGCGGAUACAAAAAACACUCUUAAUAUCAACGCCUUACAAGGAAUUGUACAGCUAGAUUUGCAUCAAUGCUCGGCAUCGAAUACCGAAAAAAUGCUGUCAUAUAAUAUGUGUUGGGUUCUAACCCCUUAGCAGCUGUGAUGAAUGGCUACUUUCAUAGAAUCUAGGAAAAAUUGGGGAUUGAUAACGUUGUGCAAGUAAACAGAGGAUUUUUUCUUGUGAGAUUCACCCAAAUUGAAAAUAGGGUAAAGGUUGUGGAAGACGGAGUCCAGAUGUUCGACAAAAAGCCAGUGGCAGUUAAGCCUUGGUCGCCUGAAAUUGAUACGAGGAAUAAACAUUAACUAAUAUUACAGGGCUAGCGGGCGAUCCUCUAAAGGCUGGCAGAGCCACCACAUAGAAGGAGAUGAUGACAUUUGCUAGGAUGCUUGUGGAAGUAGCAUUGGACCAGCCUUACCCAAUAUGUAUCAUGUUUGAAAAUGAGUAUGGCAAAAUCAUUGAGAAACAGGUGCACUAUGAAUGAAAACCUGCACUAUGCCAUGAUUGCAAUAACUAUGGACAUGAACUGAAGGAAUAUAGUAAACAAAUGCAAGCAGAAAAGCAGAAACCAGACCAACAAGGAAAGGAAGUAGAACAGAACAAGACAUGGAAUGACACUAGAGGGAAUGUGCAUGUAGAGGGACUGAACAACAAAGUGGUAGAGACUAACCAGAAUGCAUGUUUUGUGCAAAAUUGAGGCAGGGUAAGGGUUAAUAGCCCUAAAAGAACCAUGGGAGGUCCUAAUAAGGAUCAAACACUAAGCAUAGGAAACUCGUUCGAGGCACUAGGGAGCCCAGCAGGAUGGGGAUAGCGGAGCAAGGGCAUAUUACAACAGGAAAUAUGGUACAGGGAGGGAAAGAUGACCCAAAACAGGGAAGGGUGGGGGAUUUCCACCCCUUCCAAUGGAUAGUAUCGGUUUUUGGAACACCAGGGGACUAAAUAGGCUAAAUAAACAGAAGGAAUUGAAUCUGUUUAUGCAUCAGUGCAAAGUUGGCUUAUAUCGUCUCCUAGAAACUAAGAUGAAGAGAAAUAAUACUCAAAAUGCUUCCCUUAAUCUAUGUAGAGCCUGGUCUUUUACAACCAAUUUGGCUUUACACCCAGGGGAAAGAAUAUAGGUGGUUAGGACGCCCUCAAUAAUUUAUUUUCAGAUUGAAUUCAGCUCUAAACAAGUGAUUCAUUGUGUGGUAACACACAUGGGCAUUGGCCUAGUUUUCAAUGCAACUUUUGAAUAUGGAUUCAAUGAUCCAUCAUUAAGAAGAACCUUGUGGCAGGAUAUAAGAAAAAUAAAUAGCACUGUGACGGGGCCAUGGGCAAUUAUGGGUGAUUUUAAUUGUAUGUUGCAUAAGGAGGAUAGAAUUGAAAGACAUGUAGUCAUGCUAGAAAUUAAAGAAUUCAGAGCAUGUGUGGCUGAUUGUAGACUGCAGGAGUUAAUAUCAUCAGGAUAUUAUUUCACAUGGAAUAACAAACAAGAAGGAAGGGGGAUAGAGUAUAUAGUAGGAUUGAUAGAGUGUAAGUGAACACUGAAUGGAUAACUCUACUACCUGUAUCUGAAGUUUAUUAUAUGAAUGAAGGGCUCUAUGAUCACUGACCAGCAAUUAAAAGUAGGAGAAUGGUCAGCAUAUAAGCAGGAAGCAAUUCAAGUAUUAUAACACGUGGACAAUGACACUUGACUUCUAAGAAAAAGUGAAAGGGAGUUGGGAUGGAGAGAUAGAUGGGGACAAAUUAUUUCAAGUGGUGGGGAAGAUGAACAGAUUAAAGGCAGUGUUACUCAGCUUGAACAAAGAAAGGUUCCCAGAUAUAGAAAAGAAGGCAGAUAGAGCAAUGUAGGACUUAAAGAAAUGUCAGUCAAAAGUGCAAGACGUCCCCAUGAAUAAAACACUAAUUGAGGAAGAAAUGCACUUAGCUAAGGAAUGCAAAAUCUAGGGAGAAGCUAGAGAUCAAUUCUUGCGCCAAAAAAGUAGAGUUCAAUGGCUAACUCAAGGAGAUCAAAACACAAAAUUUUUUCACAGUGCAAUAAAGGAAAUAAGAAAUAAGAAUAGAAUCUUCUCUGUUAUUGAUGCACAACGGUCCACUAAAAAAGAACCAGGGGAAGUAGCAGAAGCAUUUAUAGGCUUCUGCAAGAAUUUGCUGGGGAUAAAAAGUAGAAAGGAGGCAACAUGUAUGCAGUGAACUAGUUAGGCAAGGGCUCACAAUCACAUAGGAACAAAGGGAAUGGCUAGAAAAUAGAUUCUCUGAAAUGGAGGUAAAGCAAGCAGUAUAAGCAAUAUCAGGGGAUAAGGCUCUAGGGCCUGAUGGCUAUGGUAGCCGGUUCUUUAAGGAUUGUUGAGAAAUUGUGGGUAAUGAUAUAAUUACAAGAGUAUUAGAGUUCUUUUAGGCUGGAAAAAUGCCAAGAAGUCUCAAUGUCACAACAAUUCAUUAAUUCCAAUGAGCAUCCAUGCAGAACAUGUGGGAGACUAUCGACGUAUAGGCUGCUGUAAUACCAUCUACAAGGUGAUAUCUAAGAUGUUGAGUGAGAAUGAAGUCAGUUUUACCAGACAUCAUUUUAGAAAAUCAAAGUGCAUUUGUUGUUAGGAGAACCACUAUCCAGAAUGUCCUCAUCUGCCAAGACUUAGUGAGAUUAUACAACAUGAAAGCAACCACAAAAAGAUCCCUAAUAAAAAUUGACUUGAGAAAAGCCUACGAUACUGUAGAAUAGGACUUUGUGCAGGAGAUGCUACAUGCUUUAAACUUCCCCAGUAAAUUCAUCAAAUAGAUAAUGUUAUGCAUCACUACGCCCAGAUAUUCAAUAGCAAUCAAUGUGGGGUUAUAUGAAAACAUAGAGGAUUGCGGCAAAGGGAUCCCAUGUCCCUAUUCAUUUUUGUGAUUUGCAUGGAAUACUUCACCAGAAUCAUGUACAGGGUGGCCACACUUCAGGGUAUCACAUUUCACUGUAAAUGUAAAGGUCUGCAACUAAAUUAUUUGUGUUUUGCAGAUGAUAUGCUCUUGUUUUGUAAAGAAGAACUACACUAUGUUGCAUUUAUGUUAAGAGGCCUAGCCAGCAUCUCCAAUGCAUUGGGGCUGACCACAAAUGCAACCAAGUCCAACAUAUAUAGUGCUAACAUGGAAAUGGAAAGUGUUAAGGACAUAUUUAAAAUGACAGGCUACAAGAAAUGAUCAUUACCCUUCAGGUACCUAGGAGUGCCAAUCUCAGCAAAGAAAAUCUCUUUUGUAGACUGUGAAAUGUUAGUGAAGAGGAUGUGUACGAGAAUCCAAAGUUGGGGCACACGAAACAUGUCGUAUGCUGGGAGAGUUCUACUAGUGAAUUUAGUUAUAAUGCAUAUUCACUCAUACUGGUCAUCCAUAUUUUUCUUGCCUAAGAAGAUAUUAAAAAAUAUCAUAGCCAUCUGCAGGUUUCUAUGGGAUGGGAAAGUCAACACCAACAAAUUAUCACCGGUGGCUUGGGAAUUAGUGUGCAGACCUAAACAAGAAGGUGGGCUAGAGAUCAUAGAUUGUGAGUUGUGGAACCAAGAAGCUAUAGCAAAAUAUAUGUGGAAUGUAGCCAAGAAGGCUGACAACCUAUGGGUAAAUGGGUGGACCACAUAUACCUAAAAGGAACUUCCUGGCUAAUUAUAUUAAUUCGAAGUGUUUAAAGGUUUUAAAGAAGAUCGACAUGUGCUAAUUAUAUAUAUUCGCGUGUGAGCAAGGGCUAAUGAUAUAAAUAAUAUCACUUGAACAUAAUAAUAUAUUUAUGAGGUAUAUUAGAAAUGGUUUAUGGUCUAAGAAGAGCCCUAAGGCUAAGUCAAGUUGGAAAUUAUAUGAUGGGCUAAAGUUUCUAGUGGGUUCGCACAAGACUUAACUUCAAACAAGCAUAAAUCUCAUGAUAUGAAGUUUUAUACGGUGUAUGACCUAUUAAAUGAAAGGUCUAUGUGUCUAGUUUCUAAUGCUUUAAACCUUUCAUCAUUUGGAUAUUUAUAAAAUGAGUUAUGGGCUUUGUACCAGAAGGUGGUAGUGCAGCUAUGCAGUUUCAGAAUUUGGCCAAGGGAAUAGCCUCCUGCGCAGUGUUUUAAAAGGCAUGGGUGUAGGGCAAAGCGCUUUACAUAUGCCUCAACGAGGCCUACGCUCCGAGGCANNNNNNNNNNNNNNNNNNNNNNNNNAUAUGUGCUACUUACAACUUACAAGCACAAGUAACUUAUUAAUCAAAAUAAUUUAUUAUACGCUACUUACAACUUACAAGCACAAGUAACUUGAGUCGAAAAUAGGAUGACUAACCUGCAAUUUGAAAUUUGAACUUGCUGAUAUGAAGGAGAAUGAAGUUCUCUUUGUAUUUGUAAAGAAAUUGAAUAUUCGUUAUUUUGGGAGAUAUUAGCAGACUAAGGAACAACAUAAAGAAUUGGGAAAAAUCAUAAAUUAGGGUUUUAAUCAAUAAAAAGAUCUUAACUUUUAAAUUUGAUACAUUUCAGUUCCUUUUUAAAACUUUUGAGUAAUUACAAGCUGACUUUUGAGAAUUUGGGUAUUAUACGAAGGACUUAUUCAACAAAUUUUAUUUUAAUUUGAAAAGGUCUCUGGGGCUUACGUCUCACUACAAAAACGUGCCUCAAACGCCCAGGCGUACACCUCGAACGCCCGGGCGUACGCCUCUUGAAACUUUCACCCCACACCUGCGUAGGUUUUAUGUGUAGGCUAAGCUGCUUUAGGGGCCAUUUUAAAGGGGCAGAAACAAGGGGUUUAGAGAGAGAAAAAGUUAAUUCUUCAACUUGGAAUUGAUUUCUAGAGAGGAGGAGCUCUUCCACCAUGGAUACACUUCAAGGUAAGUUAUUUUGAUACAAGGAUGAUUUUAUUACAUCAUUUAGUGAUUACUAACACUAUUAUGGAUCAAAUCCAUAGAAAAUGGGUUGAAUCUUUAAGAACAUCAAAAAGAAAAAAAUGAGAUUCUUCUACCAAGAGGUAAUCCCUUCACUUGAGCUUCAUAUUUAUGUCAUAUUAGAGUAUGGGUAGCAUGUUUAUGAAUUUUAUUUAUAGUUGUAAUGGAAUAUUGUAUGAACCCUAAGAACGUCUUGAAAAUAAUAUUUUGGACAAAGAAGAAGAUGAAUAGUGAUGAAUUGAUAUAAAUGGAAUUGUUUUGAGUUUCUAAUGAUUCCAAUAGACUUGAUAACUUAAUUGAUGAACGAAUUGAAUAGGGAUCACUAUUUGGACAAGAUGCAACACUAGUUCUUGAAAUGUGUGUUCUUGAACCUAUAGGGGUUUGUUGAAGAAGACAAUGAAUAGUGACUUGAUGAUGUUGGAUAAUUAAUGUAGUAUUAUUAAUGACUCCAAAUGAGUGUUAAAUUAAAGGAAUGGAAUUAAAUAGGCUAAUAGGUGAGCCUAUUGGAUAAUUUGGGAUGGUUGAAGGCUUGUUGACGAAUUAUGAAGCCUAAAUAAAUAUUUAUGAAUUGUUUUAUAUUUGUUUUGAUGUAGUUGAGAUAUCUUAUGGUAGAUACUGAAUUGUGGGCGAUAUUGGAGCAUAAUAGUAUUUUUGGAGCUUGAAGGUUGAGAUAAGUUGAUUAAAACUUACUCUUCUUGAGGGAUUCUCUUUAAAAGCAUAUCUUAAGUUGAUACAUUGUAUUAUUUGUAAAUGUGCAUCCGUACUUGUGGGAAGAAGCGGGAAAGAUGUCACCAUGUGUUUCUAAAUUGUUGCUUAUGAAGUGUCAUGUCAUUUUAUAAAAAUCUUGUUCGCAAAAUGACACUUAAGGAAAUUUUUAUAAGUUAUAUUAAAACUUAUUUGUUGAUGAGAGUAUAAAAUGCUCGAGUGCUAAAGAUAUGUUUUGAUGAAAAAGUUUGUCUUUUGAAAUUUCAACAAAGGAAGCACUAGUUGUAUCUUUAGAUUGGUGUUAAUUGCUAAAGGCUUUAACAUGAAAAAGGUUAUUCAUUUGAUUUUGUUCUAAUAAUUUGAAUUGGCUAUAAAAAUUAUGAUUUGAUAAAAAUAUAUCCUUUAAGAAAAUUGUGCUAUGUAUCUAUUUUUGAUAUGUCAAAUAUUUUGGAAGUUACUGGUGGAUCACCGAGAUUGGUUCGAAUAUUGAAUUCGUUACUAUGAAACUACACGUAGCGGUGUAGGGAUACAUUCCAAGGCUAAGUCGAGGUUUGUGGGAUAAAGUCCCCCAUUGAGAGGGAAAAUGAUCAUUACUUACAGUAAUGAGGUUAAGUCAAGUCGUACGGCACUAUGGGAAGCCGUCCAGACAAGUAGAGUCAAAUAAUUGUUGCUAGGAUGAUCACUUAGUAGUUGUUCAUUAUGUAUGUCGGUAUACUACUCCUAGUGAAAGGUAAAAGAGAACUUUCUUAUGUUUAGGCCUAAGGAGGCGAAAGUGGUUUCAAUGACAUAUAUUUAAUGGCUUACAUGGUUUACAUUUUACUUGUUUUUUAUUUAAAACGAUAAAGAGCAUGAUUUAUGUAACCGUUUAUCACUUUAUUUCCAAUAUUGGUUGCACAAGUUUUGUAAAAUCUUGUCCAGGAACUUGAGUUAGAGAGAGUCUAUGACACAUAUUGAGUAUCGCUAUGGUGUUCUCAGCCCUUAGGAGCCCCCUUCUAGAGCCCCACUUACUUUACAUGUUUCAGAAUGAGGAAUGAUAUGUGGCAUACAGACAGAGCUAGGAUGACUCUCUUUCUGAAGUAUAUGGCGAUGCACCGCUCCUAUUUCCUGGAAACUAUCAUAUGUUUUUCUUAAUUUAUGUUAUUCGGGCAUUAGCCUAUGUGUUUAGUUCUAUUCCUUGGUAUAGAGGCCCUAUAGUAAUUGUGAAAAGUUGUAAUAAUGGGAUUGUAUGUGGCAUACGUGAAAAUAUAUUUAUUUUACUUAGUCUCAUUGUUAUAAUUAUGAGAGGCUUCAUGUAUGAUUUUGAAUUGGAAAGUUUUUCCAUUGUUUAACUUGAAAAAUAUAUAAAAUUUUCAAAGAGCUUCCGCAAAUAAAUUUGUUUUUAUGCCUAUGAUUUGGGUGCAUCAUAUGAGUUGGUUCGCUUAGGUCGGAUAGUGUGUCGGGUUUCGGUCACAUGGAUUUGGAUCGUGAAAAAUUUGGUAUCAGAGCACUAGGUUCUAAGUAGAGUCCUAGGAAGUCUAUGGAGCCGUAUCAAGUAGAGUCCCUCUUAUCGGUCUGUUGCCGGCCACACUUAUAUCGGGGAGGCACCAAAGACAUUUAGGGAGUUUCACUUUCUUUUUACUCUAGUUUGUGUGUUGUGCCUGAAAUGAGAGAUAUGAUUCUCUGUCAUAUUGAAUACCCGGCAUGGUAGAUACUGAAGUGGUGAGCACAAAGCUCAAGGUUCAAGAUAUCACAUGUGCUGCUUGAGAAAUAGUUGGGAAUUAUCAGUCUAUCCAUGAAAUAAAUGAUGGGUUAAGGUCAAGAACAUCUUUAAAAGAAAUUGAUAUAGUCAAGAUGAAUAACUAUGGUGAACAGGAAUCAUAAGUCGAAUUCUGAUAACUCAUGGAAAAGUAAAUAAGGUGAUGAUGUCAGUUGGUACUGCUAGAAUAGUGACAGAACUCACGAAGGAUUCCACUGAAGGUUGAAAAAAAGGUUAAGUCCUAUAUAGGAAUGUUUCUAAAUUGUAGAUCAAGGUAUUGGGAUAGCUAUCUGCUAUGACAAUUACUAUUUACUAGUACAACAAAGGAAUAAAUAAAUAAAAAAGAAACACAAUGGUUACAAGAUAAAUGGAAAGGUAAUACCUCAAAUUACCGUGAUGUGCUGUCGAGGAAUGACAAGAAUCGAAUUGGUAAGAGAAUGUACAUCAAUCAAGUUCAUACCGAUCACCUUGUAAUUCAUAGGGAUGAGGAUCUAUUUGGGAUAACACCAAGAAUUUCCAAAAGUAUAUUUUAGAAAAGGGGAUGUAAGGAAACCUUCAUGAUUUUUAGAAAGGUGAACAAGGAAAAAUGCAAGAGAUGACCCUUAGUCUCACAAGAGAUUGGGAGACUGUUGACUUGGUAAGGUCUUCUCAUAGUAGUGGCUCAUGCGAUGAUAUAACUUAUAAGAAAUAAAGUACCAUGUGGGGGCACAAGUUGAGGGUAUUUGAAGCAUGUCAUAUGCAAAAACAAAAGGGGGUAGGUGAACUUUGAAUACCUCCCAUAUGUCAAAUGUGAUACAAAUGAAUGUCAAUCUUCAAUGAUACACACUGAGGUAUGUGAAUUUAAAUGGGUAAGUGAAAAAGUGUUAAUGCAUGAUAUGCACAAAAGGUGUAAUCUUAGAAGAUUUCAAAAAGCAAAUAGGUUGCCAAAGAAGGUAAAGUAAUGUGGAAUGACAACCUUGAGUUUGUCUAAUCGGGACAAGCCUUAUUUUAUCCUUUUGAACUUCUGGGAAUUGAAAAUUUCUAAAGGUAACUUCCAAAGCACCUAUACAUUGUCAAGUGGAGCUAUUAACUUGUUAUUUUGAUGGAAUCUUAAGAUUUAAGAAGAAUAAAUAUUUGAAAUGAUGUAUCAGGCCAAAUUGGAGCUUCAGGCAGAUUAUGAAUAUUGCAUAUGUAGUUUAAGGCUCAAGAGCUUGCAAACGAUGACGGUACACGUGUGAAAUUGAUGAGUUACGAGUGAUCCAAGGCUACGUAGUGAUGCCUUACGAAUCCUAGUUGUUAUUUACUGUCGCGCCCCAUUUUCUCGUGAAAGCGGGCUUCAACAUGUGACAUAUCUUUUAAAAGGAGGUAUUAAAAAAGAAGAGUCGCCACCUAAUAAUUUUUAAGGUGCGUUAGGGAACCUAGUUGCAAAUAACUCUGUUUGACUAGUCAACGAUACCAAAUAUCGGGUAAGGGCUUAAAUUACCUCAAAGAGAAGGUGUUAGGUACUCUUCGAGGUCCACAACUGUGGGUCCCGACCGAACUUUAGAGCAUGUGGAUUAUACAAUUAGGCUAGGCGAUUAAAUAAAUAGAAGGGAAGUUCAGAGGUUGUAGAGACAUAUGAGAAUCGGUACAAGUCUUAAUGACUAUAAGGAUACAACUAUAUUGGUCUAUAUUAAACGACCAAAUAUAGAUAACAAGUACAUAAAUAAAAUGAGGGGGGGGGGGGGUCCUAAGUUUUUAGCCUAAAGGAUCACCCCGUGCAACAUAAAUAAUACUUUGCAACUCCCUUAAAGUAGAGGUUGCUCGUAUUAUUUAGCGAGCACAGACUAUUAUCUCCUGCUACCCGAUUACUAUGUUGAAGUUGUUUACUUAAAAGCGUUCUAAUUCAAUUCCAAGUCGUACCCUAUGCGUGCACUACCUGUCCCUUGCCUAUGGUCCAGGAGGCUUUGGACCUACUAUAAGGUGGUUCUAGACUUUACUUAGGUUGCUCAAAAUGAUAAAACUAGGCGAUAUGCAAAAUAGAUAGGACUGCAUAUAAUUACAAUAAAAGACUUAAGUAACCUCCACACAUAAGUAGGAAAGCACGAAUAAAUUUCUAGUUAGGCAGUAGAUGACAUUACGACGUGUUGGAAUCGUUAAGUCCUAUAAGCAUGAUUUCUAUGUGAUUAUGGAUUCCAGUAUUAUAUAGGAAGUGCUGUAAUUUUUGGACUAACGUAGAGGCAAAUUAGAGCGUUGCAAGUCCUAUAGACAUGAUAUCUAAUCGUUUGCAUAAUAAGGUUGUGAAAAUAAUCCAAUAAUUCUGAAUUACUAAAGCUGAUUUUAUAGAUAUGCGUCUUAGGCAGGCAAUAAUACACUAUAGGCAUGAUCUCUAAAAGUCGCAUAAUUAGGCAGUGAAGUUAUUUGAAAACACAAAAUUAGUAGUAUCAAUAAACAUCCUAUGGACAUGAUUUCUAACAAUUGACAAUUGGACUUGAUUUUUAUACACUUUAUCCCUAUAGUCAUGAUAUUAAAAUGAAACAAUGCAAAAGCAGCAUGAAAUAAUUGAUUAAUUAGUUAAGACCCUAUAGUCAUGGUAUCUAGAUAAGUAAAGGUAUUGCAUUGUUGUAUCCUAUAUGCAUGUUAUCUAAUAGUGCAUAGAAGUAAACAUGCGAACAAUUGAAACACUUAGGUUCUUACAAACAUGUUUCUGAUAGUGUGCGGUCAUUAGACAUGUUGAGUAGGUGAAGUGUUUGAGUUCCUAUAGGCAUGAUAUCUAAGUGGAAGAAGUCUAGUUUGGAUCUUAUAGGCAUUCUCUCUAGCCAUUCAAGUCAUAACAUUGUGUGCAUAUAAUUCCAGAGAAUGAGGCAUGAUGAGUAAACAAGCUAUUAAGAUCCUAUAGGCAUGAUAUCAACCCAUUCAUGCAAAAGAUAAAGUAUCCCAUUUCCCCUUUUUCACUAAUCCCCAAUUGUUCGUUAUUACAAGUUAUUACAGGUCCAAGAAUGAAAUAAUACAAACUUAAAGAUGACAAAACACAAACUGAAAUGAAUACAAGCCCACUAAAGCAAUUACAUGUCCAAUGUAAAAGUAACCUAGGAAUAUCACAGGCCUUCAAUAGUCUUACUCUUCGGGCAAACAGCAGGCCCAAACCACAGGAUCACAAGAUAACUAGAGUGCACUUGAAUCCAGUGCCUAGGUCCAACAACACCCAUGGCCCAUCUCAAGGCCCAAUGAAUAACUUACUUACCCACAUGGAUACUAAAUUUAGCUAUGCAGGUGACACAAUACUCACAGAACAACUUAAUCCCUUAGUUCUUAGAGCUGAAUCCAUUAACAGCUCUAGCCAAGACAUAUAAACAGGAUCAUGCUAAAUGAAAAGGCACACAAGACACAUAUGAGGCAAGCUUAUUCUUUGUAAUUCCAGAAAGAGAGUUUGAUAGUGACAAGGUUGACCGUCAUAGGACAGUAAACCAUUCCAGUAAAGCAUGAUCCAGAAACAACCUAAGGACCUUUAGAUGAUAGUCUAGCAGAAUUAUGAACAAGAAGCAGGUAGAGUGCAGUCUUGAUAUGAAGGUUUUAACAUGAAAACCUAAUGAGAAUGUGGUUGCAAACAGCAUAACAACAUGCUAGCUGGCACAAUUUGGAAAACAUACUUGGUUGAUCAUGAAACUUAACCCGAUGGACAUUAACUAUAGCACAACGAUUCUAAAGAACUCAUAGUAGGCAAAAGAACAUGUCACCUAUAGGCUAACAGGACAGACAUACAUUGGGAUUCAUGUUAGUCGACCACACAUGAGAGAGAACUACACAUUGGUAUUUAUCCUAGAAGCAAUGCUAAAGGGUGCAGGAUUGCCCAAUCAGGGAACACAAUUAUCAGAGUUACAAAUCGCAGACAAACAUGCUUGGCUAGAGAUUAAGACAAUGCUAUAACAUGGGAGAGUUAAGGAUCAGUUUGCAUGAAAUAAUAGGUUAUACCUAAAGGAUCUAGUAGGAAGGGAUUCAUUAAAGCAGACUUUGAACAGGCAAUUUCUACAAAAGGUCCCAGAAAUCCAAGGCAUGCAUAUGAACUAACAACGGACAAAGGACACGACAUUGAGGCUAAUAUGAGCAUGACCAAUCAGACAAAACCUAAGAAGGCUAGAAAUCAUUUGAGUCAAAUACAUAGAGUGAAAGUAUACUAUACAUGUUGAAGCUUAUCAAGUCUAAUAAUAGAGAACAUGGAACUGCGGAACGUCAUUGAGACAAUAGAACUACAUAAAACAUACAACAAUACAACACUGGGAGUUCACAAAUAACAAAAAAGCUUAGGUCAUGCUUGUCUACAAAAGUUCAAACAAUAUUGGCACGCAUAAUACACAUACAUGAAUAAGUAGAGGAGUAAUAAUUAAGGCUGUAAAGUGUAGAGAAAAGUAACCAGUUGCUAAGAUAAACGAGCAAAAGAGUGAGUAACUUAGAAUCUCAGCGAUGACAGCAAAGAAAGAUAACAGUGAGAAUGCUAGAUCCUAGUGCAUCAGAGUUCACAGGAGCUUCAGUGAGCCCGGAGCAGUGCUCGCACUAUGGAGGUUAAUAGUGAAGAUUCCGUUGGUAUCGGCUUUCAGCCGACCACAAUCAAGAGAGCAGAAAUAAUAUAAAGGGUGAAAAGUGAGAGAAUAACAGUAGUUCUUAAGCGAUUACAGUAUGUCCAAAGAGGAAAUUGGGGAUGGGGUUUAUAUAGUAAUAAAAAUCAACACAUAAAUAAGGAAAUAUAGUCAACCGAACAUAAACAAGGAAAGAAGAACAUGCAAAAAUCAAUUUAGAAUCGGAUUAGGAGAAGAAACCAGGUAAACCAUGGUUUGACUAGGAUCAGAAAUUGGCCGGAGAUCUUGGUGAAUCAGAACCCCAUAGCCUUUCUAUGAACAUAUACGGACAAAUUAUCCUCCAAAUCUUGGAGAGUAAAGCCGAUCUCCUUUGAUUCAGAGACUGGUACUUGCCAAAAAUGGGCAAGUACUAAGUAACACCAUAUUUAUACAAGUAAUAGCGGUAUAAUCCGGAAAAAGUAAGUAAAUCAUGGUAAAAAUCCAUGGAUGAUUUGGAUUCGGAGAAGAUUGGAAUGACCUAAAAUCCGCAUAUCGUGAUGGGGCCUAUCUUAAUACUAGGCAAGCCGACAACCUCAAUAACCCAUAAUUUCUUUUAAAUAGUGAAAACAUAAUAAUUAAUUUUAAGGGAAAAGUCCCACAAAUACUGAAUAUAAAUAUACUCCCAAAACCCGGAGUCACUGAGUACAUGAGCAUCUAUACAACACAAGUGUGGAAAAUACGGUCUAUAAUAGUCUGAGACCAAAUACAGUAAACUAAGAGAUAGGGAAGGAGAGACAAGGUCUACGUAACACCGCAGCUACCUCGGAAUCUCCGAAAAAUUAACUGUGCAAAAGAACUAACACCCGCUGUGUUCGGGAUCACCUAGAUCUGCACACGAAGUGCAUGGUGUAGUAUGAGUACAACCAACUCAGCAAGUAAUAAUAAUAAAUAAAGAAUUGAAAGUAGUGAUGAGAUUCACAUCUAUUCCAAAUACAGUAAUUUCCAACAUGAAAAGGUAGGCAUGCUUUCAAGUUCAACAUUUAAAACUCUGCAGUAAUUUCAUAUCAACUUUGAUUGAGACAAAAAUAAUGUCUUUCAGAGUUUUUCCAAAACAAUGAUAUAUGACAGCUGAAAUGCAGCAAUAAUGAAAUCAAUGCAUCCUCUCAAAAUAACAGUCACCCAGUCCUCCCAUUCACUCCAACCUCACAAUCACUCUUUCCUUACAUUCACUCAUUCCUCACAGUCACUCAUUCCUCUCAAUCACUCCGCACUCGCACUCAAUAGGUACCUGCGCUUACUGGGGGUGUAUACAGACUCCAGAGGGGCUCCUUCAGCCCAAGCGCUAUAUCAAGACAAUCAUGGCAUAUAAUAAUGAACAUGAUGCGGCAUGCAGACCGAUCCCAUAAAUAUCCUCAUAAUUAGGCCCUCAACCUCACUCAAUCAUCAUCCUCUCUAGUCUCUCGGGCUCUCAGAAAUCAUGAUAAGCAGCCCAAACAACAAUGAUAUGAUGCAUCAAUAAUGAACAAUAGAGACUGAGAUAAAAUGUGAAAAUAAAAUUGUGACUGAGUGCAAAAAAACAAUUUAGCAAAUAAUUCCAUAAGUACACAACCUCUCUGUGUCCCAAUGGUGUAAACACAUCUCUCUGUGUCCCAAUGGUGUAAACACAUGGUUUAAACAUGAUUUAUAGUUCGAUUUCUCUAAAACAUGAAAAAUGUACGGAUAUCAACAGAUUAUUCAACUACACAGUUCCAUGGAAUUGACCAAGUAACAAUUCCUACGGUGCACGUCCACACGCCCGUCACCUAGCAUGUUCGUCACCUCAAAACCAAAUCACAUAACAUAUAAUCCGGGGUUUCAUACUCUCAGGACCAAAUUUACAACUGUUACUUACCUCAAACCGUGUAAUUCUUUAUUCUGCAAUGCCUUUGCCUCGCGAAUCGGCCUCCAAAUGCCUCAAAUCUAGCCACAAAUAAUUUGAUUCAGUCAAUAAAAAUUAUAGGAAUUAAUUCCAUAUGAAAAUAUAAAUUUUCCAUCAAAAUCCGAAAUUUCACCCAAAACUGCCCGUGGGGCCCACGUCUCGGAACCCGUCAAAAAAUACAAAAUUGGAAAGCCCAUUCAACCACGAGUCUAACCAUACCAAUUUUACCUAAUUCCGACAUCAACUCAACCCUCAAAUUUUCAAAUUAAACCAAGAGGGUUUUCUAAACUUUCCAACUUAAUUUACCCAUAAAAUGUUAAAAAACAACUAUGGAUUCGGGUGAUUUGACCAAUAAUGAGUUAAGAAUAUUUACCACGUUAGUUUCCUUGAAAACCUCCAUAAAAAUCGCCUCUUCUCGAGCUCCAAUUUGUCAAAAAUGGAAAAUGGGAUGCAGUUCCAUUUUCAGAACUUAAACAUUCUGCCAAGGCAUUCCUUCUUCGCGAACGCGACAGGUCCCUCGCAUUCGCGAAGCACAAAAUUGUGUUGUCCAAACAUUUCCCUUUGCGAAUGCGAGACACAGCUCGCGUACGCGAUUCUUUACCGGGUGAACCUUCGCGAAAGCGAAGGCAAAAUCCUCACCAGCUAUUUUCCCUUUCGCGAAUGCGAUACCCCAUCGCGAACGCGAUGAACAACCUUGCCUGCCCCUAGCUCCUCUUCGUGAAUGCGAGGCCCCUUUCGCGAAUGCGAAAAGAAAAUUUUUGCCUGCCUUUAGUUCCUCUUCGCGAAUGUGAGAGCCCUCUCGCGAUCGCGAAGAAGGAAACCAGACACAGGCAUCAGAAAAUUCCAGCCAAGUUCCAAGUUCAAAAGUCAUUCCGUUAACCAUCCAAAACUCACCCGAGGCCCCCGGGACCUCAACCAAACAUAUCAUCAAGUCCCAAAAUAUCAUACGAACUUGGUAGAACCCUCAAAUCACCUCAAACAAUGCUAAAACCAUGAAUCAUAUCCCAAUUCAAGCCUAAUGAAACUAAGAACUUUCCACUUCUACAAUCAACGCCGAAACCUAUCAAAUUAAGUCCGAUUGACCUCAAAUUUUGCACAUAAGUCGUAAAUGAUAUAACAGACCUGUUCCAAUUUCCAGAAUUGGAUUUCGAUCCCGAUAUCAAAAAGUCAACUCCCUCGUCAAACUUCCCAAAAAUUCAACUUUCUCCAUAUCAAGCCUAAUUCCACUACGGACCUCCAAAUCACAAUCCAAACACGCUUCCAAGUCCAAAAUCACCCAACAGAGCUAACGAAACCAUCACAAUUCAAAUCUGGGGGGUCGUUUACACAUAAGUCAACAUCCGGUCAACUUUUCCAACUUAAGUUUCCAUUAUGAGACUAAGUAUCUCAAUUCACUCCGAAAUCUUUUCGGACCCGAACCAACUAACCCGGUAAGUCAUAAGACAACUGUAAAGCAUAAAUUGAGCAGUAAAUGGGGGAACGAGGUUAUAAUACUCAAAACAACUGGCCGGAUGAUUACAAAGAUUUUGGGUGGCGGCUAGGGUUUCUUAGAGAAGAAAAGAGUAGAGAAUUUAGGGGAGACUGGAGUGUGAGAAUGAGAUUAGGGCUUAGGGUGAGGGGAUAUAAGGAAAGGGUAGGGAUUAUUAUGGGCUGUUGAUCAUCUGAGAUCAACGGUCGUGAUUAAAGGAAAGUGGGGUGGGUCGAGUAAAUGGGUCCCGACCGGGUUGGAACAAAAGGGGUCGUUUGGUUUGGGCCAGCGCAGAUUGGGGUUGGGAUCAUUUGUUUGGAUCUUAAUUGGUCGGGAAAUAAGGCAUAAUUUAGGCCAAAUUUUGAAGUAGGGGGAUUAAGAGGAAAUAAUUUUAAUAAAAUAUAAAAGAUGCUAUUUAUGCAACUUAAUACUUUAAAAUAAUAGUUGAAAAUUAUUAAAAAUGUAAACAAUUAUUUUGUCCUUAAAUAAAAUGACAAAUGCAAUUUAUUGUAAAAUAUGGGCUAUUAUUGCAAAAUUACGUAUUUGGCAUGAAACGUGCAAAUGUAAUUAUAUAAAAUGAAGUAAAUUAUUAUAACACAGAUAUGUGAAUGCAAAUAAUAGAGUUGGAUGGUUAAAUCAUCACAAAAUAAUUUUAAGGGGGUAAUUAAUACAUAUUCAAUUAAUUUAUCUGCAAGAAAAUCAGUUUUAAAGCUUUAAAAAUUACGAACAAUUAUAAAACUACUUGUAUAACUAUUGUAAAUNNNNNNNNNNNNNNNNNNNNNNNNNCAAAAUUGGGUAUCAACAGCUGCCCCUCUUUACUUGGGAAUGAUGAAAGAGUUGUCGGGUAAAGAAAAUGAUGACCAAUUUUGUCUGAAAUGAGAGGGGGAUGAUGUGUUUUUAAAAAAUAGGGGACCGAACCCUGGUUCUUGAGUUGCCUAUAUAUCUCUGGUAUUACGGGAAUCAAGCUGUGUGUAGUUUUGGAUCCAACGACGAACGAAACCGAUGGAGUUAUUAUAAGAGUGGUCGUACAUUUCAAAAGGAUAUUUUGGGUAAGAUAGUGUCGUAAGUAACGAAUAAUUUUGGAUGGAGUCAUGGAUGUGAAAUGAAUAUCACAGAUGUACGAGGCAGAUAUUUGGACGGUUAUAGAAUAAAAAGUAAUUAAUUACUGGUCGUCGGUUACGUUUGAGAUAGUCAAAGGAUACGAACGUUGUGAAUGGAAACCGGAGCGAGAAUUGCUCCUGUUUGUAGAACGGUUACCUCCCGAGUGACCUGCAAAACUUAAAACAUGAUGCACACGAAUAUAUGAGGUUAUUGCGUAAUUUAAACAUGAUGAAAAUUCCCUUUUGGACCAUGAGGGUUGUCUUCGGACGUUUGUGGAUGAUGUCCUUGGACCGUGACGUCCUGGGCCAUAAAGCGUAUGAUAAGGGAUUCACAAGCCAUGAAAUGGUGUCCUCGGUCCAUGAGGAUGGUGCCUCUGAACUAUGACGUCUUUGAAUAAUGAUGUGUAGUUUCUAGAGAUCCUCCGGUCUUGGCAUGAUGUCUUCGGGCUAUGAGGAUGAUGCCCUUAGACUAUGACGCCUUCGGACAAUGUGGCGAUGUUUCAUCCCGUGAAAUGCAAAGAUGCUGUAAUAUGGAUCGCUUGUCAAAGAAAACAGGUGAUGCUCAGUCGUAUGCGAGAAUGAGAUGAGGCAAGGUUUUGUCUUGUAUGAGAUGAGGGUAGUAUGGAGACAAUGCUUAGUCUCACGUAGCGAAAAGGCAGUGCUUAGCCUUAUACAAUAUGGAGGCAAUGCUUAGCCUCUUUCAAUGUAUGGAGACAAUGCUUCGUCUAAUGCAGAGAAAAUGCAUUGCUUACCACUUAUGCGAUAUGGAGGCAAUACUUAGCCUAAUGCAAGGUAUGGAGACAAUGCUUAGUCUCAUGCAGAGAAAAGGCAGUGCUUAGCCUUAUGAAAUAUAGAGGCAGUGCUUAAUCUCAUGAUAGAAAACCAAUGAAUAAUUGCUAGAGAGUAAAUCAUUUCUUAGCUUGAUGUGUUAGCGUUUGGCGAUUCUUGUUGGUGUGAAGAUAGUGAUCUUGCUAUGUGUAUGUAUUUGCAGAUGUUCCUGUUAUGUUCAUUAUGCCUGUGGCCAAAGAAAAAUCGUGAGUUUUGGUCAGGGGGAAUGUUGGUUCGUGCUCUCGAUUCCUUGCUUCACCAUUACUCUUGUCUUGAGGUCUUGCUUGAGUCACCUUGGGUAACGUCUGGCUGCCAUAGAAACAAAAUUUCGAAAAACAUGCAUGCAUUUGACAAAUUAUUUGUAAAAAUGUAGUUGUUUGAAAUAUGUGAUAAUGCACAAGAUCAAAUAAUUUUGAUGAACUGAUGAUUGCGACGUAUUUUUGAGACAUUUCAACCUCCUUGAUUCGGAAUUUUGAGGAUCCUCCUCAAAAUUCUGCCCUAAUUUAAAUGCGUACUUCUGGCGCUACAUUCUUGGCGGUUCCAAACACGAUGAGAUCAGGAAAACUCGAGAUCUUGCCCCAGUUUCUGACCAUAGGGGGAAUGAAGAUUUUAUUAUUAUGUGACCAAAGCCACAGGGCUGCCUACGUAUCCCCUCUUAAACGAGAAUUAGGCCGAGUGUAGUUCAGUUACGUCAAAUAGAAAGUGCAAACAUAAUCUUAAACAUAGUAUCUCUUGACUGCGUCCGAAUUGAUGGGUUUUAGACAUAUCUCCCCAUCCAUCUCUGCAAGUAUAAGUGCUCCUCCUGUUAAUACCCAGUGAACCAUGUAAGGGCCUUGCCAGUCAGGUGAGAAUUUCCCCUUUGCUUCAUCCUGGUGUGGGAAGAUUCGCUAUGGUACCAAUUGCCCCAGCAUGAAUUGCCUCGACCUGACCUAUUUGUUGAAAGCUCUUUCCAUUCUAUUCUGGUAGAGUUGACCGUGACAUACUGCGUUCAUUCUUUUUCCAUCGAUGAGAGCUAAUUUUUCAUACCGGUUCCAUAUCCAUUCUACGUCGCUGAGCUCGGCUUCUUGUAUGAUUCUUAAAGAAGGGAUUUCCACUUCGGCGGGGAUAACAGAUUCAGUACCGUAGAUCGGGUUACCAAAGUUGAGGUACGAUCUGUGGUGCGAUACCCGAGCAAAGCAAACAGUAGCUUCUCGUGCUAUUAUUUGUAAUUAUCUACCAUUUUCCUUAAUAUCUUCUUAAUGUUCUUGUUGACGGCCUCUACGGCUCCGUUCAUUUGCGGUAUGUAUGAUGUAGAGUUCCGAUGCUUGAUCUUGAAUGUUUCACACAUGGCUUUCAACAAGUCUCUAUUAAGAUUGGCAGCAUUGUCAGUAAUGAUUGACUUAGGUGCUCCAAAUCGACAAACGAUGCGGUCUCGAACAAAAUCUGCUAUAAACUUCUUAGUUAUAGUCUUAUAGGAUGCGGCUUCAACCCUUUUUGUGAAGUAGUAUAUAGUCACCAGAAUGAACCUAUGUCCGUUUGAAGUAGCGGGUGUUCGAUUGGUCGAAUGACAUCUAUACCCUAAGUGAAGAAGGGCCAGAAUGAACUUGUUGCAUUAAGUUCGUUGGGUGGUACCCGUAUCAUGUUAGCAUGUAUCUGGCAUUGGUAAAGCUUUUGAACAUAUUUGAUGUAGUAUGUUUCCAUAGUCAUCCAGAAAUACCCUGCUCUUAAUAUCUUCUUGGCCAGAACGAAACCAUUUGUGUGGGGUCUGCAAGUUCCGACAUGUAUUUCUUCGAGCAAUCUAGACGAAUCCUUGGCAUUGACACAUCACAACAAACCUAAAUCAGGGGUCCUUCUGUACAGAUUCCUCCACUUUGAAAGAAAUGGUUGGCCAAUCUUCUAAUCGUGUGCCUCUGAGUAUGGGUAGUGUGCUCUGGAUAUUCUCCUUUUUCCAAGUAAUUCUUGAUGUCGUGGAACCACCUAUUUCCGUCAAUCUCUUCUUCAACAUGAGCUCAAUAAGCUAGCUGCUUAUGAAUUCCUAUUGGGAUAGGAUCAAUGAAAUUCUUAUCUAGGUGUUUUAUCAUGGAAGACAAAGUAGCUAAUGCAUCUACAAACUCAUUCUUAAUCCUUGGAACAUGUUUGAACUCUAUCUUUGUGAGCCUCUUGAUCAGCUCUUGUACACAGUGCAAAUAUGGUAAUAUUUUGGUGUUCUUUGUAGCCCAUUCUUCAAGAAUCUGGUGCACCAACAGAUCUGAAUCUCCGAUUACCAGCAACUCCUGAAUGUUUAUGUCAAUGGCCAACCUGAGUCCCAGGAUGCAAGCCUCAUAUUCCGCCAUAUUGUUGGUGCACAGAAACCUAAGUUUUGCGGAUACCGGAUAAUGUUGACCGGUUUCUGAUACUAAGACAACUUUGAUACCCACUCCUUUGAAGUUUGUUGCUCUGUCCAAGAACAUCCUCCAACCAUCGUACGCCUUGGUGAUAUCUUCUCCUACAAACGACAUCUCCUCAUCGGGAAAAUACAUUUUCAAUGGUUCAUAUUCUCCGUCUACGGGAUUUUCUUCCAAGUGAUCCGCCAAGGCUUGCCCUUUGACUGCCUUUUGAAUUACAUAGACGAUGUGGAACUCACUUAGCAAUAUUUUCCACUUUGCUAACUUAACCCUAGGUAUGGGUUUAUGAAAGAUGUAUUUUAGCAGAUCCAUCCUUGACAUGAGAUAUGUAGUGUACGCAGAGAAAUAAUGUCUCAGCUCCUGGCUAUCCAUGUCAGAGCACAACAAGUUCGUUCUAACAAAGAGUACUGGGCUUCGUAAGGCAUGAAUGUCUUGCUCAGAUAAUAUAUCGCAUGCUCCUUCCUUCCAGUUUCAUCAUGUCGUCCUAGAACGCAACCAAAAGCCCCAUCCAACACAGAUAGAUAAAGCAGCAGAGGUCUUCCUGGUUCUGGUGGGACCAGCACAAGCGGUUUAGAUAAAUACUCCUUGAUUUUGUCGAAGGCUUUCUGGCAUUCCUCAGUCAACAUCUUUCCUCAACAUUCUGAAGAUUGGCUCACAUAUCACCGUUGAUUCUGCUAUAAAUCGGCUGACGUAAUUGAAGCACCCUAGAAAACUUAUCAUAUCUUUCUUAUUCUUUGGAGGCGGCAAGUCCUGGAUAGCUUUGAUUUUUGACGGGUCUAACUCAAUACCUCGGCGACUAACGAUGAAACCUAACAACUUUCCAGUAGGGACUCCAAAGGCACAUUUUGCAAGAUUCAACUUCAAAUUGUAUUUCUGAAGCCGGUCAAAAAUUUCUUCAAAUCUGCUAUGUGAUCCGAACUCCUUUUAGAUUUGAUGAUAACAUCAUCCACGUACACCUCUAUUUCCUUGUGUAUUAUGUCAUGGAAAAAUAGUCGUCAUGACCCUCAUGUAGGUGGCCCCAGCAUUCUUCAAACGAAAUGGCAUCAUUUUGUAAUUAUAUAUUCCCCAUGGUGUGAUAAAGACGGUCUUUACGGCUUCCUCUUCAUCCAUCCAGAUCUGAUGGUAUCCUGCGAAGCAAUCCAUGAAGGAUUGGAGUUCAUUCUUGGCGCAGUUGUCAAUCAGUAUAUGUAUGUUGGGCAGUGGGAAAUCAUCCUUAGGACUUGCUCUAUUCAGAUCUCGGUAAUCAACACAUACUCUAACUUUUCCAUCUUUCUUCGGAACUGGCAUAAUGUUGGCCAACCAGGUCGGGUAUUCGACUACUCGAAGAACCUUGGCUUUGAUUUGCUUGGUGACUUCCUCUUUUAUCUUCAAUCUCAUAUCUGGCUUGAACUUUCUGAGCUUCUGCUUUACCGGUAGACACAUGGGAUUGGUGGGUAGCUUGUGAGCUACUAUGGAUGUGCCUAAACCAGUCAUAUCAUCGUAGGACCAUGCAAAGAUGUCCUCAUACUCCUUUAGGAAUCUGAUAUACUCGUCUUUCUCUGACGGUGAUUUAUGAAUGCUUAUUGUCAUGGGCUGCUUUCCAUCAUCGACCCAUGACCCCUUGGACGCACCUCGUGGCGUCCUGGCAAGCCUCCCAAUGCCUAGCACCACAGUCGGCCCCGUGGUUUUGGCAGCGCCAAGUGACAAGCGCGCAUGCGCCUCUGUCGCCCCACCAAUAAUCAGUGCCAGUGCCCAGCGGCUGGCAAAUGCCAACAGUGUCGCGCGCACCGACAAUACCGCAUGCACAAACCAUCAUGUUGCCAAUAGCACCGCACGCACAGACAGUGCCCCGCACACAGAUCCAAUGCCAAGCACCAGUGCCCAGCCGCAGGCAAAUCCAAAUAGUGCCGCGCGCGCCGACAGCAAUACGCGCGCAGACCCUGAUGCUCAAGACAAAGUUGGUGCCAUCGGACUUGCUUCUACCUUGUAGAAGACUAAGUCCUUUUCAUUGUAAUUAUAGAGUAGUUGUACUUCAUUCAUUUUCAGUGUGCUUCUACAUCUUUCAUAGGUCAACUCAUGUAACUUUGGUUUAUUUGUUUUAAGCAUUAUUAAGGGGGACCAAAGCAUUCAAACAUUCAAGCAAUCAAACAAUUUUCUAUACUGGUGUCUCUCCCCCCGACACCGCAUAGCAUUUUGUAAUAGCUUUCAUCAUCAUCAAUAAAAUCAUCAGCUUUCAUCAUUAUUGCUCAUUUUCGCUGCUCAAUUGCUCACGACAUUGGUUUUUCCAUACGAAACUGACAAUCUAGUCUAGCGUAUAGAAGGGGCCUCAGUUGGCGCAUAGCAACCGCACUGACAUCAGUUGCUUAGCCUUACGUCGCCCUUCCAAGGAACUUAAGGAAGGCGCCGCAUAACAGUUGAUAUCAGAGCCUAUGCUCGACAUCGGAUGAGGGAACUCAUUGCCAUCAUCACCCUUUCUGACCAUGGUGAAUUACGGGGAUCGCAUCACGACCCUGCAAAGGUUGGACGACCAGGACCGCAGAAUGCGGUAGGCUGAAGUUGACAUAGCAAACAUCAGUUGCGACUCUGAGGAAGACCGGCAUACGACAGCAGUUGAGGCAGCCACAAUUCAUGGUAAAUUCGACGACCUCCAACAGGAGCGUGCCGAGGAUUUAGCCCAUCGUGACCUAGAGGCAGACAGACUGACUGCCAUGCAGCAAACCAUAGACAACUUUACAGGCCAACUCAAUGUUGUCAAUGCUUCCCUUCAAAGCCUACUCAAAGGAGGCGAAAACCAAAUCAGGGUUGCCAUGAACAUUGGCCCAAUGCCACAAAAGCUGAAAAUCCUGGAGCCAAAGCCAUACAACGGAGCUCGGGAUGCUAAAGAAGUGGAAAACUUCAUCUUCGACAUCGAACAAUACUUCGAUGCCAUAGGACAGUUGGAAGAAUCCAAAAAGGUAGCAACUACUACCAUGUAUCUUAAAGGAGAUGCAAAACUCUGGUGGCGAGUCAAAUACGAAGCCAUCAGGGCCGGUGAAGAUACUCUCAACACAUGGGCAGAACUGAAGGCAGCCAUACGCCUGCAAUUCUUCCCCGAAAAUAUGGAAUACAAUGCACAGAGAAAGUUGCAUGAACUCCUCCACACCAGGUCAGUGCAGGACUACGUGCGUGAAUUCUCCGUACUCAUGCUAAACAUACGGGAUAUGGGGGAUAAAGGCAAAUUGUUCGCAUUCAUAGAAGGUUUGAAACCUCAUGCUCGUAUGGAGCUGCAAAGACAAAGGAUAGAUACCCUACCCAAGGUCAUUCAAGAUGCAGAUUGCCUUAGGGAUUAUCAUAUGAAAACUCAGAAGGAUAGGCCCCGGCCGCCUGUCCGAUGGGGAUACAACGGGAGCCAACCUAGAAACGGUGGCCCUAACAGAAAUGGAGGAGAUCAAGGUGCAUCCAAAUCCAAGACUCCUUCCUAAAGCAGCAAUAGUGUUGCAUCAGUCAACAACAAUCAGGGGAGAAAUCCCCUUUCAGAAUACCGUCAUUGCGGCGGGGAACAUUGGAACAAUCAAUGUCCCAAUACACAGAUCAAUGCUCAACAGACUGUUGAAGAUGAGUCAGAUCCUGACGACUCAAACAACGCAGAGCAAGUAGGUGCCUUCAACAUAUUUGUUGGCUCCAUUCAUAAUACCUUUGUGGGAACCAGUGCUGGUAACCCCAAGAAGAAUGCCUGACCAAUCAUCAAGAAAGGGAAAGAAAAGGCAGAUGAGAAGCCUCUCACCACACAAAAGAGGACCUUAAUGUUCGUCGACAUAAAAGUAAACGGCAAACCUAUUCGGACAUUGAUAGACACGGGUGCUACCCACAACUACCUGGCCUCAACUUAGGUGCAGCACCUCGGUCUAGCGGUGAAAAAGAGUAGGGGUCGUGUCAAGGCUAUCAACUCUCCAUAUCAGUCAGUGAGUGGAAUAGCCAAAGAAGUGCCAAUGAAGCUUGGACCAUACAAGGGAAUAUUCGACCUACGCAUAGCUAUCAUCGAUGACUUCGAAGUGAUAGUGGGAUUGGAAUUCCUCAUGAAAACAAACUCCAUCCUGGUGCCAUAUGCCAACAUGCUCCUACUGAUGGGAGACAACAGGGCCAAAUCCCGCGCCAUACCAUGCAUACCUAUAAAGAUGGCCGCUGAAAGCAUCUCGGCCAUGCAGUCAAAGAAGGGAAUCAACAAACCUGAACCAACGGUUCCGGCUGCCCUCAACAUCAUCAAUCAAACAUCAGAUCAUCGGUGCCCAAUAACUCAUGGCACCCCUCAGUAUGUGAAGACUUGUCAAGCAUGCCUAAAGGACAAGUCGGAUCACUCAGCACAAGCGGGACUCUUGGAGCCGCUACCUGUCCCACAAAGAACUUGCGAAAGUCUUUCCCUGAAUUUCAUCACAGGAUUACCCAAGGUCGGAAAUAUUGCAACUAUCAUGGUGGUAGUAGACCGAUUUUCCAAGUAUUCUACCUUCAUAGCAGCCCCACAAAACAUAUCGGCAGAAGAUACAGCUCGACUCUUCUUCUCUCAUAUAGUCAAAUAUUGGGGCAUGCCUAAAGACAUCAUUAGUGACUGCGACCAACGCUUCACUAGCAAAUUUUGGACCCAUAUCUUCAGUUGCCUCGGAUCCAAAUUGAGUCAUAACUCAAACUUCCAUCAACAAACAGAUGGCCAGCCAGACCGGUUCAAUGACAUGCUGGAGGAAUAUCUCUGCCAAUUUGCAACCGGGUCACAAACACAUUGGGUGAAGCUUCUGGAUGCUUCUCAGCUGUGUUUCAAUUCACAAAAGUGCGCCGAUACAAACAAAAGCGCUUUUGAAAUUGUUACCGGACAGCAACUGCUACUCCCACAGACGGUGAAUGCACCAAACAUACCAAUAUCAUCUCGAGCUGCCAGUUUCUCACAAGAAUGGGAGCAAACUUCUACGAUAGUGUGGAUUUAUCUUGUCCAAGCCCAAGAUAGGGCAAUGAGAUAUGCCGAACAAAACCUUCGCUUUGCCCAACAUCAAGCAGGGGAGAAAGUGUUGGUAAGAACCCCGAGGUGGAAUUUGUUUGCAAAGAGGACCCAAGAUCCUCACAUAUUGCAAAGAUACAUCGGACCUUUUUCCAUUGAAAGGCGCAUCAAGAAAUUCACAUACCAGUUGAACACACCAGCCUGGUGGAAAAUCCAUCUAGUCUUCCAUGUCAACCGCCUCAAGUCAUUUCAGAAAUACAUGGAAGAUCAUUCAGAAAGCCAUCUCACAACACCAAGGGGAACAGACCUCCCAGCCAACAAGAGCCUGACCAAUCAUCAUCAUCCGACAGGUAAGGCUCCGAGGACGUCGCCAACUCAGGUGGGGGAGAAUGUCAUGGGCUGCUUUCCAUCAUCAACCAUGACCCCUUGGACGCGCCCCGUGGCAUCCUGGCAAGCCUCUUAAUGCCUAGCACCCAGUCGGCCCCGUGGUCUCAGUAGCGGCACGUGACACGCCGCAUGCGCCUCUGUCGCCCCAUCGAUAAUCAGUUCCAGCGCCCAUUGGCUGGUGAAUGCCAACAGUAUCGCACGUACCGACAAUGUCGCACGCACAAACCAUCAUGUUGCCAACAAUUCCACACGCACAGACAGUACCCCGCGGGCAGAUCCAAUGCCAAGCGCCAGAGCCCAGCCGCAGGCAAAUCCAAAUAGUGUCGUGCGCGCCGACAGUAAUGCGCGCGCAGACCUUGAUGCACAAGACAAAGUUGCUGCCAUCGGACUUGCUUCUACCUUGUAGAAGACUAAGUCCUUUUCAUUGUAAUUAUAGAGUAGUUUUACUUCAUUCAUAUUCAGUGUGCUUCUACAGCUUUCAUAGGUCAACUCAUGUAACUUUGGUUUGUUUUUUUAAGCAUUAUUAAGGGGGACCAAAGCAUUCAAACAUUCAAGCAAUCAAACAAUUCUCUAUACUGGUGUCUCUCCCCCCAACACCGCAUAGCAUUUUGUAAUAGCUUUCAUCAUCAUCAAUACAAUCAUCAGCUUUCAUCAUCAUUGCUCAUUUUCGCUGUUCAAUUGCUCACGACAUUGGUUUUCCCGUACGACACUGACAAUCUAGUCUAGCGUACGGAGGGGAACUCAGUUGGCACAUAACAACCGCACUGACAUCGGUUGCUUAGCCUAAUGUCGCCCUUCCAAGGAACUUCAGGAAGGCUCCACGUAACAUUAUACGCGUUUCCUUGACCAUUUCGGAAUCCCCUAAUUUAACGACCUCAAUUUUCUCCAAAUUAGACUUCGGUUUGUUUUCAAAAUUCUCUACUUCUCUGACGAUUUCCUCAGGUAUUAUAUCAUCUUCCAGAUCCUCUGAAUCACUAUCCUUAUGUUUAUUGUCUCAAUAUAUGUCACAGUCGUGGUUCUUUAGGAUAUGUAAUAAUUAUGCUGAAAAGAAUGUAGAAAGAUAAUAAUAAAUAUGAAAAGUAGUAAUGCAUUAAUAAAACUUUAAAAAUGUUAACAAGUACGACUCGAUGGCUCGAGUAAUUAUUUCAAAAUAAAAUAUUGAAAAAUGUCUUAAAUGCUCAAAACUAUUUGAAAAUAAUUCAUGCUAAUUUGCCAGGCUACCCAGGAACUCGGUGAGCUCGGGAUGGUGCAACGGUCCAAUUCUUGAGAAUAGCUCCUUUUUCCAUGGUUUGAAUGGUAAGUUCUUCCUCCUCCUCCUCCUCAACAAUUGCACUGUAGUCUAUGUCUUCUUCAUCUAGAAACAACUUCCUCAUGCCAUCCAAAACCUCAUCUUCCUCAGAUCCUCACAUCAUGUCAGCCUGAUGGAAUGUCUGGUGCAGAGGUUGUAUGGGUUGUUCCAGUGGAUAAUAAGGAGCACGCCAUGGAGGUGACCAAUCCUGAUAUUCUUGCCAUGUGUAUUAAUAUUCGAGUCCAAAGGUCGUGCCAUGGUACUGUGGUUGUACAGGUUUGGUGAUCCCCUGAAGCUUUUGCCGAGACCCUUUCCUAGUUCAUACUCCAUCCACAUCAAUAUUAUUUCUAUCUUGUUUCUCCACCAUCGGUCCUUUUCAAUUGCGUUAACCCGUUCAAUGCGAUGAUGUGUUUCUCCACCCAGCUUCCUUCUAUUUUUGACGACUGAAAUGGUCUGGUUGGUGUAUAUGGGGUUGUUCACAUCUCUAUAGAUGAUCACCUCCGGAUGAUUCCACUCAAACUUCAUAGCCUGGUGUAGAGUUGAAGCCACUGCCCCGACUGCAUGUAUCCAUGACCGUCCCAACAAUAGAUUGUAAGUAGCAGAUAUAUCUAGCACUUGGACCCAUCUGUAGAUUGAGGUUGAUUUCUCCAAUGCUGGCUCUCUCAGAUCCAUCAAACGCCUUCACAUUCGUGCUUCCCAUUCGUAUCUCGUGCAGGACUUUACCCAGUCUCUUUAGAGUGGUCAAUGGACAUAUGUUAAGACUCGAACCUCCAUCUAUCAAGACCCUGGUGAUGAACUUAUCUUUGAAUUGCACCGUGAUGUGCAAUGCCCUGUUAUAACUCAGUCCUUCUGGUAGUAAUUUAUUUUUGUGGAAAGUGAUUUUGUGGCUCUCCAAUACCUGUCCAACUAUGUUAUCCAUCUCUCCACUAGAGAUUCCGGCGGGUACAUAAGCUUUACUUAACACCUUCAUCAGAGCAUCAUUUUGCGUGUCUGAGUUUUGCAGUAGUGAUAAGAUGGAUAUUUGAGCAGGAGUUUUGUUCAUGUGGUCAAUAACAGAGUACUCCCUUGCUUGUAUCUUCAUCCAAAGAUCGUCAGUGCCAGUCUCGACAACAGGCGCCUUAGGUGUAGCUUCCUUACUCGUUCCUCCCAGAUUUUCAGUUGUGUAAACUCUGCCAGUUCUAGUCAUACCUUGCGCGAUAACUAUUUCUUGCACUUUUGCUUUUCUCUUUCUUCUUGCUUCUGCAACAUAAUCCCAUGGGAUGGCAUCAGACUUGUAAGAUGGUGUGGGAGCUACCAUCACAGUGAAGGGUGUAGUUACAUCAACUUCAAAUGGCGCCUAAGUUUGUACCACAACUGGCGUGAGGAUGACCGAAGUUGUUUUAGGGGUGUCUCAUUCUCGAAUGAGUCCGAAGGACCCUUCCUGAUCCUAUUCCUCAUCAAUUUCUAUCACAUUCACUCCCUCACCUCUGUGAUCUGGAAGAGGGUUGUUGCGAACAUUUGGUCUAGAUUCCUUUGCUUAUAUAACCUCAGUGUCGAUCAAUGUAUGAAUCUUGUCUUUCAACGUGCGACAUUCCUCAAUGGUAUGACCUUUCAUGCCUGAAUGAUAAGCACAUAUUUUGUUGGGGUUGAUCCAUUGGGAAGGAUUAUCCACAACAAAGACAGGAAUAAGGGUAACAUAACCAGCAGCCUUCAGUCUCUCAUACAGUUGGUCUAUGGGUCAGCAAUUGGGGUGUAUUGUCUAGGAGGUCCGCGGUCAAAAUUUGGGCGUGGCUUCGGGUAGUUUUGGCCUUCGGGUAGAGGUGAAUGGUAAUAUGCAGGUUGAGCAUUGUAGGUAUGGUAGGUGGCAGGGUAUUGGUAUUUCAGGGGUGAGGGUUGAUAUGUGGAUGGAGGUGUUUUGUAUGUGAGGGGAGACUUAGGGCCCUCGACUACCAUCACGGUACACACUUCUUUCUUCUUUAAAAUAUCCCCUGAUUGCAAAGCUUUAUUCAUGGCCUGCAGUACCUCGAAAUUGGUUACCAUCCCAUUCUUAAUUCCUUCUUCUAUUCUUUCUGCUAGCUUGAUGAUGUCGUAGAACUUGUGAUUUUCAAUAACCAUCAACAUUUUGUAAUACUGGGGGUCUUGAGCUCUGAAGAAUUUUUUUUUUAUUUGUUCUUCUUCAAGUGCUAGCCUUACCUUUGCAGCCUCUGAUCUCCGACGAGUAGCAUACUCGCGGAAGGUUUCUGUCGGCUUCUUCUUGAGGUUUUGAAUGUAGAAAAUGUUUGGCGUAUUUUUCGUGUUGAACCUGAAUCUAUCCUUGAAAUCUGAUGCCAUACUUACCCAACUAACCCACUUAUUUGUGUUUUGAGUGAUAUACCAAGACAAAGAGUCUCCCGUAAGGCUUCGCAUGAACAAUUUCAUGCAAAUUUGUUCAUUCUUGCCCAACCUACAAGCUUGUCACAGUAUGUUCUCUGAUGCACCUUCGGAUCACCGGUACCAUCGAAUAUUUUGAACUUGGGAGGUUUGUAACCCUCCGACAGUUCCAUAUCCGGUUGAAUACAUAGGUCCUCAUAGUUUAGACCUUCAACGCCUUUACUGCCUUCAAUACUCUGGACUCUUCCUGUGAUCUUCUUGAGCUCCUUUGCCAUGUUUAUAAUGAGCAGGUCCUUUUCAGUCGAUUCGGGUAUGUAUAGGGUUUGUUGCGGGGUAUGGGAUAAGGUUUCCACAUAUAUCGGGUUGCUUUGAUGAGUUCCCGAAACUUGGGUAUAUAGAUGGUCAUUGGUCGAGUUCUGGGGAUCAGGAGUGGGUUACAGUGCAUUUUGAGGGGUGUGAUAAGUAAUUGUUUGCGGUUAUUGAGUUAGAUGAUGGUGGUGUUGUUGUGGGGUCGGCACUGGUGGCGGGUUAAGGUUCUAGGGAGGUUCGGGAUAAUGGUAUGGUGCGGAAGGAUUUGGUGGUAGAUUUUGGUUUUUUGUGUUUUGUGGUGGUGUUUGGUUCUGUGUAUUCGGGUUUUGGUGGUUGAUGUCGGGAAUAUUGAGAGUAAGGGAAAUGUUUGCAAAAUUUCGGACCUGCUCAAGCUCGCCCUGUAGUUCUAGGAUUUUCUGCUCCAAACGUAAGACCAACUCAUUUUGCCCCGGAGUACUUCUGCCAUCUGAAGUUUCCACAUUUUCUGCCACAAUAGCAUUGUCUUUCCUGAUACUUAAAUCAUCCAUCUUCCAUUUUCCCUUUCUUUUGCUUUCGGGUCGCUUGGUGGAGGAGGAGGUGGAGAAUCUCUGGAUCUAGUAUGGCAUGCUAAUGAUGCCAGUAUGUAUGAACCAACCUUUGGGAAUGGGAAUAAUCAAAAACUAAAAGAAAAAGCAAAACGUAACCAAGUUAGUAAGGUGAAAAUAAAAGAAUGUUUGCAGUAUUUAAACAUGUUUCACAAAGUCAUGCAAUAAUUCGCGUCCUAAUUUUAGGGACAUCAUUGUGUCUGAGGUAGGCCUAAGCGACACAUAGACUUGGAGAAAAUUGAUGCCAACUUUGCUUUAUUUCAUUAAUGCGAAAAUAGGCCAAAUCAAACUUUCACUAAAUCGACAAUAAUAAUAAAGUCACUAAUGGCAUCAAGCCUUAUUAAAUCAAAAUCUAAGCUAGAAAGUUUUAAAGAACAUUAUCUCCUAAUCUACUGGGUCCCUAAAGGAUCUUCUCUAUGCUUAGCUCUCUUGUCUCCAUCAAUUAGGUUUCCCAGAUCGCGCAUAUCCAACAGUAAGUAAGCUUUUGCCAGAUUUCCUCCUUCAUCGUCGUUCAUGCCUUGACAGUCCGAGAGUCUCAUUCUAUCUUCCCUUCUAGCUCCAUUAGUUUGUGUUCCAAGUAUUCCAAUCUUUUUGUUGACUUAGUGACAAUCUCCUUCCAUUCCCUUAUCGCCUUCAUGUUCACUUUGUGCUUCUCCAGAUGUUUAGCUUCGGACUCGAACACCCUUUUGUGUAGCCUCUUAUACUUAACUUGUGCCUCAUCCACUUCAUCUAUGAUCCUAUCCUUCAGAUUGACUCCUGGCUUGAUGUCCCUUGCUACGUCGUCUUCCAGCCAUGAUAGAUAGUAGUACAUAUGACCAGCGGGAUACCUGUCCGACUCGAUAGUUUCUCCUUCCACAAUGAUCUUUCGGUUCCACAUAUGUUGCGCCUCUAACUUGAAUGGAAUGACGUCUCCCUUGAAAUCUGCUUUGUAUUGGACUAUAUUGGAAACUCGAGGUAUGACUUGUUUCCUUUUAGCUUGUCUCACUACCCUUAUAGGAGCGUAAGGAUAGAUUCCUUGCAACCCAAUCAGUGCCAAAUGAGUAGUCCCCCUUGACCUGAUGAUGAACUCACUACUAGGAAACCAUUCAAACAUCUAAUGUACCUGCUCGUCUGUCAGAUUGCUGAAGAAACACACCCAACUUACAGCAUUUCUAGGCUAUGCAAACCUGUCCAGAAUAAACGUCAUUUUCUUUGGGUUAUGGUUAGCUACAUAGUCAUUCAGUGGCUUUCGCAGAAGCUCUUGACGGUACUCUCCUCUCUGAAAGUGUUCUAGCAGCCAGACUUGUACCAAUAGAUUAUAACCCUCAAAUUGUCCAAAUCCCUACUUGCACUGAUUUAUAGCGUGGUACAUCUCAGCUAAGAUCAUAGGGAUGUUGGUAUAAGUUUGUCCCUCGAUGCCAUCCAUCAAGGUCCUGGCGACCAUGGCUAAGCGAGUAUGAAUCAUUCCUCCUUUCAUUGGAAAUAUCAACAACCCCAAGAAACAGACGACGAACAUAUAAACCCGCGGUGCACCCAACCCAAGGAAGUAAUGGCGAGUUCAUCAUGGUGAUGAUGAUACGACUUACUAUGCCCAUAACGCUCGUAAAGAAAUUCAAAAAGGAUGUAUGAUUUCUUUAGACAUAGAAGUUCAUCAUUCUUCUUAAAACCCAACAUUUUCAGAAAACCGUGGGGAGUGCGAUUCUUUGGUACUAGUAAUCCCGGACUAUCCCAUAAUAACUUGGCAAAGCCUCCUAUUUAUUCUAAAAGAGGAGUCAUUUCUAUAUUGCCAAAUCGGGAAACAUCUCUUUUCUCAUCCCAAAACAUAGUAGCGGCCUCAAUCAGUUCCCUUUUUGGUCGAAUGUUUAGCAAUGAUGGCAGGUCAUCAAGUACUCUCCUCACAUAUUUUUUGUCGCAAAGUGCAAGGUCUUUCCACCAGUCAAGUAGCAAAUGUGGGAUGUUUUAGACCAUACCGAACCUCGGGAUUUCAUGCUUUAUUUUCUGCAAACAAACAAAGGUUAGCCCUUUCCCCCUCCAGAUUUGACUACUUAUGAAACAAUGAUCAACACGUUGGCACAUUUUCUCCAAAAAUGCAAAUAAUAUGAUAGUGUCCAUUGGGAUUGUGAAAAUCCCGUCGGACUUUGGACAAGAUUCAUCUUAGCGGGUCGUUACAUUAAUAACGCUUCAACCCAUACUAGGUUUAGCAUGUUGCAUGUACAUUUCAAAUCGGAGUGGAGUUUCUAGAAUGGUCUAUACUGGUACUCCCAAGUGGACAACUUGAGAGGGAAAAGCGUGGGACCAUCGAUUGUACCGCUGAUCGACUAGUCUACCGCAAAUAAGCCCUUCCUAUUUCAAAAGGGUGGUCUCUGGAAAGCGCGGACACUCAUCAAGCGCUGCUAUAUUGAUAAUUGGCACGAGUGGAGUAUGAUGUGGAGCAUGCUUUAUGCAGAAAUAAUAACACAUUACCAAGUAUUUGCAUAAUAAAAGUAUGUAAAAGCAGUAAAUAAAAUAGCAAAAGUCAACAUGAAAAGAAGAGAAAAGAAAGACAAAACAGAGAAGUCGGAUUAGCUCAUGAAAAUGUGCGAGAACGUAAUGAAGAAGGUGGGGAAAUAGGGAUGGGAGAGUCAUAAUAUAGCAGUCUUAGUCAAGAAGAAAAGAGAUGGAGAAGGUCAUACAUGUCAUAGCAAACAAAGGAGAAUAAUGGAAGGGAUAUACAUGUCAUAGCAAUUUUAAACAAAUAAAGGUGAAUAAAGAAAGGGAUGUGCAUGUAAUAGCAAUUUAAAAAAAAAAUAAAGAAAAAUAAAAGAAAGCAAUCCACAUAAGUCAAGUUCAUUAUGGUAAAAGCCUGAGUAUUUCCCUAGCAGAGUCGCCAUGCUGUCGCGCCCUAUUUUCUCGCGAAAGCGGGCUUUGACAUGUGACAACUCUUUUAAAAGGAGGUAUUAAAAGAGAAAAGUCGCCACCUAACGAUUUUUAAGGUACGUUAGGGCACCUAGUUGCAAAUAACUCUGUUUAACUAGUCAACGCCACCAAAGAUCGGGUAAGGGCUUAAAUUACCUCAAAGAUAAGGUUUUAGAAACUCUUCGAGGUUCACAACUGUAGGUCCCGACCGAAAUUUAGACCAUGUGGAUUAUACAAUUAGGCUAGACGAUCAAAUAAAUAUAAGGGAUGUUUAGAGGUUGUAGAGACAUAUGAGAAUCGGUACAAGUCUUAAUGACUACAAGGAUACAACUACAUUGGUCUAUAUUAAAUGACAAAAUAUAGAUAACAAGUACAAAAAUUAGGGGGGGGGGGGCUAAGUUUUUAGCCUAAAGGAUCACCCCGUACAACAUAAAUAAUACUUUACAACUCCCUUAAAGUAGAGGUUGCUCGUAUUAUUAAGCGGGCACAGACUAUCAUCUCCUGCUACCCGAUUACUAUGUUGAAGGUGUUUACUUAAAAGCAUUCUAAUUCAAUUCUAAGUCGUACCCUGUGCGUGCACUACUCGUCCCAUGCCUAUGGUCCAGGAAGCCUUGGACCUACUAUAAGGUAGUUUUAGACUUUACUUAGGUUGCUAAAAAUGAUAAAAUUAGGCGACAUGCAAAACAGAUAGGACUGCAUAUAAUUGCAAUAAAAGGCUCAAGUAACCUCCACACAUAAGCAGGAAAGCACGCAAACAGAUUUCUGGUUAUGCAGUAGACGACAUUAAGACGUGUUGGAAUCCUUAAGUCAUAUAGGCAUGAUUUCUAUGUGAUUCUGGAUUCCAAUAUUAUAUAGGCAGUGCUGUAAUUUAUGAAGUAACGUAUAGGCAAAUUAGAGCGUUGCAAGUCCUAUAUACAUAAUAUCUAAUCAUUUGUGUAAUAAGGUUUUGAAAACAAUCCCAUAAUUCUGAAUUAGUAAAGCUGAUUUUAUAGAUAUGCCUCUUAGGCAGGCGAUAGUACACUAUAGGUAUGAUCUCUAAUAGUAGCAUAAUUAGGCAGUGAAGUCAUUUGAAAACACAAGAUUAGUAGUGUCAAUAAACAUCCUAUGGGUAGGAUUUCUAACAAUUGACAAUUGGACUUGAUUUUUAAACAAUUUAUCCCUAUAGGCAUGCUAUCUAAAUGAAGCAGUACAAAAGCAGCAUGAAGCAAUUGAUUAAUUAUUUAAUACUUUAUAGUCAUGGUAUCUAGAUAAGUAAAGGUAUUGCAUUGUUAUAUCCUAUAAGCAUGUUAUCUAAUAGUGCAUAGAACGCGAACAAGUGAAACACUUAGGUUCUUACAAACAUGUUUCUGAUAGUGUGCGGGCAUUAGACAGGUUGAGUAAGUGAAGUGUUUGAGUUCCUAUAGGCAUGAUAUCUAAGUGCAAGAAGUCUAGUUUGGAUCCUAUUGGCAAGUUCUCUAGCCAUUCAAGUCAUAACAUUGUGUGCAUAUAAUUCCAGAGAAUAAGGCGUGAUGAAUAAACAAGCUAUUAAGAUCCUAUAGACAUGAUCUCUAACCAUUCAUGCAAAAGAUAAAGUAUCCCAGUUCCCCCUUUUCACUAAUUCCUAGUUGUCAGUUAUUACAAGUAAUUACAGGCCCAAAAAUGAAAUAAUACAGUCUUAAAGAUGACAAAACAUAGGCUGAAAUGAAUACAAGCCGACCAAAGCAAUUACAAGCCCAAUAUAAAAGUAACCCGGGAAUAUCCCAGACCUUCCAUAGUCUUACUCUCCGGACAAACAGCAGGCCCAAACCACAGGCUCACACGAUAACUAGAGUGCACAUGAAUCCAGUGCCCAGGUCCAACAACACCCAUGGCCCAUCUCCAGACCCAAUGAAUAACUUACUUACCCACAUGGAUACUAAAUUUAGCUAUGCAGGUGACUCAAUACUCAUAGAACAACUUAAUCCCUUGGUUCUUAGAGCUGUAGCCAUUAACAGCUCUAGACAAGACAUAUAAAUAGGAUCAUGCUAGAUGGAAAGGCACACAAGGCACAUAUGAGGAAAUCUUAUGCUUUGAAAUUCCAGAAACAGAGUUUGAUAGUGACAAGAUUGACCAUCAUAGGACAGUAAACCAUUUCAGUAAAGCAUGAUCCAGAAACAACCUAAGGACCUUUAGAUGAUAUUCUAACAGAAUUAUGAACAAGAAGCAGGUAGAGUAGAGUCUUGAUAUGAAGGUUUUAACAUGAAAACCUAAUGAGAAUGUGGUUGAAAAUAGCAUAACAACAUGCUAGCGGGCACAAUUUGGCAAACAUACUUGGUUGAUCAUCGAACUUAACCUGAUGAACAUUAAUUAUAACACAAAGAUUCUAAAGAACUCAUAGUAGGCAAAAGAACAUAUCAAUUAUAGGCUAGCAGGACAUGCAUGAAUUAGGAUUCAUGUCAGUCGACCACACAUGAGGGAUAACUAAUCAUUGGUAUUUAUCCUAGAAGCAAUGCUAAAGGGUGCAGGAUUGCCCAGUCAGGCAAUACAAUUGCCAGAGUUACAAAUCACAGACAAAAAUGCUUGGUUAGAGAUUAAGACAAUGCUAUAACAUGGGAGAGCGAAGGAUCAGUUUGCAUGAAAUAAUAGGUUAUACAUAAAGGAUAUAGUAGGAAGAGAUUCAUUAAGGUAGACUUUGAGCAAGAAGUUUCUACAAAAGGUCCCAGAAAUCCAAGGCAUGAAUAUGAACUCAUAAUAGAUAAAGGACACGACAUUGAUGCUAACAUGAGCAUGACCAAUUAGACAACACCUAAGAAGGCCAGAAACCAUUUGAGUCAAAUACAUAGAGUGAAAGCAUACUACACAUGUUGAAGCCUAUCAAGUCUGAUAUUAAAGAACAUGGAACCGCAGAACGUCAAUAGAACUACAUAAAGCAUACAAUAAUACAACACUGGGAGUUCACAAAUAACAAAGAAACUUAGGUCAUGCUUGUCUAUAAAAGUUCAAACAGUGUUGGCACGCAGAAUACAAAUACAUGAAUAAGUAGAGGAGUAAUAAUUAAGGUUGUAAAGUGUAGAGAAUGCUAACCAGUUGCAAAGAUAAACGAACAAAAGAGCGAGUAACUUAGAAUCUCAGCGAUGACAACAAAGAAAGAUAACAGUGAGAAUCCAGAUCCAAGUGCGUCAGAGUUCACAUGAGCUUCAGUGAGCCCCGAGCAGUGCUUGUACUAGGGACGUUAAUAGAGAAGAUUUGGGUGGCCUUUUCUAUCAGCCGGCCAUAGUUAAGAGAGCAUAAAUACUAUACAAGGUGAAAAGUAAGAGAAUAACAGUAGUUCUUAAGCGAUUAGAGUCUGUCCAAAGGGGAAAUUGGGGAGGGGUUUAUAGAGUAAUAAAAAUCAACACAUAAAUAAGGAAAUACAAUCAAUCGAACAUAAACAAGAAAAGAAGAAUAUGCAAAAAUCAAUUUAGAAGCAGAUUAGGAGAAGAAACCAGGUAAACCAUAGUUUGACUAGGAUCAUAAAUUGGCCGGAGAUCUUGGUGAAUCAAAACCUCAUAGCCUUGCUAUGAAUGUAUACAGAUGAAAUAUCGUCCAAAUCUUGGAGAGUAAAGCCGAUCUCCUUUGACUCAGAGACUGGUACUUUCCAAAAAUGGGCAAGUACCAUGUAACACCAUAUUUACACAAGUAAUAGCAGUAUAAUCCCUAAAAGGUAAGUAAAUCAUGGUAAGAAUUCAUGGAUGAUUUGGAUUCGGAGAAGAUUUUGGGUGGCGGCUAGGGUUUCUCAGAGAAGAGGAGAGUAGAGGAUUUAGGGGUGACUGGAGUGUGAGAAUGGGAUUAGGUUUUAGGGUGAGGGGAUAUAAGGAAAGGGUAGGGAUUAUUAUGGGCCGUUGAUCAUCUGAGAUCAACAAUCGUGAUUAAAGGGAGGUGGGGCGGGUCGAGUAAAUGGGUCUCGACCGGGUUGGAACAAAAGGGGUCAUUUGGUUUAGGCCAGGGAAGAUUGGGGUUGGGCUCAUUUGUUUGGACCUUAAUUGGUCCGGAAAUAAGGCAUAAUUUGGGCCAGAUUUUGAAGUAUGGGGAUUAAGGGGAAAUAAUUUUAAUAAAAUAGCUAAAUAAAAUAUAAAAAAUACUAUUUAUUAAACUUAAUACUUUAAAACAAUAGUUGAAGAUUAUGAUAAAUGUAAAAAAAUAUUUUGUCCUUAAAUAAAAUGACAAAUGCAAUUUAUUGUAAAAUAUAGGCUAUUUUUGUAAAAUUACGUAUUUGGCAUAAAAAGUACAAAUUUAAUUAUAUAAAAUAAAGUAAAAUAUUAUAAAAUAGAUAUGUUAAUGCAAAUAAUAGAGUUGGAUGAUUAAAUCAUCACAAAAUAAUUUUAAGGGAUUAAUUAAUACAUAUUCAAAUAAUUUAACUGCAAGAAAAUCAGCUUUAAAGCUUUAAAAAUUACGAAAAAUUAUAUAAAUACUUGUAUAACUAUUGUACAACAACAAGAUUGAAGAUACCUCGAGAUAUAAAGGUAAUUAUCAUACAAAUGAUUGAGUACCCACACGUAGAAUCCAUGAAUAAUGUGGAAACAAAGAGGUAAUAUUAAUUGCACGAUGAAUGAUGAUGUGAAGGUGUGAUAUUGACUAUAAUUAGAAAAAUUUAAGUUGUGAUGUUUUCAUGAAGAAGAUUGCACGUUUCUUACCUUUAGCAUUAUGAAAAUAGUGUAUGUUAUGAAAAAUUACAUGAAAGUUAUGCGGGUUUAGCCUGAGGCAGUUGUAUUUACCAGUAAUAUAUUUGAGCAUGGACUAAAGGGCAAAAUGCUAGAAAAAGAUUUUUAAAAGUAAACUGGGCAUGAAAAGUGAUAUGCUAACUUUAUUGUUGUACGGGUAGAAAGAGAUGAUACUUGGCAACAUGAGUUGCGACUAGAAGUGUCAUAGUACUUGGGUAUGCGAGGGGAAAAGGAAUCCUUGAUGAGCAUAACCAUUUUUCUUCUAUUGUUAGGAUAGUAGGUACUACUAAGUGUAAUUGCAAAGUAGAAGUCAAGUCUUCGUGAAAAUCUGAAAUGGUGAAUAAGAUUUUGAGCUGGGAAUAAAUAAUUUGUAGUAGUAUAUGGGCGUGUGUAUAAUCAGAUGGAAUGGAAUACGACUUUAAUGAAAUCUUCGAGUUUCAGGUUCAAGUUUUAGAUUUGGAUUUUACGUUUAAGUAAGGGAGCGUCAUAGCAAGUAAAAGUCACCUUAAAGGUGAUGGUUGAAAAAAUAAAAUGUAGAAAUUUUAUUCUCAAAAGAAAGAUGAAGGGAAAACCUUCGGUAAGAUUCCAGAUGAAGUGAGUAAAAUUGUCAUACAGUGCCGGUAUAGGGAUCACAUGCUUAUCACGAGCAAUAUGUACGGUGUUCAAUAUUGGGGUUAUUAAAAGGUACUAUCUAAUAGUCAAAUAUUUAAUGGGCUACUUGAAUAGAUUCUUAUAGCUUUGGAGCAUGUGUCACUUGAAUUAAAUUCAAGCAAUGGCGCAAAAUAAGAAAAUACUUUGGUCAUACAUUGGACUUAGUAGAACAAAUGAAGGUUAUAUUAUGCAUAUUCCUGAAUACAAAAAUACUCUUGCAAACCAAAACAAUGUGCUCCAAUAAGAAGCACGACGUCAAAAAAAAACAAUUAAGUGGUGCAAGUAUUAUCCUAAUAGCAUUGUCACUUUGGAGUUGAAAGCCUACAAUAUAUGAUAGUAUUAUUAUGAUAGGCGCAAUGGCAAAUAUAACUUAAAUUUCUGGUAAGAAAAUAUCAUAAAGAACUUGGUGAUAUCAAUUAGUUGGUUAAGGUUAAGAAAAUAGAAAUAUGUAAUGUGAUGUUCAAGAAUGAAUAGAUACAUGUGCCAUGAAAGGGAAGGAAGCGGAUUGAACAUUUGUCAUAUAGCGGACUUGUUAGCAACCGUAUCAAUCAAUUUUAGAUAUAAAGGAAACUCAAAAGGUUACAUGUGUAAGUGGAGGUAUAAAUCACCCACGUGAUGAAUGGAUCUAAGUAAGACAAUAUCUUAUUGGUAUUCGGAUGGAAUAAAAGAACAUUAUAGAAGGAUUUGAUAACUAGAGAAUUAAGAGUCCUACGAGGACAAACUAUGCUUAGAAGUAAUUUUAUAUUAAUAAUAAAGUCUUUGAAUGGAAGAUUUUUUUUUGUUGCAAGAAAUACUCUUUCACGUGCGACUUGGUGUAUACAUAAUAGAAAGAGAAUACGAAUAUGCAUGACAGUAAUAUGUGUUGCAAUAUAGAGAAACCAAUAUUGGAAUGAGCGAGGUAUAGAUAUGCAACUGUUUAAAAUUGUAAAGAAUUAUUCGAUGCAAUUUUAGUAUAUGCACGGCCAUGUGGGACUUAGAUAUUUUGUUGUUAUACAUUGAGGACGUAUGUGUGGCCGUGCGGGUCCUAGAUAGUUUGUUGUUGUACAUUGAGCAUAUAUGUGUGGCCGUGUAGGGCCUAGACAUCAUAUUAUGUAAAGAUAUUUGGUUGUUGAAUUAUAUUAAAAUUGGUGCCCGUGUGGGGACUGAUAAGUUGAGAUUUUGACUACUUAUUAGCACUUUUUUAAUUUUGUUUUAGUCUGAAAGUAUUGCAUUAUGUUCCCGAAACUAAUAAAAGUGUGCAAAUUACAGGAAUGUUGGAAGUUUGGUAUAUGGGACUCAAAAAGGAGUGUUCCGAAUUAGAAGGCAAGAAAGGGGCACAGAACAAAAGAAGUGCGGACCGCAGAAUUCCAUCUGCGGCCACAGAUCAAGUGAAAAAUCCCAGCAGGAAUUUGGCCAAUGUGCGGCCGCAGAACAAGGUCUGCACUCACAAAUGAUUCAAUGUUCAGAGACGGUGCAAAAGACCAAGUUCUGAAGCCUUGCUGAAGUGCGGACAACAGAAGAAUUAUGCACUCACAAAAGAUGCUUCGCAACCGCAAUCAAAAAUUGUUCGGCUACAGAAUCCAAGAUCUCGCCAACUGAAGAAAUCUGCGGACCGGACUUGGAAUUGUGCGGCCGCAUAACCUCCCGAGGGAAAUUUUUGUCAGCGAAUUUUGGGCCACUAUAAAUAGACGAGUUUCACAUUUUUAGGUCAAGUUUCAAAGUUCGAACUGUUGUAGCCUUACAUUUUGCCAUUUUAGGAAGUUUGUGACUAUUUUAGUGUUUAAAUAUUAUAUUAUAUUAUAUCAUUUUAAUCUUAGAUUAUGAGUUUAAUUAGCAUUUCUUAUUUAUUUUCUUUAAUUUUUACUAUGAGUAGCAAGAUUCUUACUAGGGUUGUGACCCAACCCUAGUGUGUAAACCUUGUGGGUAUUUAAUUUAAUGUUUGUUUAUGAUUGGGUGUUGAUUAUUUAGCUUAGUUUAUGCUCCAAUUUUAGAAUUAAUGGUUGUAAACAUUGAUUCAUGCUUUUUUUGACUUAGUCUCUAUUUGAGAAAGAGAGACCUAGUCUAGGAUAACUUGGCUAACAAGGAAUAGGGCUAAUUGAGGGUUUUAUUAGUCUAAUUAAAGGGUUCAAACUAGAGAUAGGUAGAACAGGGUUUGACCUCAAAUCAACUAUUUUGUUUGAUACCCAUUUGGACCUGAGAUAACCAAAUUGGGCAAAAUCACUCUUUGAUCGAGAGGUAUUGAGUGGGUAAUGUGGAGUUGAGAGCUAUAAUGCACCCCAAUCAACGAAACAAGUAUUAAAGUAUUUAACUGUCACGACCCAAAAUCCCACCACAGGAGUCGUGAUGGCACUUAGUCUCUACAACUAUGUAAGCCGAUUAUAACGGCAAUUCAAGCCAUUUUUUAAAAUUCAAUACAAGUGCCAACAUUAACAACGGAAAUACUCAAACAAUCUCCCAAGACUGGUAAUACUGAGUUACGAACUCUAACUGAAUGCAUGGAAUGAUCUCGAGGACCGAAUAUACAAUACUGUUCGAAUAAGAAAUUAACAGUACAAUAAAUUAGAAAGACUCCAAGGGUCUGCGACGACCAAGCAGCUCUACCUUGAAUUCUUACGAUCAACACACUAACUUUGUCCGAGUUCGAUAUCUCCAACACUUGGCUCUGUACAAAUAUGUGCAGAAGUGUAGUAUGAGUACACCACGGUCGGUACCCAGUAAGUAUCAAGACUAACCUCGGUAGAGUAGUGACGAGGUACAGUCAAGACACUCACUAGUCUAAUAACUUGUGCAAUAUAGCAUAUAAAAAUAAUAGGAAACUAAUAUCAGUAAUAACAACAAUAAUCAACAUGUGAUAUAAACAGCAAGGCAGCAAGAACACCAUAAAUAUUGCUUAAAACAAAUAAUGAACACAAGUACAACCAAUAAUCAAGUCCUUCAAAAUAUACAUCUUUCAUCUAUAAGUUUUUCAAAUAAAAAUCUUUAGAAUAUAAUCCUUUCCAAUAAAUAUAUUUUGAAUAUACUUCCUUCAAAUAAAUAUCAUCCAAAUAUAAUUCUUUCAAAUAAAUAUCUUACGAAUAUAAUUCUUCCAAAUAAAAUAUCUUUCAAAUAUAAUUCUCUCAAACAAAUAUCUUUCGAAUAUAAUUCCUUUCAGGUAAAAGUCACCAUGUGACACCUCAUUUCAUAAUUAUAAAACUUACGGGUCUCAUCCCACUUUCAUAUUUCCAUGGCACUUCAUGCCCAUAUUUCUGUCACAACCACACGGACAACUCACGUGCCAAUAAUAAAAUUAUCAUAUUUCUCCAGCACCUCGUGCCCAUAUUUCUUUCAUAACCUCACGGACAACUCCCCUGCCAAUAAUAAAAACCACCCGGUAAUAGCCACAGGAUCACAAUUACAACAUGAAUUAGACUAUUAUCACGUUUACCGAUACAACAAGACAUGUUGCACAAGAGAUAAAAAUAAACACCAGAAAAAUCACAUCAUAUAAAAAUCAUCAACACAAUAAUCACACAUCAUCACGUAUCAUCCCUGACAAUAGCCACCCUUACCUCUCCCAUAGCCACCCGUAUCAGUCCAUAAUAAUAGCUACCCGUAUCCCUCUGUCCUGACAAUAUCAAUAGCCACCCUUAUUGCUUUUAUAGUCGCCCUUAUCACUCCUAUAGCCGCCCUUAUCACUCUUAUAGCCGCCCUUAUUACUCCGCUCAGACAAUAUCCCAACACACAUAAACACAGUAAAAUGCCACCCUUAUACCCACACAAUAUUAACAGUGGAAUGUCACCCUUAUGUCCUAAUAAUAAUAACUCAAAUCACAUAAUUAUUCACACGGAACAUUAUCACGACAACACAACACAAUCAAUUUAUAUCACAAAUUGCCCAAUGGCCACAACCAAUUCCAAAGAUACAACAAAAUCAAUAAAUUUCACAACAAAUAGCUCAAGGCUUUCCACAACGUAUAUAAAAUCUCAAAGACAACAACUGAGAUGGAAAAGUAACUUAACAUAGGACAUCGCCUUCUUUAAUCCAAAUUUUUAAUAAAUAUAUUAAAGUUUCAUUUUGAACUUAUUUGAUAAUAUUUGCGGAUAACAAUCCAUAAUAAAAUUAUUUCCAAGAAAUGCCAACCCAACUAACCACGGUAUUUAACAUAAUAAAACAAGGAAUGAGGCAUGACAAAUAAAGGAUUUAAUAAGCUCCAAUAAUUUUUUUAAUUUAAUAUUUAAUUAGGAUGUCUGCGAAUUUUAACCGAUAUAAUUUGCACAUAUAAACCAAGUACAUACUCGUCACCUCGCGUACAUGGCUUUCAAUCACACAAUUUUCACAUAAAACUCAAUGCCUAAGGGGUAUUUCCCCCACUCAAGGUUAGGCAAGAUACUUACCUUUUUGAAGUUAGGCCGAUAUUCCAAAAUAGCCUUCUUUCUUGAAUUGACCUCCGGACAGUUCAGAUCUAUCCAAAUUAAUUGUAUAACUUCAUUAAAAUUUCGGAUAAUAAAAUACCAAUUUAAACUUUUAUUCUAAUAAGUCAACGUGGGCUGGCCCCUCGGAACCCGCUGGAAUUUUUAAGAAAUCCGAACAUCCAUUCCGAUACGAGUUCAACCAUACCGAAAUUAUCAAAUUCCGAUAACGGACUGCCCUUCAAAUCUUAAAUUAAAGUCAAGAGGAUUUCUACCAUUUUCAACCCAAUUCACUAAUUUAGUGAUAAAAACAAUAAUAGAUUCAUGCAAUUUAACCAAAAUCAAGUUAGGAAUUCUUACCCCAAUGUUUCCCUCGAAAAACUCUAGAAAUAUAACCUCACCCUGAGCUUCCUUGGUCCAAAAAUGGAAGAAUGAGACGAAUUUGGACUUUAUUCUACUGCCCAGGGGUUUGUUCUUCGCGUUCGCGUCCGUCACCUCGCAUUCGCGAUGAACAAAUUCUUCAACAACCAUUUUCACACUCUUUUCUGACAGCCUCUACUAGAAGGGUCAUAACAUUUUGUACAAAACUCCAAAUAAUGAAUGGUUUGACCGUUUGAAAACUAGACUCAUAACUUUAAUUUGUUGCUCAUCUCCCAAUUCCUUAUAUAUUGCGAGAUAUAAGCUUCCAAAGUCAGCCCUGUACAGUAGAGAUUUCCAAACUCUUCCCAGACAACCUGUAGUUUAUCCACCAUAACUUUUUGUACAAAACUAGAAAUAAAAAAUGGUUUACCUUUCCGAAAUCUAGACUCAAAGGUCUACAACUUUUAUUUUUGGAUCAUCUCGAAUUCCUUAUAGAUUGCGAGAUAUGAGCUUCCAAAGUCAGACCAGUGCAACAGAGAUUUCCUUCUUCGCGAAUGCGAGAGUCUCUUCGCGAACGCAAAGAACAAAAUCCGAGAAGCCAAAUCCUUCUUCGCAAAUAUAAUGACCCGACCAGUCGUUUUGCUUUCGAGAACCCCAUUCCCCUAAAUAAGACUUCUCGUAUAUGCUUUUACUGUUUUAUGACUUGCGGAGAUGGUUAGUUCGUGAUUUGGAAGGGUUCGGGUUGAAAUCAAAAUACUUGGUUCCUUGAGAUUGGCUUAAAAGGCCAAGUUUGACUUCGGUCAAUAUUUUCAGUAAAUGACCUCAGAAUCGGGAUUUGGCAGUUCUAAUAAGUUUGUAUGAUAAUUUCGGACUUGGGCGUAUGUUCGGAUCAGGUUUUGAAUGACCCGGGAGCGUUUCGGUGCCUAAUAGUGAAAGUUAGUUCUUGAAGGUUUUAAAAAAUUUUUAAAUUUGGUUUGGAGCGGGUUUUGGUGAUAUCAAGGUCCAAACGGAAUUCCGAGCACAGGAAUAGUUCCGUAAUGUCAAUUAAGACUUGCACGCAAAAUUUGGUGUCUUUCUGAGUAGUUUAAGUACGUUUCGGCGCAUUAGAAGUAAAUUGAAGAACUCAAAGUUCUUAAGUUUGAUUCAAUUGGUUUUGGGGUGUGAUUCGUAGUUUUAAUGUUGUUUCUGGGGGCCCGAGGGUCAAUCGGACAAAGCUCAGACUAAGUUAGAAGUUGGGAGCAGCUGCUGAAGCUCCAGUUCUGUCAUAACCGCACCUGCACUUGGCCAGCUGCAGGUGCGAGCCAUGAGCCGCAGAAGCGGAAAUGCGAAGGAAUCCCAGGUACCGCAGGUACAGAGGAAUUUACGCACCUGCGUGACCGCAGGUGCGGGAACUAUUUUCACAGGAGCGGAAAGGGCUCACAUAUGCGGCUCCUGGUGUCCGCAGAUCCGGAGCCUGUCCAUGCGAGGAAAAGGCGCACCUACGAAGGUCUUGCCGCAGGUGCGGGACCGCAUAUACGACCCUAUAACCGCAGGUGCGAAAACCGCUGGAGGCAGUGAGCCUCAUUUAUUAUGGGUUAGGGCCAUUUUUAUCACAUUUUCUUCCACUCUUGGGUGAUUUGAGAGCUUCUAAGGAGGGGAUUUAGACCUAGAUUUGUGAGGUAAGUAAUUUCUAUUAAAUAUGAGUUUAGUACAUAUAUUAUGGGUAGAUUUUCACAUGAUAAUUGGUAGAAAUCAUGGGUUUAGGUAAAAAAACCUAGGAUUUAAUAAAAAUAAGAUUCUACCAUGCAAAUGAUUAUGAAACUUAGUGAAUAUCAUAUAUUAUGUUCCUAAGGUUAUGGGUAACUACUUUCUUCAAAAUAAUUUCGGAAUCCGGGAGUGUGGGCCUGGGGUGAAAUUUAGGAAUCUUGCAAUUUGGAUUGGGUAAUCACUUUAAUAGUGGAGAUAUGAACAAUUGAGCAUAGAUUGAUCGAUUUAUAUAAUGUUUGGCUAGUUCCGAGUCGUUUGGCAUCAAAUUUGGAGGUUUGAGCGCAUCCUUGAAUUGGGAAGUAAGCUUUGAGACGAGGUAAGUCUCUUUUCUAACCUUAUAAGAGGGAACUCACCCCAUAGGUGAACUUAAUUAAUAUGUGUUGUUAUUUGUGGGGGGUGGGGGUGGGGUGGAGGGCUACAUACGCACGAAGUGACGAGAGUCCGUACGUAGCUACUAUUCAUGUUUAUGUCCGGGUAGUGUUAGGUCUACGCCAUGCUUGUGGACACCGUUAUUUGAUUAGAUUUGUUAACUGUAUCAAAUGAAACUAAGUCGAGGAUUUUUGAGGGUUUAAAAGCUUCAAGCCGAAUUGUCUUUAUUUUGAAAAGAAUCAAGAAAUGAUUAUGAUUUAUUGAUAAAUUUAUUGAUUUAUUGAUAAAUUUAUUUUGAAAAUUCGCGCCGUUCGACCCUCGGCAGUGCACAGUUUAUAUUUAUGUUGGAUCGGGCCGAACGUCCUUGGUGGUAUUCGUGUGUGAUAAUAGUACUCGAAGUUUCUUUCAUAUUUGGUACAAAGUCAUUGUUUUGUGUGAUCAUAUAUUUUAAAGGAAGGAAAUGAUUUAAGCUCUUAAAGAUGGUGAAGAGUUGUUCAGUUAUUUCUUGUUAUGAGUCUUAUUGUUGUAUGUUAUGAUUAAUUAGAUUUUCAUAUUAUCAUGUUAUUGGCCCUAGUAAGUGUCGGAGUGCACCCCUCGUCAAUACUUCUUCGAGGUUAAACUAGAUACUUACUGAGUACAUAUAAUGUAUGUACAUACGCUACACUUUUGUACUUAAAUGUACAGGAUCUGAGGCAGGUGCAUCUGGUUACCAGUCUGGAGCGCAGUUCUGAUCCCCAUCUCGAGACUUCACGGUGAGCUGCCCUUCCGAGCCGUUCUGCAGCAGCUGGAGUCUCUCAUGCUUUAUUUUUUUCUGUCUAUUUCCUUUCAGACAGUAGGCUAGUACUCUUUUGUAUAUUCUAAUAGAUUGCCCACACACUUGUGACACCAGGUCUUGGUACACACACUAGUAGACUUAUUAUUUUAGAUUUGUUUACAUGAUUACGAUUAGUACUUGUUUUUUUCCUUUUAAUUAUGUCACGUUUGCAAAUUUCUAAAUCUUUUUAACAAAUGAGGAAAUGUUAUCCAAUUAGUAAUUUAUUUAAACGAGAAAUCAUUAGUUUGAUCAGCGUUGGCUUGCCCAAUAAUGGUGUUGGGUACCAUCACGGCCUAUGUUAGAAUUGGGUCGUGACAACAUGGUAUCAGAGCGCUAGGUUCACAUAGGUUUCACAAGUUAUGGGCAGGCCUAGUAGAGUCUUGUGGAUCGAUGCGGAGACGUUCGUACUUAUCUUCGAGAGGCUAUAGGGUGUUAUGAAACUACUCUUUAAUCAUUUCCUAUCAUGCAGUUGAUGGUGUACUAAAUUCCUUUCUCUCAUUCUGUCACGAUGGUGAGGACGCGUACGGCGGACAUUCCAGACUCGGGAGGAGCUGCUUCCCCCAUUGCUAGAGGCCGGGGGAGGGCACCAACCCAAGGUAGGGGAUGAGGGAAUCUCAGUGCUGCCCCAGUAGCACCACCAGCAGACCCAGUAGAGGAUCCCAUCAUUGAGGAGUAGGGAGAGGUGCCUGCCGCAGAGCCAGCCUCGGUAGAUUUCAUAUCAACAGCGGGUUUUCAGGAGGUCAUGGGCCGUAUGCUCCGGUUCAUGGACACCAUGACUCAGGCUGGUUUAUUUCCUGCAGACCCAACACAUCUCAGGCGGGAGGGGGAGCACAGACCCCUACUGCUCAGGAACAUGGGCACGCAACUGCAUUAUACCAGACUCCGGGUACACUACCUGUGGGUGGAGCCCAGCCAGUUGCCACAACUGCACCUGAGCCUAGACAAGCUGUGGACAGUGAUCCACAGAAGCUAUUAGACAGAUGGACUAGGCUACACCUUCCUAUCUUCGUGGGCGAGCGGCAUGAGGAACCCAGGACUUCAUUGACCGGUGCCGGGACAGACUGCACAAUAUGAGGAUAUUGGAGUCCUAUGGGGUAAAUUUCACUACUUUCCAGCUGGAGGGCAGGGCCCGUAGAUGGUGGCAGUCUUAGGACCAGUAUGUUCUCCUCCCAUGACUUAGGACCAGUUUACACAGCUUUUCUUGGAUAGGUAUAUUCCACCCUCUCAAACAGAAGAGUUGCGAGGUCAGUUUGAGCAGCUCGAGCAGGUUCAGAUGUCAGUGACCAAUUAUGAGGAGAGAUUCUCUGAGUUAUCUUGCCAUGCACUUAUGAUACUUCCUACCGACGUAGAGAGAGUGCAGAGAUUUAUUGCGGGGUUACACCCCAGUAUUCGGGCUAGUAUGGCCCGAGAGGUUGAGAUGGGUACUGGCUAUCAGCUAGUAGUGGAGAUUGCUUAGAGUAUUAAGGGCUACCGCCAUAGGGGUAGAGAGCAGAUACAAUAGGACAAGAAGGCCCGAUUCUCUAGAGAAUUUAGAGGUGCCCCGGCCAGGGGCAGAGGGCAGUUUGGGAGGGAUCAGCCUAGCUGGCCCACAUAUCCAGCACCACCACCUCCUCGGAGUACUCCGGUGUGACCCUAUUUCAGUGCUAUGCCAGAUAGUUCUUAUCGCCCACCAGCUCAUCAGGGUUCUUCCAUUGCCUAUUUUAGCGCCAUGCCAGAGAGUUCAUACCGCCCACCAGCCAUUCAGGGUUCUUCUAGUGGGUAUUCAGGCCAUCAGGGUUAGAAUUCGGGGCAACAGUCUAUGGUACCGAGAGGUUGCUACGAGUGUGGAGAUUCGGGUCACAUGAAGAGAACUUGUCUCAGACUUUGGGGCAAGUUAGUACAGUAGGGUCAUCAGCCCAUGAUUCUAGCACCAGCCGUCCGACUGCCCAGAGGUGGGGGACAGGCGGGUAGGGGCCAUCCUAGAGGUGGAGGCCAGGCAGGGGGAGGUCAGCCAGCUAUUGUUCAGCCAGGUGGAGGCCAUCCAGCCGGCGCUCCAGCUAGAUUCUAUGCUUUUCUGUCCAGACUAGAUGCAGUGGCCUCAGAAGUCGUGAUCACGGAUAUUAUUUCUGUCUGCGGUAGGGAUGCUUCAGUAUUAUUUGAUCCAUGGUAUACCUAUUCAUAUGUAUCAUCUCUGUUUGCUCAUUUCCUGGAUAUUCCUCGUGAGUCCUUGGGUACUCCUGUUUGUGUGUCCACUCAUAUGGGAGACUCUAUGGUUAUGGAUCGGAUCUAUCGGUCCUGUGUGGUCACAUUCUGUGGUUACGAGACUAUAGCAGACCUUCUAUUACUUGAUAUGACCGACUUUGAGGUCAUACUGGGCAUGGACUGGUUAUCCCCAUAUCAUGCCAUCCUUGAUUUCCAUGUCAAGACUGUUACCUUAACAAUGCCAAAGUUUCUUAGCUUGGAGUGGAAGGGUUCAUCUGUUAGUACAUCUAGUCGGGUUAUCUCUUUAUCGAAGGCUCGACAUAUGGUCAGGAAGGGUUGUUUGGCUUAUCUAGCCUAUGUUCGGGAUACCACCGUAGAGUCUCCGACCAUUGAUUCGGUGCCAUUAUUUCGGGAGUUUGCCGAUGUGUUUCCUUCGGACCUUCCAGGCAUGCCGCCAGAUCGUGACAUUGAUUUCUGUAUAGACUUGGCUUCAAGCACUUAGCCUAUAUCUAUCCCACCAUAUCGUAUGGCUCCGAAAAAGUUAAAGGAGUUGAAGGAACAACUUGAGGAGUUGCUAGCAAAGGCGUUCGUCAGGCCGAGUGUAUCACCUUGGGGUGCACCAAUAUUAUUUGUGAAGAAGAAGGAUGGGACUAUGCAGAUGUGUAUUGAUUACCGCUAGUUGAACAAAGUACCAUUAAGAACAAGUACCCCUUGCCACGUAUUGAUGAUUUGUUUUACCAGUUGCAGGGUGCUAGCGUGUUUUCUUAGAUCGACUUGAGAUCGGGAUACCAUCAGUUGAAGAUUCGGGACUCAGAUGUUCCGAAGACUGCCUUCCAUACUAGAUAUGGCCAUUAUGAGUUUCUAGUGAUGUCAUUCGGCUUGACUAAUAUUCCAACGGCAUUUAUGGAUUUGAUGAAUAGGGUGUUCAUGCCUUAUAUCGAUUCCUUUGUUAUUGUCUUCAUUGAUGACAUCUUGAUUUACUCACGUAGCAUGGAGGAGAACGAGUAACAUUUGAGAGUGGUGCUUCAGACCUUGAGGGACUAGAAGCUAUAUGUUAAGUUCUCCAAAUGUGAGUUUUGGUUAGAUUCUGUGGCAUUCUUGGGGCAUGUGGUAUCAGGCGAGGGUAUUAAGGUGGAUCCCAAGAAGAUUGAGGCGGUUUAGAGUUGGCCUCGUCCUACUUCGGCGACUGAGAUCAAGAGUUUCCUGGGGCUAGCAGGUUAUUAUCGCUGAUUUGUGGAGGGUUUCUCAUCCAUUGCAGCACCUUUGACUAAAUUGACCCAGAAGGGUGCUCCGUUCCGUUGGACCGACGAUUGUAAGGCGAGCUUUCAGAAGCUCAAGACAGCUUUGACUACAGCAAUGGUUCUAGUGUUGCCUUCCAGUUCGGGGAUGUAUACUGUGUAUUGCGACGCCUCACGCGUUGGCUUGGGUUCUGUAUUGAUGCAGGAAGGGUGAGUUAUUACAUAUGCUUCACGUCAGCUGAAGCUCCUUGAGAAGAAUUAUCCUAUGCACGAUUUAGAGUUGGCCGCGAUUGUUCAUGCUCUUAAGAUCUGGAGGCACUACCUAUAUGGGGUGCCUUGUGAGGUUUACACUGAUCACCGCAGUUUGCAGCACUUGUUCAAGUAAAUGGAUCUCAAUUUGAGGCAGCGCAGAUGGCUUAAGUUACUGAAGGACUACGACAUCACUAUUCUUUAUCAUCCGGGCAAGGCGAAUGUAGUCGCGGAUGCCUUGAGCAGGAAGGCAGAGAGCAUGGGUAGCUUGGCAUUCAUUUCUGCAGAGGAGAGGCCACUAGCUUUGGACAUUCAGUCCUUGGCUAACAUACUUGUGAGGUUGGAUAUUUCAAAGCCCAGCCGAGUUCUUGCAUGUGUUGUUGCCCAAACUUCACUAUUGGAGCAGGUAAAGGCUCGACAGUUUGAUGAUCCGCAUUUGGCAUCUCUCAGAGAGAUGGUACUACAAGAUAGUGCCAAGGAGGUUUCUAUUGGCGAGGAUGGUGUCCUGCAACUCCAGGGUCGUCUAUGUAUUCCUGAUGUAAAUGGCUUGAGGGAGAGGAUUCUGUAGGAGGCGCACAGUUCUCGGUAUUCUAUUCAUCCAGUUGCUACGAAGAUGUAUCGGGACCUGAGACAACAUUAUUGGUGGCAGUGGAUGAAGAAAGACAUAGUUGAGUAUGUAGUUAGGUGACUAAAUUGAUAGCAGGUUAAGUUUGAGCACUAGAGGCUAGGUGGCCUACUCCAGCAGAUGACUAUACCGAAGUGGAAAUGGUAGCGCAUUACUAUGGACUUCGUAGUUGGGUUGCCGCAGACCUUGCAGAAGUUCGAUGCAGUUUGGGUCAUUACUGACAGGUUGACCAAGUCAGCACACUUCAUUCUAGUUGCAACUACUUAUACUUCAGAGAGGUUGGCCCAAAUUUAUAUUCGGGAGAUAGUUCGGUUGCACGGUGUGCCGAUUUCCAUCAUAUCAGACAGAGGCCCUCAGUUCACUUCGUAUUUCUGGACAGCCGUACAGAGUGAGUUGGGGACUCGUGUCGAGCUCAACACUCCGUUCCAUCCACAGACCAACGGGCAGUCAAAGCGGACAGUCCAGAUCUUGGAGGACAUGCUCCAAGCAUGUGUGAUUGACUUUGGGGGACAGUGGGAUCAAAUAUUUCCUUUGGCUGAGUUUCCUUACAACAACAGUUAUCAAUCCAGCAUCGAGAUAGCUCCAUUUGAGGCUUUAUAUGGUAAGCGAUGUCGUUCCCCUAUCGGGUGGUUUGAGCCCGACGAGGCUAAGUUAUAUGGUACUUAUUUGGUGAAGGAUGCCUUGGAAAAGGUAAAGUUGAUUCAGGAGCGAUUUCGCACAGCACAGUCCAGACAGAAGAGUUACGUGGAUAAGAAAGCGCGUGAUUUAUCUUUUAUGGUGGGUUAAAAAGUUCUCUUGAAGGUUUCGCCGAUGAAGGGUAUUAUGAGAUUGGGGAAGAAGGGCAAGUUGAGCCCCAGGUUUAUAGGAACAUUCGAGGUGUUGAGGUGAGUUGGGGAGGUUGCUUAUGUGCUUGCUUUACCUCCCAGCCUAUCAGGGGUUCAUCAGGUUUUUCACGUGUCUAUGCUCCGGAGGUAUCAUGCCGACUUGUCACAUGUGUUAGACUUCAGCACUAUUCAGCUAGAUGAGAGCUUGGGUUAUAAGGAGGAGCCGGUUGCCAUUGUUGCUAAACAUGAUCUCCAGUUGAGAUCCAAGAGGAUUUUCGUGGCAAAGGUCCAGUGGAGGGGCCAACCAGUCGAGGAGGUGACUAGGGAGUCCGAGGAGGACAUGCGGAGCAGAUAUCCACACUUAUUCAGCAUUUCAGGUAUGAUUCUAAACCUGUUCGAGGACGAAUAUUUGUUUAAGAGAUGGAGAAUGUAACGACCCGACCAGUCGUUUUUCUUUCUAGAACCUCAUUCCCCUAAAUAAGACUUUCUGUACACGCUUUUAUUGUUUUAUGACUUGCGAGGAUGGUUAGUUCGGGAUUUGGAAGGGUUCGUGUUGAAAUCAAAAAUCUUGGUUCCUUAAGGUUGGCUUAAAAGGCCAAGUUUGACUUCGGUCAAUAUUUUGAGUAAACGACAUAGAAUUCGGUAUUUGACGGUUCCAAUAGGUUCGUAUGAUGAUUUCAGACUUGGGUGUAUGUUCGGAUCGGGUUUUGGAUGAACCGGGAGCGUUUCAGUGCCUAUUAGUGAAAGUUGGUUCUUGAAGGUUUUAAAAGUUUUUUAAAUUUGGUUUGGAGUGGGUUUUGGUGAUAUCGAGGUCCAAACGGAAUUUUGAGAGUGAGAAUAGUUCCAUAAUGUCAUUUAAGACUUGCACGCAAAAUUUGGUGUCAUUCCGAGUAGUUUAAGUAAGUUUUGGCGCAUUGGAAGUAAAUUAAAGAACUUGAAGUUCUUAAGUUUGAUUCAAUUGGUUUUGGGGUAUGAUUCUUAGAUUUAAUGUUGUUUCGGGAAUUCCGAGAGUUUGAGUUCAGACUAAGUUAGAAGUUGGGAGCGGCUGCUGAAGCUCCAGUUCUGUCAUAACCGCACCUGCGCAUGGCCAGCCGCAUGUGUGAGCCAUGAGCCGCAGAAGCGGAAAUGCGAAGUAAGCCCAGGCACCGCAGGUGCGGAGGAAUUUACACACCUGCGUGACCACAGGUGCGGGCACUGCUUUCGCAGGAGCGGAAAGGGCUCGUAGAUAUGGCUCCUGGUGUCUGCAGAUGCGAAGCCCGGCUAGGCGAGGAAAAGGCGCACCUGCAAAGGUCUUGCCGCAGGUGCGGGAUCGCAGAUGCGGCCCUACGACCGCAGGUGCGGAAACCGCUGGAGGCAGUGAGCCUCAUUUAUUACCGGUUAGGGCCAUUUUUAUCACAUUCUCUUCCACUCUUGGGCGAUUUGAGAGCAUCUAAGGAGGGGAUUUCGACUUAACUUUGUGAGGUAAGUAAUUUCUAUUAAAUAUGAGUUUAGUACAUAUAUUAUGGGUAGAUUUCCACAUGAAAAUUAGUAAAAAUCAUGGGUUUAGGUGAAAAACAAAAGGUUUAAUAAAAAUGAGAUUUUACGACGAAAAUGAUUAUGAAACCUAGCGAAAAGUAUAUAUUAUGUUCCUAAGGUUAUGGGUAACAACUUUCUUCAAAACAAUUUCGGAAUCCGAGCAUGUGGGCCCGUGGGAGAAUUUUAAGAAUCUUGCAAUUUGGAUUGGGUAAUCACUUUAAUAGUGGAGAUAUGAACUAUUGAGCAUAGAUUGAUUGAUUUAUAUAAUGUUUGGCUAGUUCUGAGUCGUUUGGCAUCAAAUUUAGAGGUUUGAGCGCAUUCUUGAAUUGGGAAGUAAGCUUUGAGACGAGGUAAGUCUCUUUUCUAAUCUUGUAAGAAGGAACUCACCCCAUAGGUGAACUUAAUGAAUAUGUGUUGUUAUUUGCCGGGGGGGAGGGGGGGCAGGGGGCUACGUACGCACGAAGUAACGAGAGUCUGUAUAUAGCUACUAUUCCUGUUUAUGUUUGGGUAGUGUUAGGUUUACGCCAUGCUUGUGGACACUGUUAUUUGAUUAUAUUUGUUAACUGUAUCAAAUGGAACUAAGUCGAGGAUUUUUAAGGAUUUAAAAGCUUCAAGCGGAAUUGUCUUUAUUUUGAAAAGAAUCAAGAAAGGGUUAUGAUUUAUUGAUAAAUUUAUAUUUGACCGCAUCGCAUGUAUGAUUCACAAGCAGGGUAAUAGAUGCAUCUAUGGUUCGCGCAAUUCGACCCUCGGCAGUGUACAAUUUACAUUUAUGUUGGAUCGGGCCGAACUUUCUCGGUGGUAUUCGUGUGUGAUAAUAGUACUCGAAAUUUCUUUCAUAUUUGGUACAAAGCCAUUGUUUUGUGUGAUCAUAUGUUUUAAAAGAAGGAAGUGAUUUAAGCUCUUAAAGAUGGUGAAGACUUGUUUAGUUAUUUUUUGUUCUGAGUCUUAUUGUUGUAUAUUAUGCUUAAUUAGAAUUUCAUAUUAUCAUGUUAUUGGCCCUAGUAAGUGUCGGAGUCGACCUCUCGUCACUACUUCUUCGAGGUUAGACUAGAUACUUACUGGGUACAUAUUAUUUAUGUACUCAUGCUACACUUCUGUACUUAAAUGUACAAGAUCUGAGGCAGGUGCAUCUGGUUACCAGUCUGGAGCACAGUUCUAAUCCCCAUCUUGAGACUUUACGGUGAGUUGCACUUCUGAACCGUUCUGCAGUAGCUGGAGUCUCUCUCAUGCUUUAUUUUUUUCUGUCUAUUUCCUUUCAGACAGUAGGCUAGUACUCUUUCAUAUAUUUUACUAGAUUGCCGACAUACUUGUGAUACCAGGUCUUGGUACACACAUUAGUAGACUUAUGAUUUUUGAUUUGAUUACAUGAUUACGAUUAGUACUUAUUUGUUUCCUUUUAAUUAUGUCACGUUUGCAAAUUUCUAAAUCUUUUUAACAAAUGAGGAAAUGUUAUCCACUUAGUAAUUUAUUUAAAUGGGAUACCAUUAGUUUGAUCAGCGUUGGCUUGCCCAACAAUGGUGUUGGGCGCCAUCAUGGCCUAUGAUGGAAUUGGGUCUUGACAGCGAACAUGAGAGGCUCCUUGCGAAUGCGAAGAACAACACUAGACAUCAGAAAAUCAGCAUCCAAAGUAGCCCAAAAUGAUCCGAAACACACCCGAGGUCCCCGGGACCCCAACCAAAUAUACCAACAAGUCCUAAAACAUCAUACGAACUUAGUCGAGGUCUCAAAUCACAUCAAACUUCGCUAAAAGCAUGAUUCACAUUCCAAUUCAAGCCUAAUGAAACAAAGAAAUUCCAACUUCUAUAUUCGAUCUCGAAAACUAUCAAAUCAAGUCCGAAUGACCUUAAAUUUUGCACACAAGUCAUAAAUGGAAUAACAGAGCUUUUCAUAUUUCCAGAAUCGGAUUUCGAUCUCUACUCCCCGGUCAAACCUCCAAACUUAACUUCCUAUUUUCGUCAUUUCAAGCCUAAUUUAGCUACGAACCUCAAAAUAAAUAUCCGAACACACUCCUAAAUCCGAAGUCACCAUACGAAGCUAUUGAAAUCAUCAAAAUUUUAUUCCGGAGUUGUUUUCGCAAAAGUCAAACUCCGGUCAACUCUUUUCAUUUAAGCUUCAAAAAUGAGAAUUGUUCUUUAAAUUUAAUUUUGAAUCUUCCAAAAAUCAAAUGACCGCACAUGUAAGUCAUAAUACGCAUUACGAAAUUGCUCGGGACCUUAAGUAGCUGAAUGUGGCAUAAAUUAUUAAAAUAACUAGUUGGGUCGUUACAUUAACCUAUUAGGCGAACACUUAGGUUAUGGUCACAUCCUUAGGCUUUUUAAUUAUUUGGAAAAACACCAAAAACAAUCAUUCGCUUCUAGUUUAUUUUCUUACCUUAUAAUUGCUAGAGUAAAAUUAGGAUUAGAAAUCAAAAACUUUUGUGGAAGUGCAAUUUAGUUAUUCCAUUCUCUUUCGUUAAGUGUAUACUCCUAACACCCAUUGUAAUUCUCUGUGGUAAUCGACCCCGACUCUUGUUGGGUACUAUUCUUCCAAUGAUCAUUUUCACUCACUAUUGAGUGCGGAUUAGACAUGGAUCAAUUUUUGGCGCCGUUGCCAGGGAGUUAAGACGAUGUUAGCUAUAUAUUUGUGUUUGUUUUUGGAAUAUCUUCUUUUUCUUCUGUGUUACUAACUUCUGCGAGAACCUUUAGGUAUAACCAUGGCGGCGAACAAUGAUCUCGGUAAUAUGCCUUUGGGGGAUGUGGACGGUGAGGAUGGGCAAGUUGGUGAGGUACCUCUUGAACCUCAGGCCAAUCGAAGAAGCCGAUUUCCUCAUGAAAAUGUGCCCUCUCCAACCCCACCUCCACCAUGAGCGGCUCCACAUCCGAUAUUGCCCAACAAAGGUUAUGCUAGUGCAAUAGUCCCUCCCCGCAUUAUGGCAGGCAACUUCCUAUAACCAAUGUGAUGUUCACUUUUCUUGAACAACGAGAAUUCUUUACCGGUGCUCCAACACAAAAUGUUUACAAAUAUUUGAAGGUGUUUGUGGUUACUUGUUAGAGAAGAAAGCAAACAAAUAUCUCCGAGGAUGCAUUGAGGCUAAGGAUUUUUACCUUCUCUCUAUAGGGAAAGCAUUAGAUUGGUUGGAACGAUUGUCAAACAAUUCAAUUCACACUUAGAAUGAGUUGGUAGAAAAUUUCAUUGCUAAGUUUUUCUCUCCCGGACACAUGGCUACACUUCGAGAUGAGAUCUUGGCAUUCAAGAAAGAGCCGAAUGAACCACUAAACGAGAUAUAGGAGCGCUAUAGAACUAUGGUCAAGGAAUAUCCCAAUAACGAUAUGACAGAAAAUAUUAUUCAACAAACCUUCUAUCAUGGGAUUAACACGACCAACCAAUGUGUAGUGAAUCAAUUAGUCAGUGGAAACUUUAUGACUACGCCUUAUUCGGAGGCGUGUGAGAUUUUGGAUGAGAUGAUGGACACAUUUUAGGCUUGGAAAUCCCGGGACAAGAUGACCCGAAUAUGAUCCACCUUCACAAUGAAUUGCAAGACCAUGGGUAAGCCAUUACCGAGUUGACAACUACCAUGACUCAACUAGAAAAGGCCCAACUGAACCAAGUGCUAACUCCUAACCAAGUCAAUGUUAUGGAAGGAGUGAACAUCAGAAGCGGAUGUAGUGUACUACUUACGGGUUCAACUGAACCCAUAACUUUCGACGCUGAGUAAAAAUCUGUAUGUAAAAUUUCAUUAAAACUACAAAAAUAGUAGAUGCGAACCCAUAACUUUAAAAAUAUAAUGGGUUCAAUGUUAAAAACAUUAAAAUUGAACCCAUAGGAUUUAAAUUCUGGAUCCGCUUCUGGUGGACAUGAUGGUGAACAAGAGGAGGACCAAGGGUCCACAAGUGCAAACUCGAGUGGAGAACUAUGUGCAAGAAUAUGGUAGUUUUGAGCACGAUGAUUCCUAUAAUGAACAAGAAGAGGAAGUACAAUAUGUGAAUUAUUUUCAAGGGAAAAGAAACAACUUCCAAGGCCCAAGCCAACAACAAUGGCGACCACAAAACAAUCAAGGCAAUUGGAAUUCUAGCAAUCAAGGAAAUUGGAGUGGAGGCAACAAUCAAGGGAAUUGGCAUAACAACAACAAUCAAGGAAAUUGGAGUGGACACAAUCAAGGAAAUUGGGGAGGUAACAAUCAAGGCGGAUGGAACAACAUUCAAGGCAACCGGGGGUCGAGUUUUCAAAGGCCCCCAAUGUACCAACAACCAAGCAACCCAGCUCUUUAUCCGUCUCAUGGUUCGAGUUCCUCCAACAAUGAGAUGGGGCAUAUUGAAAAUAUGUUCAAGAAAAUGAUGGAAGAGAAUGCUGAUUCAGAUACCCAACUUUCCUCACACAACACAUCAAUAUGCAACCUCGAAGUUCAAAUGGGGCAAAUCUCUCAAGCUUUAAAUUCUCGUCCUAAGGGGGCACUAUCAAACAAUGUGGUGCAACAUAAUGAUGAAGUUCAGAUUGAUAUUGAUGAUAGUGUAUAAGAGACUCAAGAGGAGGUGAAUCCGUCUAGGGAACACAUUAUUGAUAUACCGGAGCCUGUAGUGCAAAAGGCUAAGGCAACAUUGCCUAAGCCUCCAACUCCAUACCCUCAAAGACUUGCCAAGAAAAAUGGUGAGAAUCAAUUCAAGAAAUUUAUUCAAAUGACGAAGAGUCUCUCAAUCAAUGUGCCAUUAGUUGAAGCCUUGGAACAAAUUCCCGGUUAUGCAAAGUUUAAGACCAUCAAAGUCACUCAUCAAGUGAGUGCAAUUGUGCAUUCAAUGGUUCCUAAGUUGGAGGAUCCCUGUGCUUUCACGAUUUCUUGAACGAUUGGAAGUGCCGAAUUUGCUAAAGCUCUUUGUGAUCUUGGGAAAAGUAUCAAUUUUAUGCCUAUUCGGUUUUCAAGACUUUGGGAAUUGGGAAACCAAGACCCAUCUCUAUGAGAUUGAAAAUGGCUGAUCAUAUCGUGAAGAGGCCCUUUGGAGUGAUUGGAGAUGUUUUGGUUCGUGUUGAUAAAUUCAUUCUUCCGGCAAAUUUAUUCAUUCUAGAUUGUGAAGUUUAUUAUGAAGUGCCGAUUAUUAUUGGUAGACACUUCCUAGCUACGGGUAAGGCUCUUUGUGAUGUUGAAGCCUAAUAACUCACUUUCCGGGUUGGUGUGAAAAAGUAGUAUUCCAUGAGUGCAAGUCCUUGCGGAAACCGAAUAGCAAUGAGGUGUGUUCUUUUGUGGACUUGGUGACCGAUGCUAUUGUUGAUAAAACAAGUGCUACAAUAAAUGUUGGUGAUAUGUUGGAGGCCGUAUUGCUCAACUUUGAUGAUGACGAAAUGGAUGGCUUCAUGAAAUGUGUUAAACUCUUUGCAACAAAUGGGGUCGUACAACUAUGCACCUCGGAAAUUGUCUUUAGAUCUUGAAAAUAGGACAACUCCUCAUAUAAAGCCUUCUAUUGAAGAGCAUCCUACCUUGGAGUUGAAGCCAUUUCCUCCAGAUCUUUUGUAUGAAUUUAUUGUUCCUUGUUCGACUUUACCGAUUAUUCUUUCCUCUUGUUUCACUAACGUGCAGAUAGAUUCCACAUUGGCGGUGCUAUAAAAGAGGAAGAAUGAUAUUGGGUGGACCUUGGCGGAUAUUCGGGGGAUAAGCCCCGCCUUUUGCAUGCAUAAGAUCAAGUUGGAGGAUGGCACCAAACCAUAUAUUGAACAUCAAAGGAGACUCAAUGAGGCUAUGCAAGAACUUGUCAAGAAAGAGAUUAUCAAGUGGUUGGAUGUCCGGGUUGUUUACCCCAUCUCUAAUAGUUCAUGGACUUCUCCGGUUCAAUGUGUCCCAAAGAAAGGGGGGAAUGAUGGUGAUCACCAAUGACAAGAAUGAGUUGAUUCCUACAAGAACAGUGACCGGUUGGAGGGCAUGUAUGGACUAUCGCAAGCUCAAUAAAUUCACAAGGAAGGAUCAUGUUUCACUUCCUUUCUUAGAUCAAAUGCUCGAUAUAUUGACCGAUCGUGCUUUCUAUUGCUUUCUUGAUGGGUACUCAGGCUACAAAAAUUCUCAUUGCUCCAGAAGAUCAAGAGAAAACAAUAUUUACAUAUCCCUAUGGUACUUUGCUUUCAAGCGGAUGCCAUUUGGAUUGUGCAAUGCACCGGCGACUUUUCAAAGGUGUAUGAUGGCUAUUUUCACUGACAUGUUGGAGGAAUACCUUGAAGUUUUCAUGGAUGACUUCUCGGUGGUUGGAGAAUCUUUUGAUGAUUCUCUUGCAAAUUUGGACAUAGUGUUAGCUAGAUGUGAAGAAACAAAUUUGGUGCUCAAUUGGGAGAAAUGUCAUUUCAUGGUCAAGGAAGGUAUUGUUCUUGGCCACAAAAUCUCAAGGAAUAAAAUUGAAGUUGACAAGGAAAAAAUUGAGAUAAUUUCUAAGAUUCCACCCCAAACUUCGGUGACGGGUAUGCGGAGUUUCUUUGGCCACGUGGGUUUUUACCAGCGCUUCAUCAAAGACUUCUCUAAGGUUGUGAACCCGUUGUGCAAGCUUCUUGAGAAGGAUGCUAAGUUUCAUCUCAAUGAUGAUUUCAUGAGAGCUUUUGAAUUGUUAAAUCUCAAGUUGACAACUACUCUCAUCAUCACCACUCCAAAUUGGAGUGUGCCUUUUGAACUCGUGUGUGAUGCAAGUGACGUAGCGAUUGGGGCUAUUUUGGGGCAACACAUCAACAAAACUUUUCAUCCAGUUUACUAUGCUAGUAAGAAUAUUAAUAGUUCCCAAGUCAACUAUAUCGUUACGGAGAAAGAGCUCCUUGCUAUUGUAUUUGCAAUUGAGAAGUUACGUUCGUACUUGAUGGGUGCAAAGGUCAUUGUCCAUAUCGAUCAUGCGGCACUUCGUUAUCUUAUUAGCAAAAAGGACUCCAAAGCUUGGUUGAUGAGAUGGGUGCUCUUGUUACAAGAAUUUGACAUUGACAUCUAAGAUAGAAAAGGGUAGUGAAAACCAAGUGGCGAACCACUUGUCUCAUUUGGAGGAAGAGGGGAGGACGUGUGAUGGCCUUGAAAUUAAUGAAUCCUUCCCCGAUGAGCAACUCUUAGCAAUUUCAAUGAAAUAGGUGCCAUGGUUCACAGAUUUAGUAAAUUUUCUUGGGUGUGGAAUCAUUUCGGAUGAGUUCUCUUCAAGCCAAAGGAAGAAGCUCAAACGGGAUUGUCAAGAUUAUUAUUGGGAUGAACCAUACAUUUUCUGAAUUUGUACGGAUGGGGUGAUUAGAAGAUGUGUACCGGAAGAAGAGCAAGGUAAAAUUCUUAGGGCUUGUCAUUCUUCGCCAUAUGGUGAUCAUCAUGGUGGAGUAAGAACGACGGCCAAAGUGCUUAGUUGUGGUUUCUAUUGGCCUACUCUUUACAAAGAAACUAGUUAGUUAGUGAAAAGAUGUGAUGAAUGUCAACGGGCCAAUGAAAUCUCAAACAAAAAUGAAAUGCCUCUCACAACCAUUUUGGAGAUUGAUAUUUUCGAUGUGUGGGGUAUUGACUUCAUGGGCCCUUUUGUGAGUUCUUGUGGAAACAACUACAUUUUGGUCGCGAUGGAUUAUGUGUCCAAAUGGGUUGAGGCCAUUGCUUUACCCAAUAAUGAGGCGAGAAGUGUGGUGGCUUUCUUGAAGAAUUAUAUUUUCACAAGGUUUGGUACUCCACGUGCAAUUAUAAGCGAUGGGGGGUCACAUUUUUUGUAACAAGACUUUCGACUCUUUACUUAGAAAGUAUGGUGUUACUCACAAAGUCACGACUCCCUAUCACCCACAAGCUAGUGGGCAAGUGGAAGUCUCCAACCGGGAGAUAAAGAGUAUUUUGUCCAAAAUGGUGAAUGCUAAUCGGACGGAUUGGUCCAAGAAUCUUGAUGAUGCAGUAUGGGCUUAUCGGACGGCUUGCAAAAUACAUAUCAGAAUGUCGCCAUACCGGUUGGUGUUCGGAAAAUUUUGUCAUCUUUCGGUGGAACUAUAGCACAAGGCCAUGUGGGCUCUAAAAAUGUUGAAUCUUGAUUGGUAUGUAGCCACUAACUUGAGGGUUGUACAUUUGAAUGAAUUGGAUGAAUUCCGGUACCACGCUUAUGCGAGUUCGUCCUUGUACAAAGAAAAUAUGAAAUAACUUCAUGACAAAUAUAUUUGGAACAAAGAGUUCAAGGUAGGCCAUCUUGUAUUGUUGUUUAACUCAAGGUUGAGGAUGUUUCCCGAGAAGCUAAAAUCCAAAGGGGUGGUCCUUUUGACAUUGUGAGUGUGACACAUUUUGGUGCAUUAGACUUGAAGAACAAAAACAAUGAAGUAUUCCGAGUCACUGGUCACCGGGUGAAGCACUACUUGGGAAAGGUUGGAGAUAGCCACGUUGUGGCAGUCAUUCAUUUCACUUGAGGGUAUUCUGCGUCGUGCCAAAAUAUUAAAUCAGGCACUUCUUGGGAGGCAACUCAUGUUUCAUUUCCUUUUUCUUUUGUAGUUAGAUGUUAUUUUUUUUCUAACUUAAUUUGAAGUGUGCAACAAGAGUGAGUGUGACUUAGAAGAAUUGUGGACGAAAAUAUGGCUAAGUGCUCAAGAGAGUGCGGACCACACAUUUUUAUGUGCCAUAGCAGAUGACCAUUUCGUCGGUACAUUUCUCUUGCGGACCGCACAUUUGAAACAUGAAAACUACCAACUCUCUGAAUUUUAAUCUUGUCAGUGCAGAGGUCGAUCUGCGACCGCACCUAAAACUGUGCAGACCGCAUAUUGGUUUUUGAGAAUAAUCACCCAGGUGGUAGGGUGCAGACCGCACAUGAAAAUGUGCGACCGCACUUGUCUCUUCUCCCUUCUCAAAUUUUUGGGUAUAAAUAGAAUAGUGGUCCUCAUCUUACACUUUUCCCUCUUUGAACAAAACACUAUUACUCUGCAAAUGUUUCUUGGAGAUUUUCCCUGUCCACACACACAGCCACCUAGAUUACUCACUCAGUGCAUUCACUAUAUCUGGUAUCCCUCAAUUUCAUGUUAAUUUUUUAAGUUAGUUUAAUUUGUCAAUUUUUUAGUUCUUUUUAGGCCAUCUGUUAUUAGAGUUCCAUUGUGUGUCCAUGUGGGGUAGAUCUGAAUUCGGUUAACUUGAUACAUGCUCUAAGGGGACUGGGUUAGUGAAAUUUCAUGCUUUUACAAUGUUGUCAUGCCUAUUUAUGCAAGAAAUUAAAACAUCUUAGACUAAAAAAAGUUAUUUGUUCGUAAUGGUUUGAAUUCUGCGGUCAUACUUGAAUUGUGCGGUCCGCAGAUAUGAAUGUUUUAGACACUUAUGUGAGGCAGGAAUCUGCAGUCGCGGGUCAAAUUGUGUGGACUGCAGAUUUUCUCUUGCAGCCACAGAUUAGGCUUUUUUCUCUGUCAUCAGAGAGUCUUCACUUUUAAGACUCCAAGGUGUAGCCUCAAGGCAAAUUGUGCGAACCGCAGAAAUCCUCUUGCUGCCGCAGUUUGACCAUUUCUCUCUCAUCAUAGAGUUCACAAAUUUGGGGCUCAGAAGUGCGGUUGUAAUCCUAAUUGUGCGAACCGCACUUCCCUUCUACGGCCGCACAACACAAAUGUGCGGACCGCGAGUUCCCAUCUACGGCCGCAGGUCAAAUUAUGUGGAGCACAUAUCCCGUAUCCUGCAGGCAUGACUCAACUGUACAACCCCAUUGUGUCCUAUGGUUUCUCCCUUACCUACAUGUCUCAUGUAUGUAUUUGAACAAUGAAUUGCAACUAAAAAUCUCCUCUACUUGAUACAGGUACUGGUUCGAUCAAGCGGACGAGGAGACACUUCAAAAGGGAGAGGUGAAUCUGAUCGAGGUUAAGUGACGAGCGCAAAACACACACUUAAAUUUUGCUCGCUAGUAAAAUAUCAUAUAGUAUAAUAUCGUAUCCACAGGGAUUGAAUUUGAAUAGUAUUGUUGUAGUUCCUAUCUUGAUUGAUAUUCAAUAUGAUCAACAAUUGAGAUUUAUAUAAUUUCUAACAAAAAUUAACUAGGACUCUAAAGCUAUUGACUAAAGACAAUUGAAACAAAGAAGGUUAUCACCGAGGGAAAAUAGGAGUUGAUAGGAUAGGUGCAAGAUAAUUGUUUGGUAUCUAACUCUAGAUAAUUCACUUCUAAUGUUCAAGUGAGUCUCUCGAAUUCACUCAAUUAUUAGUUCAAACGUUCAGAAAAAACUCCUCUCUCGAUUAAGUCUUAACCUUACGAGAUGAACCAAUUUAAGCACGUGAAGAUAUGCAAGAAUACUUAGUGGAUUGGUCAUUAGGAAACUUUCUUUCGAUUAUUCUCAUAACUAGGUUUAAUCAAUGAUUCAACUAUCCUCUUUCGAUUACUAAGAAGAAUUAAUGAACUCAACCAACAAUAUAAUGCAAAGAUAUCACAAGUUAUGCCUCUCUCGAUUACAUGAACCAGUGAAUAUAGAUUCAAUAAUUAAAUCAUCCAAAAAUGCUUCAAUACAUAAAACUAGAGUAAUAAUCGAUAAACAAUCAUCAAUACACCAAAUCCAUCAAACCCUAAAGAGAACUACUCUAUAGAUAUAAAGCAAUUCAUCACAAAUAAGUUUAAAGUAAAGGAAAACAUAAAUUCAAUCCAAACUCGGGUAUUGAGUGAGGAAGUAAUGAUGAAAUCCUUGUGCUCGUGUUUUUCCAACUCCUCCUUAGACUCCUUAGGUCGAAUAUGUGUCAAAAGUUCAGAAAAUAAAUGUUUUCCAUGUAAUUAUAUCAAGUAGGGUCUGGUCCAAACGAAAUCACCUUUUCCUAGCCGAAAUAGGACAUUCACUCUGUAAAACUUGCAUAGGCGCGCCGCAUGGGCAACGCGCCAUGCAGGGCGUUAGUGGGGAAAUCCAUAGAGCUCAACAAUUCAAUAGGCAGCAAAAAUACACUGCUGCGUCGCACUAUGCCUCGCAUCCUGCGCCGCACUAGUGCAAAUUUCUCAAAGUACGGCUCAAAUCUUGUGUUUUGACAUCCAGACUUGGUCCUAGACCCCCAAACACAAUCCUGGCUUAAUCCCUUAGGCUUUUACUCAGACUUCAAAGAUCCAAUCGCUCGAAUUCAUUCCAUAACAUCUACAUAGCUCGGAAUCACUUCUACAAGGCAUAAAACACAUAAUAAGUGCAAAACACUAUCAAUUAAAACUCAAACACAAGUAAAGUGCAGUUAAUUAGAGUACAAUAAGUGACUAAAAUACGAGAUUAUAGCCUACCAUAAACACCCCACACUUAAACCAUUGCUCGUCCUCGAGCAAUCAAACUAUACUUCACAUAGACGCGACCUUUUUCAAUAACUCAUAACUCAUCACACCAGAAAUAUUUAAAACAGAUUAAGUACAAUACCAUAACAUCCUAGCCUCAAAAUUUUACUCAAAAGCACCACACAUUAUUUAUAACUCGCUCACUUACUCUAACACAGAGGUCAAGCAUCACCUUUCCUUCAUGAAUCAAGUGCCCUCAUACAACAAUAGAGAGUAGUUCCAUACGCAAUAAUAUUUUAGAGCAAUUAGGAACUCAAGAUAGAAAGAAUUUGCUCACUCUGAGAAACAACAUUCAUGUGCCACAAAAGACGUACCAGGCUUGCCCGUAGUGUACUGCUCUACUAAUUGAGCUCAUUCAGUCAAGGAUCAAGUAGGACUUUAUUUGGUUGUAAUGCAGGCUGCGGGACGGGUAGGAUACAUUUGGAUAUAAGAGUGACUACACCUCCCUAAUCACCUUAAUACAUACAUUGCAUUGUUCAAAACCCCACAUUUAUAUCAAACCAUAACUCCACCCUCACAUCAAUAUACAUUAACUUCCUACUUCUUUAAACACAAGUACAUCAAGAGUCACCACUAUCAACGAAUCUAAUUUUUCUUUUCUUUUCUUAUUAAAUUCAAGUGGCUCUUACUUUUUCAAAAUAGUGCACCUUUCUCUUUAUUUCAAUAGUUCCAUUCAAAAGUCAAACCAACCACCCCACACUUCAACUUUUACAAAGUUCAUAACAAAUUCAAGGUCUCACGAGAGGUAAAAGGUUCAAAUAGAUGGUCAAUUCAAACAAAUGGGUAAAGCUUGUAAUGUGGUUGCCAAAGAAACAAGAUUACAGGCUCAACGGGGUUAACUAAGAUACAUAACAAUUAGGUAGGUAAAAGCAUAUAGUUGGCUCAACAAAGAAAUGCCUAUAUCACUUCCAAGACUGAAUAAAACUACUAUUUCACUUUGCAAACACACGGGGCAAGUUCGAGACAUCAAAUGCAAUGCACAAAAUAACACAAAACCUCACACACACCUAGCACAUAACUCACUCAAGAUUGGAUUAUCAAGACACUCUAGUCAAAGAAGUUAAGAAAAGUUAAGAUCAUGCAAUUUAAGGUACUUAUACAAUAGUAAAAAUCUGAGCCAAAGCAUCACAACUAAAGCACUUACUAUUCUCAAGGUAUGAUAAAGUCAAGAUAUAUUGCCGUCCAUCUAAACCAUAGCACAAGGUUUGCUACUCCUAACAAAAAUAAAAACUAAUUACACCUGAUUCACACAAAACACUUAGAAACGAACCGCGACACAAAGAAAAACCAAUUGUGCCUUGUUACACUACCUAACAAAAGAUAAUCUUUUUUUCGUUUUUCCUUUGACUUUAAUCCCUCCAAAAAACUGUUGAAUGAUAUCCAUCAUCGGAAAAAAACAAAAAUAUUCCAAUUUUUAUGGGUUUUUCAAUUUUUUUCUAUCUCUAACUACUAAAACUAACAAAACAAAAAAAAAACUAAUAUACAAACGUACUGUCACGACCCAAAAUCUCACCCGUUGUGAUGGUGCCUAUCUCAAUACUAGGAAAGCCGACAAUCUCAAUUAACCACAUAUCUUUUAAAUUUGAAAACACAAUAAUUAAAUUCAGCAGAAGAAAUCUCACAAGUACAAAUAUAAACACUCCAAAAACCCGGUGUCACUGAGUACAUGAGAAUCUAAUAUGAAUACAAGUCUGGAAAACACAGUCUAUAAUAGUCUAAGACCAAAUACAGUAUAUAAGGAGAUAGGAAAGGAGAGACAAGGUCUCUGAAACACAACAGCUACCUCUGAAUCUCCGAAAAAUUAAUUGUGCGAAAGAAUCAAUACCCACUAUGUCCGGGAACACCUGGAUCUGCACAAGAAGUAGAGGGUGUAGUAUGAGUAUAACCAACUUAACAAGUAAUAAUACUAAAUAGGUACCUGCACUCACUGGGGUGUGUACAGACUCCAGAGGGGCUCCUACAACCCAAGCGCUAUAAUACGCACGGAUAACUCGCGUGUUUCACGGACAACUCACGUGCUAUAGUAUAAUAUAUGAAUCCGCACAGACAACUCACGUAUUGCACGGAUAACUCACGUGCUAUAGUAUAAUAUCUCACAAUCAGGCCCUCGGCCCCACUCAGUCAUAAAUCUCUCUAGUCUCUCGGACUCUUAAUAAUCAUGAAAAUCAGCCCAAACAACAAUGAUAUGAUGCAUCAAUAAUGGAUAAUAGAGACUGAGAUAAAAUAAAUAAGUAAACUGUGACUGAGUACAAAAUAAUAAUUUAGCAGAUAGUUCAACAUGUACACGACCUAUGUGGGUCCCUACAGAGCCAACACAUAAUCUAAACAUGAUCUGUAGUUCAAUUUCUCUACUACAUGAAGAAUGUAUAGAUAACAACAGAUUAUUCAACUACAAAGUUCCACGAAAUUUGACCAAGUCACAAUUCCUACGGUGCACGCCAACACGUCCGUCAACCUAGCAUAUGCAUCACCUCAAAACCGAUCACAUAACACAAAAUCUGGGGUUUCAUACCCUAAGGACCAAAUAUAGAACUGUUAGUUACGGAAAACUGUAAAAUUCUCUAUUCUUCUAUGCCCUUGCCUCGCGAAUCAGCCUCCAAAUGCCUCGAAUCUAGUCACAAAUAAUUUGAUUCAAUCAAUACAAAUUAUGGGAAUUAAUUCCAUAUGAAAAUACUAAUUUUCCAACAAACAUCCGAAAUUGCACUCAAAAUCUCCUGUGGGGCCCACAUCUCGGAACCCGACAAAAGUUACGGAAUAUGAACGCCCAUCCAACCACGAGUCCAACCAUACAAAUUUCACUGAAUUCUGUCAUCAACUCAACCCUCAAAUCUUCAUCUAAAGUCUUUGAAGAUUUCUACCAUUUUCAACCCAGUACUUACCCAUUUGAACUCAAUAAUCUUGCUACAAGCCUUAUUAAUCCCCCAUCUUUUACUCCAAACUCGAAAUUGAAGAAUUGGGAAAAGAAAUUAUUACCUCUUUGAAGCCCUAGCAAGAACCUUGUGAAAUCUUCAAGCUUUGAAUAAGAAUUGAUGAACAAUUGACUAGGUCUUCACUUUCUCUCUCUAAGAUUCUCUCACCACUGUCUAAAAUAUCAGUUUUUUUGCUCCAAAAGAGUCCCUUUGCCUCAAUAUAUCGAAAUAGGGUUGGGUAAAAAAUUAGAAAAAUUGAAGCCCCGACGUAGAUCUGCGGUCGCAUAUGUGACCGCAUAAUGCUUCUGCGGUCCGCAUAAUGGGCCGCAUAAUUGCCCUCUGGAACUGGGCGAAACUGACUCAGACUGCGGUCAACAUUUUCAACUUAAGUUCUAAACCUUGUAACUAAGUGUUCCAAAUCAUUCCCAAAUCUCACCGGACCCGAACUAAUCACCCUGGCAAGUCACAUAACAACUGUAAAACAUAAAUUGAGCAGUAAAUGGGGGAACGGGGUUGUAAUACUCAAAAUGAACGGCCGGGUCGUUACAUUCUCCCCCUCUUAAACAAACGUUCGUCCUCGAAUGGGUUUAGAAUUAUACCUGGAGUCUCAAAUAGGUGUGGAUAUUUGCUCCGCAUCUCCCGCUCAGUCUCCCAAGUAGCUUCUCCGACUGGCUGUCCUCUCCACUGCACUUUCACUGAAGCUAUGUUCUUUGAUCUCAACAUUCGAACCUGCCGGUCUAAAAUGUCCACUGACUCCACAUCAUAAGUCAAAUUACCAUCCAAAUGCACUGUGCUGAAAUCCAAAACAUGAGAUGGAUCCUCGACAUACUUCCGGAGCAUAGAUAUAUGAAACUCUUGAUGAACACUCGAUAGACUAGGCCACAAUACAAGUUCAUAAGCCACAUCUCCAAUCUUCUUAAGCACCUCAAACGGCCCAAUAUAUUGAGGGCUCAACUUGCGCUUCUUCCCGAACCUCAACACACCCUUCAUGGGCAAAAACUCGAGUAGAACCUUCUCCCCAACCAUGUAAGCAACAUCACAGACAUUCCGGUCGACAUAACUCUUAUGUCUAGACUACACCGUGCGAAGCCGCUCCUGAAUCAAUUUAACCUUCUCCAAAGCAUCCUGAACCAAAUCAGUACCCAAAAGCCUAGUCUCACCCGGCUCAAACCAACCCACCGGAGACCGACACCGUCUCCCAUAUAAAGCCUCAUAUAGAGCCAUCUGAAUGUUCGAUUGGUAUCUGUUAUUGUAAGCAAACUCUACUAGUGGCAGAAAUUGAUCCCAAGAACCCCCAAAAUCUGUAACACAAACGCGUAGCAUAUCUUCCAAUAUAUGAAUAGUGCGCUCAGACUGUCCCUCCAUCUGAGGGUGAAAUGUUGUACUCAGCUGAAUUUGUGUACCUAAUUCUCGUUGUACUGCUCUCCAAAACUGUGAUGUGAACUGCGUACCCCGAUCUGAAAUGAUGGACACUGGCACACCGUGCAGACGAACAAUCUAAUGGAUAUAAAUCUCAGCCAAUUGCUCCGAAGAAUAAGUAGUACCAACUAGAAUAAAAUACACAGACUUGGUCAACCGAUCUAUAGUCACCCAAACAACAUCAAACUUUCUCAAAGUCCGUGGGAGCCCAACUACAAAGUCCAUGGUAAUACGCUCCCACUUCCACUUCGGAAUUUCAAGUCUCUGAAGCAAUCUUCCCGGUCUCUGAUGCUCAUACUUCAGCUAUUGACAAUUUAAACACCGAGCUACAAACCCAACUAUAUCUUUCUUCAUUCGCCUCUACCAAUAGUGCUGCCUAAAAUCCUGAUAUAUCUUUGCGGCACCCGGAUGAAUGGAGUACUGCAAACUGUGAGCCUACUCGAGAAUCAACUCACGCAAACCAUCUACAUAAGGCACAUAUAGCCUACCCUGCAUCCGUAAUACACCGUCACCCCCAAUAGUGACUUCCUUGGCAUAACCGUACUGAACCGUGUCCUUAAGGACAAACAUAUGAGGGUGAUCAUAUUGACGUUCUCUAAUACGAUCAUAAAGAGAAGACUGAGAAACCACACAAGCUAAAACUCGGCUUAGCUCAGAAACAUCCAAUCAGACAAACUGGUUGGCCAAGGCCUGAACAUCCUAGGCUAAAGGCCUCUCUGCUACGGGUAAGUAUGCUAAGCUGUCCAAACUCUCCGCCUUACGACUCAUGGUAUCGGCCACCACAUUGGCCUUUCCGGGAUGAUAGAGAAUGGUCUGCACGAAAUACAUUCGGAAAGUCUCGCACUACCGGUACUGAAUCAAUAGUAGAGGUAUCUGCAUCAACGUUUAUCACAAAGGCCAAAUAUGACAUACACCCCUUCCCCGCCAUAUGUUAGGCUUUAAAAUAAGAAAUUACCAUGCUGGGAACAUAAUCUAGAGAACCUCUCCAUUCGACCUUUGGUAACCCCAGCAUUGCCAAUGUCACAGUUUUUGCGUGACAGUCUAGAAUAGCAUGAUAUGGAGACAACCAAUCCAUACCCAGGAUUACAUCAAAAUCAACCGUACUAAGCAAUAAGAGAUCAACUCUAGUUUGCAUUCCCCCAAUAGUUACCACACACGACCGAUACACACGGUCCACCAUAAUAGUAUCGCCCACCGGCGUAGAUACACAUACAGGUGAAACUAAGGACUCACGGGGCAUAUCAAGAUAAUGAGCAAAAUACGAUAGUACAUACGAAUAAGUAGAACCAGGGUCAAAUAAUAUAGAUGCCUCCAUGUGGCACACUGAGACAGUACCCGUGAUCACUGCAUCUGAGGCAACGACAUCUGGCCUGGCGGGAAAAGCAUAGAAUCGUGCUUGACCGCCACCUGAUCGGCCUCCCUCUCUUGGGCGACCCCUAACUGGCUGAGCCCCACCCCGAGCUGGCUGGGCGGGUGGUGUAACUGCUGGUGUUGGUGCCGUCGUCCAAGAACUCUGUUGUGGAGCCCCACUCAACAGCGUAGAAAAAUCUCUCUUGAAAUGACAAAAUUCUCCGCACUCGAAACAACCCCUCCUCUGACGGAACUGCUGCUCAUGAUAACCCGAGGAAUUAUCUAUCGAAUCCUGGGCGGACGAGGCAUGAUGAGAACUCUGUGCUCGUAGUUCACUAAAUGAAGACUGGCCUGAGUGAGAACAGUAAGAACUGUGGCUAGCUGAUGCACCACGAUGAGCUGGACGAGUCGUCUGAGUGGGCCUAUAAGGGCGACCCCUGCUGUGGUAGAACUGUCCCCCAGAAGGUAUCCCACCAAAACCUCCUAAACCACGAGGCCUCUUGGCCUCCCUGUGACCACGCUCCUGGCUACGGACCACCUCAUCAAAAGUGGCACCAGAUACCCUCUCCCUAGUCAUAAGAAACUGUAGUUGAUAUGUUACGACAACAAUGAACCUCCCAAUCCUCGCCCUAUCAGUGGGAACCAACCAAACUGCAAGACGAGCCAAUUCAGAAAACCUUAUCUCGUACUGGGUCACAAACAUGCCAUCCUAUCAAAGCUGCUCAAAUUAUCUGCACAGCUCCUCCCUAUGAGACUGCGGCACGAACUUCUCCAAAAUGAAAAUAGAGAACUCAUACCAUGUAAGUGGUACUGCACCAACCGGCCUGCGCCUCUCAUAAGCCUCCCACCAUCUGAAGGCAGCCCCAGAAAACUGAAAAGUAGUGAACGAGACGCCCACUGGUCUCCAAAAUACCCGUUGUCCGAAGCAUCUGCUGGCUUUUAUCCAGAAAACCCUGAGCAUCUCUAACUCAGCACCGCUAAAUGAUGGAGGUCGAAGCCUCCCAAAUCUCUCAAGUCUCCUCUGCUCAUCAUCUUCCAUAACUGGACUAUCGGGGCCUGAGCAGCUGUAAUCGACUGGGCUGGUAGUGCCCCAGGUAUUUGAAAUCCCUGCGCCACCUGCUCUGGAGUACGGGAAACAGGGGUAUGAGUACCUCCCCCAGCCUGAGAAGUGGUUGGUGCGGCCUGAGCCAAAACCACUUGAGCAAGGCCAGUGUAAACUAUCAAUAUCUGAGCCAAUGCCUCUUGUAGGCCUGGAAUCACAUUGGGCACAGCUGGUGCCUGAGCGGGUCCCGCAGGCUCAACUACAUCUAGAAUCUGCUCCUGAGCUGGAGAAACUGGUGGUGCUACAUGUGCUGCUCCAAUUGAUGUACGAGCGACACCUCAACCUCGACCUCUACCUCGGCCCCGGCCUCUCAUGGCCCUAACUGGUGGCAAUGGUUGCUCACCGUCCAAUCCGGUAGUACGUGUUCUCACCAUCUGUGAGAGAAUAGAAUAACAUAAUUUUAGUUUUCUAGAAUCAACAAGUUUGCACGACCGAAUAUAGGAAAGUUAAAUUUUCCUAAGGAUUCGACAGCCUCUCGAAAAUAAGUACGGCCGUCUGCGUACCGAUCCGUAAGACUCUACUAAACCAACUCAUGAGUCAUGAGACCUAUGUAACCUAGGCUUUGAUACUAACUUGUCAUGACCCAAAAUCUCACCCGUCGUGAUGGCACCUAUCUCAAUACUAGGCAAGCUGAUAAUCUCAAUAAAUCACAUAUCUUUUAAAUUUGAAAAUACAAUAAUUAAAUUCAGCGGAAGAAAUCUCACAAGUAUAAAUAUAAACACUCCCAAAACCCAGUGUCACUGAGUACAUGAGCAUCUAAUAUGAAUACUAGUCUGGAAAAUAUGGUUUAUAAUAGUCUGAGACCAAAUACAAUAAACAAGGAGAUAGGGAAGGAGAGACAAGGUCUGGGAAACAUGGCAGCUACCUCUAAAUCUUUGGAAAAUCAACUGUGUGAAGGAAUCAACACCCACUAUGUCCGGGAACACCUGGAUCUGCACACAAAGUGCAGGGUGUAGUAUGAGUAGAACUAACUCAGCAAGUAACAAUACUAAAUAAAGAACUGACAGUAGUGACGAGCUUCACAGCUGAGUCCAAUUAUAGUAAUUUCCAACAUAAUAAGGUAGGCAUGCCUUCAAGUUCAACAUUUAAGACCAAAAAAUUAAUUUCAUGACAGUGAUAUCUCUCAGAAAUUUCAUGAAAUCAAUUGCAUCCUCUCAGGACCACAGUCACUUAGCCAUUCCAUCCGCUCAGCACUCGCACUCAGUAGGUACCUGCGCUCACUAGGGUAUGUACAGACUCCAGAGGGGCUCCUACAGCCUAAGCGCUAUAAUCCGCACAGACAACUAACGUGUUAUAGUAUAAUAUCUCACAAUCAGGCCCUCGGUCUCACUCAGUCAUAAAUCUCUUCAGUCUCUCGGGCUCCUAAUAAACAUGAAAAUCAGCCCAAACAACAAUGAUAUGAUGCAUUAAUAAUGGCAAUAGAGACUGAGAUAAAAUAAACAAGUAAACUGUGACUGGGUACAAAAUAAGAAUUUAGCAGAUAGUUCAGCAUGUACUUGACCUAUGUGGGUCCCUACAGAACCAACACAUAAUCUAAAGAUGAUUUGUGGUUCAAUUUCUCUACUGCAUGGAGAAUGUACAGAUAACAACAGAUUAUUCAACUACACAGUUCCACGAAAUUUAACCAAUUCAUAAUUCCUACGGUGCAUGCCAACACGCCCGUCACCUAGCAUGUGCGUCACCUCAAAACCGAUCACAUAGCACAAACUUCGGGGUUUCAUACCCUCAGGACCAAAUUUAGAACUGUUAGUUACCGCAAACCGUGAAAUUCUCUAUUCUGCUAUGCCCUUGCCUCAUGAAUCGGCCUCCAAACGCCUCGAAUCUAGUCACAAAUAAUUCGAUUCAAUCAAUACAAAUUAUGAGAAUUAAUUCCAUAUGAAAAUACUAAUUUUCCAACAAAAAUCCGAAAUUGCACUCAAAAUCACCCGUGGGGACCAUGUCUUGGAACCCGACAAAAGUUACGGAAUAUGAAUGCCCAUCCAACCACGAGUCCAACCAUACAAAUUUCACCAAAUCCUGUCAUCAACUCGACCCUCAAAUCUUCAUCUAAAGUCUUCAAAGAUUUCUACCAUUUUCAACCCAAUCCUUACCCAUUUGAACUCAACAAUCUUGCUACAAACUUUAUUGGUACAAGCAUGAAUAAAUAAUACUUGUACACUCAAGAAUUAUACUCUUAAUCUGCCAUCUUUUACUCCAAACUCAAAAUUGACGAAUUGGGGAGAAAAAUUCUUACCUCUUUGAAGCCCUAGCAAGACCCUUGUGAAAUCUUCAAGCCUUGAACAAGAAUUGAUGAACAAUUGACUAGGUAUUCACUUUCUCUCUCUAAGAUUCUCUCACCACUCUCUAAAAUAUCAGAUAUUUGUUCCAAAAGAGUCCCUUUGCCUCAAUAUAUCGAAAUAGGGUCGGGUAAAAAAUUAGAAAAAUAGAAGCCCCAACAUAGAUCUGCGAUCGCAUAAUGCUUCUGCGGUCCGCAUAAUGCGCCGCAAACCUGAUCCCUAAAACUUGCCUUAACUGCUUCAUUCUGCAACCAUUAUGCGGUCCGCAGAGUGAUUCUGCGGCCGCAUAGUGGGAAGCAUAAAUGUAUUUUCCUGCUCGAAAUUUUCUUUUACUCACCAGCGCUGAAAUGUAUUUUCCUGUCCGAAAGUUUCUUUUACUCGCAAGCUGGCCGCGAGAAAUUUCUACAACCUUAGUAAUAAUUAAUCUACCUCGGUACCACAAAACCUUAAUUUCCUUAGCAAACAUUCUCUAGGGUCGUUACAUAUAAGUCAACCUCCGGUCAACCUUUUCAACUUAAGUUCUAAACCUUGGAACUAAGUAUUCCAAAUCAUUCCAAAACCUCAGCGGACCCGAACUAAUCACCCUGGCAAGUCACAUAACAACUAUAAAGCAUAAAUUGAGCAGUAAAUGGGGGAACAUGGUUGUAAUACUCAAGUUGUGGCAUGUGCCCAUGACACACAAUUGUCCCCGGCCGGGUCGUUACACAUACAUACAACAUAUCCCCCACCCCACACUUUAAGUUAUGGUAUGUCCCCAUGACACACAAUUAAAAAUCAUAAGGUAAAGGAAACUUCCCUUGCUCACUGUAGCCUUCUCUCUUGAGCCCUUCACUUUCCACUCAACACUUGUAGUUGGUUUGUCCUUUUGUGUCCCCUUUGCUAUAUUCAUCUCAAAAAUCACAAUAUCCUCACCCACUCUAAGCAUGAGUAUUUUCUCGUGUAUAUCCAAUAUAGCUCUACCCGUUGCUAAGAAUGGUCUUCCUAGGAUGAGGGGGACCUCGUUUUCCUCCAUUUUCACCAAUAUAAAUUCUACAGUAAAUACGAACUUAUCCACUCGAACUAACACAUCUUCUACUAUCCCCUCGAGUAUUAAAGUCAUUUGGUCUGCCAGUUGUAAAGAUAUUGGCAUCGACCUUAUCUCUCCAAUAUCCUUCUCCAGUUUCCUGUAAAUAGAUAGAGGCAUUAAACUAAUUGAGGCACCAGAAUCACAUAAGGAUUUAUCAAACUUAAUAGUGCCUAAAGAGCAAGGUAUAGUAAAACUCCUUGGAUCUCCACACUUUUGUGGGAGUUUGUUUUGCAAUAUCGCGCUUCAAUGCUCUGUGAGCUUCACCAGUGAAGUAUCCUCUAUCUUCCUCUUCUUUAUAAGGAUCUCAUUCAUGAAUUUGGCGUAAGCAUGCAUUUGUGAGAGCACUUCUAUGAAUGGAAAAUUUACAUGAACCUAUUUUAGCACAUCUAGAAAUCUCCUAAACUGCUUGUCCAGCUUUUCUCUAUAUAGCUUUUGAGGAAAAGGUAAAGCAGGCAUAUGCUCGCUCUCAUCAUGUUCCUCCCUUCUUAAUUUUUCUUCCAUCUUAUUCUUCUCAGUUUUCAUCGAGCCUUUCUUAUUUUUAUCAAUAUCAUUCUUCAGCUACUCCCCACUUUCGUUUUCAUGUAUCGCAUCCUUUUGGAUCGGGGUGGGAUCUUUCAACACUUGCCCACUUCUCACAUUUACAGCAUUCACUGUUUCUUUAGGAUUUCUCUCAAUAUCAGUGGGGAGAGUUCCUGGAUCCCUCUUAGAUAAUAUUGUUGCAAUCUGCCUAACUUGUCUCUCCAGGUUCCGAAAAGAUGUGCCCAACUCUUUGAUAGCUACUCCAUGAGCGUCCAGCCUCUCAUCUGUCUUGAUAAUGAAGGCCUUUAAUAGAUCCUCUAGACCUGACUGAAUGGGAUGUUGAGGCUGAAAUUAUUGCCUCUACUGAUUUUAGUAUGCUGGAGCUCCUUGUCCCUGCAGUCUAGAGUUAUUUUGUUACCAAGCAUUCACGGUACCUCCAGGUGAACUCCAUGAAAAUUCGGGGUGCCUCUAACCCAUUGUAUUGAAACUGUAGUUUCCCACAACAUUUACUUUCUCAGUUGAGGCUUGACACUCAUGAAUAGGGUGUCCUCUUCCACAUAUAUCACAAACUAUAUGAGGCUCAUUUUGUAUCGAGGCUAAGGUCAGCUUCCGUAUUUCUUAGCCAUAGCAUCCAGUUGUACCUGCAUAGAUGUAUUAGCAACAACUUGGUGAAUACUAGUUGUUCUUCUUCUUUCAACACUCUCAGAGGGCCACUGAUUUGCAUCUUUAGAUAACUCAUCAAGAAUUAUAACUAUCUCCUCUGGAGUCUUCUUCAUCAAUGGGCCUCCAGCUGCAUUGCUCAAUGUUCUACGUGAGGCUGGUGUCAAUCCAUCCCUAAAGUCCUAGAGUUGCAUUCAGAGUCCAAUUCUGCUAUGUUGAUGCUUUCGAAUAAUCUCUUUAAACCUCUCCCAUGCUUCAAAAAUAGUUUCCGUAUCAAUCUGGUAGAAGUUAUGGAUUUAUCUUCUAAACUUGCUCGUUUUAGUAGAGGAGAAAUAUUUAUCAAGGAAUUUUCUAGUCAUCUUCUCCCAAGUUCUAAUGGAUCCCGUGGGUAAGCUUCGAAGCCACUGUUUUGCAUCAUCUUUGAGUGUAAAGGGGAAUGCCCUCAAGUACACUGCAUCUCGUGAUACACCAUUGUAUUGAAAGGUGUUCAUAAUCUCUUCGAAGUCCAUCAUAUGUGUAUUUGGAUCUUCGUUCAUCUUCCCUAUGAGGACACAACAAUUUUGAAGGGUUUGAAGCAACCCUUGCUUCAACUCGAAAUUAUUUGCUGUAAUUGGAGGUGGUCUCACACUUGAUAAUCCUUGAUUGUAGACCAGUCUAAUAUAAUCACCAAGAGGUCUUCCUUGUAUGGGAGCUAUAUUUUCGAACUGGUCCGCACCCAAAGGUUGAUUUUGAGCAAUUCUCUGACCCCUUACUUCUCCAUAGAUAAUUUGUGCAUCUCUGAUAGUUUCUUCCUCAGCAUCCCGUGCAACUUGUUAUCUUUGUUAGGUUGCCUCUCUUGCAUCCAAAUCUAUAUUAUCAUCACCGUUUCCAGCCAUAAGUUCUUUGGUCGAGGAUUGCCCAACCUUUUCUGAUGUCUCGGUGAGAUUUCUCUCCUUCCUCAAUUGUCGCAGUUGUUUUUCUACCUUUGGCUCGUAUGGUAGAACUUCUUUAGCAGAAGCUCGAGUCAUGUACCAAUCUAAACCUGUAACCUGCACACAGUCAAAGAACACCAACCGUAAAAAGAGAAAAAUAAAAUUAAAUAAAAAGAACAAAAUCAUGAAUUAGCACUACAAACUAUUUCAAAUGCACACUAUUAAUCCAAUAGCACAUACAGGGAACCAGGAAAAAAUAAAAGCACAACACUUUGGUUCUGAGGGAAAUCACCCAGUCAAAUACCAUGCUCAAGUUGUUAUUGAGGGGGGAAUGGUGAGGCUGGUUUUUACUAACAUGGUUUGUUCUUUUGCAGGAAACGAUAGUGUACUCAUCCCUUGCCAUUUACUAUGACUUCCAUGGGUGGUUGUAGCACUAUGUGCUCAUUCCCUAUAAGGAGGAGUGAUGGCAAGCACAAGCAUGGGAACGAAAUAUAACGGCAAAAAGCUAAGAAAUCGCCAAUACAGUGGCUAUUUUUGGCGAAGAUUUCUGGGCAAUUUGGAAACAAAGUAGAACAAAAUAUCAGUGCAACACUAUAAUACAAUAGCUCAUAAUCCAAAACUUGCAAAGAUAUCAAUAAGAUUCACAAGGCAAGCACACGAAAUUGUAGGCAAAAUCUGGACUGCUGAGCACUUUUGGACAGUACACUCGCGAGGGCUCUUUUAGCGAAAUAUUUCGGGCACAAUGGGUAUAAAAUGGGCUAAAUUAUUGAUGCAGCAUGGGAGAAGGAAAACCAAGAUCGAAUUCAUUCAAAGGUUUCAAGAGAUAAUAGAGGGAGGUCACGCAAAAAAGAUCGCAAACAUAGUGCACUUGCAAGUUUCUGGGCAGAGCACAUGCUUAAAAUUUUGCGAGCCUCGGGUAAUUUUUGUAGAUGUUGUAAUGACACUUUAUGGAGCAUGCAUGGACAAACAAUUCAAAUGAUGCUACAACACCAAUGGAGGGUGGCUCACAUCACCAUUUUUUGGGCAGUGUCUAUUUUUUGGCAAAUGGAAAUUGGCUAUUUGUGCAAGCAGCGUAACUGAGUAGUGGCUUUCAAUGAAUAUGGCUAUUUUUGCAAACAUCGGAUCUUGCAACUGGACGCUAAAUAUAAUGAGCUUCAAGGGCUAGAUCUUAAGUAUAAAAGCUACAUUAGAUUUCAUGUGCUAUCAUUGUUGAGCAUUUUACUCAACUUUGAUAAUAGGCUAUAUGUAGUUUGCAAAGUUUAUUUCUUUCAUUUCUUAGGAUUUCAUGAUACUUNNNNNNNNNNNNNNNNNNNNNNNNNNNNNNNNNNNNNNNNNNNNNNNNNNNNNNNNNNNNNNNNNNNNNNNNNNNNNNNNNNNNNNNNNNNNNNNNNNNNNNNNNNNNNNNNNNNNNNNNNNNNNNNNNNNNNNNNNNNNNNNNNNNNNNNNNNNNNNNNNNNNNNNNNNNNNNNNNNNNNNNNNNNNNNNNNNNNNNNNNNNNNNNNNNNNNNNNNNNNNNNNNNNNNNNNNNNNNNNNNNNNNNNNNNNNNNNNNNNNNNNNNNNNNNNNNNNNNNNNNNNNNNNNNNNNNNNNNNNNNNNNNNNNNNNNNNNNNNNNNNNNNNNNNNNNNNNNNNNNNNNNNNNNNNNNNNNNNNNNNNNNNNNNNNNNNNNNNNNNNNNNNNNNNNNNNNNNNNNNNNNNNNNNNNNNNNNNNNNNNNNNNNNNNNNNNNNNNNNNNNNNNNNNNNNNNNNNNNNNNNNNNNNNNNNNNNNNNNNNNNNNNNNNNNNNNNNNNNNNNNNNNNNNNNNNNNNNNNNNNNNNNNNNNNNNNNNNNNNNNNNNNNNNNNNNNNNNNNNNNNNNNNNNNNNNNNNNNNNNNNNNNNNNNNNNNNNNNNNNNNNNNNNNNNNNNNNNNNNNNNNNNNNNNNNNNNNNNNNNNNNNNNNNNNNNNNNNNNNNNNNNNNNNNNNNNNNNNNNNNNNNNNNNNNNNNNNNNNNNNNNNNNNNNNNNNNNNNNNNNNNNNNNNNNNNNNNNNNNNNNNNNNNNNNNNNNNNNNNNNNNNNNNNNNNNNNNAACUCGGGUCUUGAGUGAAGAAGGAAUGAUGAAAUCCUUGUGCUCGUGUUUUUCCAUCUCCUCCUUAGCCUCCUUAGGUCGAACAUGUGUCAAAAGUGCAAAAAAUAAUAUUUUUUCCAUAUAUUUAUAUCAAGUAGGGUCGGGCCCAAACGAAAUCACCUUUACCUAGCCAAAAUAGGACAUUUACUUUGUAAAUAUUGCACAGGCGCGCUGUAUGGGGCGACGCGCCAUGCGGGGUAUUAGUGGGAAAAUCUAGAGAGAUCAACAAUUCAACAGGCAACAAAAAUACACUGUUUCAUCACACUAUGCCUCGCACCCAGCGUCGCACUAGUGCAAAUUACUCAAAGUACGGCUCAAACCUUGUGUUUUGACAUCCAGACUUGGUCCUCGACCCCCGAACACGAUCCCGGCUAAAUCCCUUGGGCUUUUACUCAAACUUUAAAGCUCAAAAUCGCUCGAAUUUAUUCCAUAACAUCUACAUAGCUCAGAAUCACUCCUACAUGGCAUAAAACACACAAUAAGUGCAAAAACACUAUCAAUUAAAGAUCAAACACAAGUAAAUUGCAGUUAAAUAGAGUGUAAUAAGCAACUAAAAUACGAGAUUAUAGCCUACCAUCAUCGAGGAAAAAGUACCUUGCCCUUUGUCCAGCCCAAGACAAUAAGAAAGAAAAUAAUAGUCGGCAGAGGGAGAGGUGCAGACCUCUCUGAGUCUAUCUCCUAUAUCCCAUCUAGGGAGGUGUCAGAGGGAAACUCAGCCUUUAUUCAAGAGGAGUAGACGGCCACCCAGUCGAGGCCGCAGUGGUGAUACCAGCUCAGGGAUGAUCCGUCUUCAUGUCACAGCACCUACGAGAGGUCGGAGAGUGCUAAUCAGGCUUCUUAGCCAUCGGCUACACCAGUCCCUGAGGCACAGGUUACACAUGAUAUCCCCGAUGAUGGCAGAGGGGGAGAUGCUACAACUACAGGGCUUGAGAGAUCAAAGAAGAAAGAGGUUUGGGAGGAUUGCUUUGUUUGCUUGGCCGCUUUUACCAGUUUCCGUAUGUGGUGGCCAGUGAGCUCGCUAACUCUUGAGCGACAGUUUCUGUUAAAUGAUUUGGAGAAAUACAACCCAACUAUAUUGAGACAGUUCAUGGCACGAAAGGGGUGGAUGUGGUUCACCGAGAAAGUAGACGAUGCCAAAUAAUACCUUGUUUGAUAAUUAUAUGCCAAUGUGGCUCAUAUAAAGAAAGGUACGAAGGUGACCAAAGUACGCAACCUCAAGGUGAGAUUUGAUCAGCAUACGCUAAAUACGUAUUUGGGCUUCAAAGAUUUUGAGCUGAAGGAAUAUCUGGAGAAGUGCGCACUAAAGGAUGAAGUCCGACCUUGGUUGGCUAAGAUUCUAGCACCACCAGGGCCACCGCCACCAUGGAUCACUGCUGGGGUUCCCAUCCACCGGAACACCCUAAGUUUUGAGGCAAAGAGGUGGCAAACCUUUGUCUACAACAGACUAGAUCCAAGCCAGAACCAGAUUCACCUCCCUAUCCCUCGAGCAGUGCUUGUGGCUUCCAUCAUGGUCAGCUACCCAAUCAAUGUGGGUGUCAUGAUGUCGGCCAACAUUUUAGUGAUUGCACGGUAGGACAGCUCAUCCUACCCUUAUCCCAUCACUAUCACAGAGUACCUCACCUAUGCAAAGGUAGAGCCGAGGGAUUUUGACACCAAGGUGAAACCAAAGAAACCAUUCGACUGGUAUUCUCUGAUGGAUGCGAGCAACCCAAAGAAGAAAGCACAGCCUUCUACCACCGUAGGCCAGUCUAAUGAGCUAAUAGUGGUAGCUUCUGAGGCAGUUGAUCUUCCAUCCACCUCUGCUAAGCCUUCUACCAGUGCCACUGCUAUGACUCCACCAUCAUCUUCAACUCCCAUAUCUGCUCUGCUAGUCUCCCAAACAUUGGCGAGUCUCAACAACUGGAUGCAGAUAGCUACUUCUAAGUUGUCUGACUUAUCUAGUACUGUUACAAUGCAGUCCACUUCUCAGGCACCAUAGUCUCCUUCUGACAUUGAUGAUACAGUGAAGAAAAUUUUGGAGAACCAGAAGACGAUCAUGGAUAACUUGGUAUGACACUGGUCAGUGAUUAAGAAGUUGGGAAAGGAAGUAAAGAAGAGGAGGAAGUCCUAGGUCAGCAAGAAAUCAGUGGAAAAGCUCUGUAAGGAGGUGACUAGACUUGCUAUAGCUGGCGACCUUCUCUUUGACAUGCUGCUUGACCCGCACCAGUUCGCCCCAGAUCCUUCAACACCAUCUGCAUCGGUAGCACCAACUGGCCAGUCUGACGAUCCAGACCAUGAUGCAGACACUAUUGAGGCAAUGCAUGAGAUGUUCGCCAACCCAGCCAUACCUAGAUUUGAUGAUGAUGUGACUCAGUUGGCUGAUCCUGAGGGAGAUGACAUUGUCAGGGACACUGAGAUGUCCAAGGAUCCAUAGGGAGUUUUUUUCACCCUCUCAUUUUUUUACUCUUAUUUUGCUAAGCAUUGGGGACAAUGCUUACUUUUAUUUGGGGGGUAGAGUUUAGUUGACACAUUGGUACACUUUGAUACAUUUGGUCUGUAAUAAUUUGACGAUACUCUUUCUCUUCUUAUUUGUAUUUAUCUAGCUUCUCUCUCUUCUCUUAUGUAUAUUUAUCUCUCUUUAGUAGUUUUUGCGUAUUAGCUUCUAUAUUAUUUCCAUAUUAGCUCGUGUUUUGUUAAGUAUCUUCUUUUUAUGCUUUAGUAGAUAAUAAGCCUUUGGUUUUCUUAACGCCAUGGUUCUUUCCAAAGAAAGUUGUGUGAACUGGUUUACUUGUCCCAACGAUGGAUAGCGUGACAACCUUCUUAAGGGAAUGAGUCUAUUUUUGUGUUUAGGUAAUAAUAAUAGUAGUAAUGAAUAAAAGACCAAAUCUAGUCGUGCUCAAAGAGUCAAUCAUGCUUCAAUUGGUACCAACACACUUAACUACAUGUUUAUGGUUAGAGACAAGGUUUUUGAAAGAAAUAGCUCUAGUUAGUGGCUUUGUGACUCUUGAGUUGACUUUGGUAAUCAUCGAGUGAUUUAAUUGGACCAUGGUGAUCUUUAAACUUAAAUGUGGUCGUUGUAGGCUCUCGACUCUAUCCUCUUUUACUAUCUAGUUGUGUGAGGGGUGAGAUGAAUUGUUGCAAGUACAAGUAUCCGUGCGAAGGGUCUAGAACCUGUCCCGAAUGUGUUUCAAGGCGAAAUCCUAAGUUUUGCUUGGUUUGAGAAGUUAUUGUAGGGUUUCCUUGGCCCGUUUGAGCUUUCUAUUACCAACCAAUAUCGUUAUCCCAAGUCAACCCAUUUGAACCUCUAGCCUUUUGUCAUUUGAUAACCAUGUUCUCUGUCUUUUCCCCGUUUUGUCGUAACCCUCUCUUGGCACCCGAACUUUUCUUAACACUCCUGUGAAACACGUAGCUUAAAACAUAAGUUUAGGGGAGAGAUGAGGAGUUUGAAAAUGUAUCGAGGCACAGAAAGAGAAAAGAAACGAUCUCCAUGAAAGAGAAGGCAAGAAAAGAUAAGAACAAAAAGAAAACUGCAGAACAUGAAUAAGUGGAAGGGUUGGUGGAUUCAAAAAAAAGAGGUAAUGAUCCCUAGCAUGAGAAAUCAAAAAAGGAUAAAAAGAAUGAAAUUAACAAAAAAAAAGAGUGACGUUAGUCCCCAAUGAAAAAAAAUGCCUCUAAGAAUUGGUAAUUGUGAUCCGAGAAAUGAAAAUGUAGAGUGCUUAAGUAAAGGUGUAACCACUUACCCAUAUGGUAUCCUACUCUAAUCCAAAAGCCAUCAUUACAACCCGAAAUAAGUCCUACUUGAUUUCAAAUUAAGUGACCAUACAUUAGUGGCAAUCUACAUGAGGGCAAGCCUAUGGUACUUGAAGCUGUACUUGUGACAUUCUCUUGUGAGAGACAGGUGAACCUUUCAUGAAUCUUAAGAUUGAGUGCUAAUUUCUUAAGUGAUCUUGGCAAAUGGAAAGUAGAGGAGGAAGUGUUUGGAGUCCACCAUGACCUACAUGAUAGAACAAGAGUCAUUGAUGAGUAAAGUCAAUUUUUGAAGCUCAAAUAUCACAUUAGAACUAUAUGUGCAUGAAUAUUUGACUUGUCACCUUGUUGAUAAUACAUGAGUAGUGUGGGUAAUUGUUGAUCCCAAAUGAUGUGUGACUAGCUCACCUUUGACUUGGUGAAAUGACCCUUAACUCUAGGAGGUGGGGACCAAUUUAUUUGCUUAAGGACAAGCAAAGACUUAAGUUUCGGAAAGUUGAUAAGUGGGAAUUUUGACUACUUAUUAGCACUUUUUUGCUUUGUUUUAGUCUGAAAGUGUUGCUUUAUGUCCCCGAAACUAAUGAAAGUGUGCAAAUUACAGGAAUGUUGGAAGCUUGUUCUCGCAUGAUGAAAUCUGACACAAAAAGGAGUGUUUCGAAUCACAAGGCAAGAAAGGGGCAUAGAACUAAAGAAGUAUGGUCCGCAGAAUUCUAUUUGCGGCCGCAGAUCAAGUGAAAGAGACCAACAAGAACUUGGCCAAUGUGCGGCCGCAGAAUAAGGUCUACACUGACAAAUGAUUCAAAGUUCAGAGAGUGUUCAAAAGACCAAGUCCUGAAGCCUUGUUGAAGUGCGGACCGCACAAGAAUUGUGCGGCCGUAGAAGAUGCUUCACAGCCGCAAUCCAUAAUUGUGCGGCUGCAGAAUCCAAGAUCUUUCCAACUGAAUAAAUCUUCGUACCGCACAUAGAAUUGUGCGGCCGCAUAGCCUCCCAAGGGGAAUUAUUGUGAGCGAAUUUUGGGCCACUAUAAAUAGACGAGUUUCACAUUUUUAGGUCAUGUUUCGAAGUUUAAACUGUUGUAGCCGUUACAUUUUUUCCAUAUUAGGAAGUUUGUGACUAUUUUAGUGUUUAAAUAUUACAUUUUAUCAUUUUAAUUUUAGAUUAUGAGUUAUAAUUAGCAUUUCUUCUUUAUUUUCUUCAAUUCUCACUAUGAGUAGCUAGAUUCUAACUAGGGUUGUGACCCAACCCUAGUGUGUAAACCUUGUGAGUAUUUAAUUUAAUGUUUGUUUAUGAUUGGGUAUUGAUUAUUUAUCUUAGUUUAUGCUCUAAUUUUAGAAUUAAUGGUUGCAAACAUUGAUUCAUGCCUUUUUGACUUAGUCUCUACUUGAGAAAGAGGGACCUAGUCUAGGAUAACUUGGCUAACAAGGAAUUGGGCUAAUUGAAGGUCUGAUUAGCCUAUUUAAAGGGUUCAAACUAGAGGUAGUGAGAACCUAACUUGAGCUCAUAUCAACUAUUUUGUUUGAUACCCAUUUGAACUUGAGAAAGCCAAAUUGGGCAAAUCACUCUUUGAUCGAGAGGUAUUGAGUAAGUAACGUAGAGUUGAGAGCUAUAAUACACCCCAAUCAACAAAAUAAGUAUUAACGUAUUUAACCCAUUAGGCGAACACCUAGGUUAUGGUCACAUCCCAAGGCUUUUUAAUUAUUUGAAAAAAAUACCAAAAACAAUCAUUCGCUUGUAGUUUCUUUUCUUAGCUUAUAAUUGCUAGAGUAAAAUUAGAAUUAGAAAUCAAAACCUUUUGUGGAAGUUAAAUUUAGUUAUUCCAUUCACUUUCGUCAAGUGUAUACUCUUAACACCCAUGUAACUCCCUAUGGAAAUGUAAUGACCCGACGGGUCAUUUUGAGUAUUACAACCUCGUUCCCCUAUUUAAUACUCAAUUUAUACUUUGCAGUUGAUAUAUGGCUUGCCAGGGUAAUUGGUUCGGGUCCGGUGAGGUUUUGAACUGAAUUGAGACACUUAGUCUCCAAGAUGAAAACUAAAGUUGAAAAGGUUGACCGGAUAUUAACUUAUGUGUAAAUAACCCCGAAAUAGAAUUUUGAUGAUUCCAAUAGCUCUGUAUGGUGAUUUUGGACUUAGGAGUAUGUCCGAAAAAAUUAUUUGGAAGUCCGUAGUUACAUUAGGCUUGAAAUGGCUAAAAUAGAAAUUUAAGUUUGGAAGUUUGACCGGGGAGUUGACUUUUUGAUAUCGGGGUCGGAAUUCGAUUCUGAAAUUUGAAUAGGUCUGUUAUGUCAUUUACGACUUAUGUGCAAUAUUUGAUGUCAAUCGGGCUUGAUUUGAUAGGUUUCGGCACUGAAUGUAGAAGUUGGAAAUUUUUAGUUUUAUUAGGCAUGAAUUGGGGUACGGUUCAUGGUUCUAGCAUUGUUUGAUGUGAUGUGAAGUUUUGACUAAGUUCGUCUGAUGUUUUAGGACUUGUUGUUGUAUUUGGUUGAGGUCCCGGGGGCUUCGGGUGAGUUUCGGAUGGUUAAACGGAUAAAAGUUGGACUUAGGACAAAGCUGGAAGUUGCUGCAUACUGAUGCAAUCGCAUCUGUGGAAUUUGGCUCGCAGGUACGAGCCCGCAGAAGCGAGCUUGGAAAGCGCAGAAGCGAGUAGGGGCCGGUGAGUCAGAGUGCAUAGGUGCAAGCAUUUUACCGCACCUGCAAGGUCGCAGGCGCGAGGAGAAAUGCGCAGAAGCGGAGGCAGCACUGUGGACGAUUGCAGAAGCGGACAUUUUUGUCGCACCUACAAGACCGCAUAUGCGGCUAUGCUGAUCGCAAGUGCGACAGGCCCUGGACAGAAUAAAUUGGAGGAGUUGCAGGAUUUUGGCAUUUUUGGACAUUUUCAACACGGUUUUGGGCAAUUUUUCAGAGAUAAUUCACGAGAAAUCUUGAGAUAAGUCACUUGUGAUCAUUUUUAGUCAAUAAUAUUGGAUUAUGAUUGAGUAUUUCGACUAGAUUACAUAUUUUUAGGUGAAAUUAGAGGAUUUGGUCCUAGAGAUUUCAAAAUAAGAAUUUGAGAUUUAGAGGUCGAGUUGAUGUCGGAAUUUGGUAAAUUUGUAUGGUUGAACUUAUGGUUGAAUGGGCGUUCAUAUUUUGUAAAUUCAUCGGGUUACGAGACGCGGGCCCCACGGGCAAUUUUUGGGUGAAAUUUUGGAAUUAAUUCCUAUAAUUUGUUUUGACUGAAUCGAAUUAUUUAUAACUAGAUUCGAGGCGUUUGGAGGCCGAUACGUGAGGCAAAGGCAUUGCAGAGUAAAGAAUUGCACGGCUUGAGGUAAGUAACACUUCAAAAUUUGGUUCUGAGGGUAUGAAUCCCUGAAUUUGGUGUUAUAUAAAUUGUUUGAAGGUGAUGCACACGAUAGUUGACGAGCGUGUGGACGUGCACCAUAGAAAUUGUGACUUGAAUAAAUUCUGUGAAGUUGUAAAAUUAAAGAAUCAUGUUAUUAUCCGAAUAUUUUCCACGUAUUAGGAAUAUUGAGCUGAGACUCGUAUUAAAGAUCAUGAUUGGGCUACGUGCCUAUAUUUUGGGACCCACAGGGUCGUAUUGCUGUUAAAUUAUUUGUUUAAAUUUAUAAUUUUGUACUCAGUCACAUCUAUCACUUGCAUAUCAUAUCUCAGUCUCUUUUAUCAUUCACUGAUACUUUAUAUCAUCAUGUCAGGUUUAUUAUUUUCAUGUCAUUGAGAACCCGAGAUACUAUAGAUUCUGAAUGAUAGUUAUGUUUAUUUAUUUAUGCCUGGAUCUGGCUAUUAUAACGCUUGGGUUGAAGGAGCCCCUCCAGAGUCUGCAUCCCCACAGUGAGUAUAGUUGNNNNNNNNNNNNNNNNNNNNNNNNNGAGGGAUGGAUCUUCCCUGGGCAUGGAUCUUACCCUAAGCAUUUAUGUUGAGGGAUAAAUUUUCCGUGGACAUGGAUCUUGCCCGAAUCAAUGAUAUUCGGGGAUGGAUCUUCCCCUGGGCUGUAUUGGCCUUAUAUAGUACUGAGUGACUAACUGACAGUUGAUAGAUAUACAUAUAUAUUUGGGAUGGAUCUUCCUUGGGCUAGAUUGGCCAUAUACAGUACUGAGUGAUUGAGUAUUUUAGAUUGUGAGUAAACGGAGUUUUCACUAAGGUGCAUCACAUACAACAUGUACAUUAGCAUGUAGAUACAGAGAUGUCAUAUUCCUCGUAUUUUCAGAAUUGAUAUGUUUUAUUUGUACUGAAAGCAACUGUUGAACUUGAAAGCAUGCCUACAUUUCUAUAUUAUUAUUACUUAUACUGGACUAUACCUGCGGAGCUCAUCACUACUUUCAGCCCAGAGGUUAGUCUUGUUACUUAUUGAGUUAGUUGUACUCAUACUACACUCUGCACCUCGUGUGUAGAUCCAGGUGCUUUCGGACACGGUGACCGUUUGAUCUCAGAGUGCUAUCAGUUGGAGACUAUCAAGGUAGUUGCCUGGAGUCCGCUAACCUUGACUCACUUUCUUUAAGUUAUUGUACUAUUCUAUACUUUCAGACAGUGUUUUGUCAGUCAGACUUUAUAUUCAUAUUAGAUGCUCGUGUACUCAGUAACACCGGGUUUUGGGAGUGUUUAUAUCUGUAUUUGUGGGUUUGUUUCGCUGAAGUUAAAUAUUAUGUUUUUCAAACUUCAAAGAUAUGGUAGUUUAUUGAUAUUUUCAUCUUGCCUAGUAUUGAGAUAGGUUCCAUUACGACAGAUGGGAUUUUGGGUCAUGACAGGAAAUCAACCCCGACUCUUGUUGGGUAUUAUUCUUCCAACGACCGUUUCCAAUCACUAUUGAGUGCGGAUUGGAUGUGGAUCAGGGGCUUGAUCUGGACAGGUUGAAGUUUUUGUAUAGUCUCAGUUAGAGGGGAUACUCUACCGAAAAUUUUAUGAAUUUAGAGAGUUAGCCAAAUUUGGGGGCCUUAAGGAAGUUGAAAUUUUGGAAGAAUAUCUAAGAUCCAUAUAAAGUCAAGAAUGAUUAAAGAUGAUGGUUAAGGUGAAAGUAGUAUAACACUGUUCCUAAUAAUGACUUGUAAAACAUUCUAGGACAAAUUUUCUUAAGUGGGGGAGAAUCUAACACUCCGUACAAUUUCGAAGUGUUUAACGGCUUUAAAGAAGAUCGGCAUGUGCUAAUUAUAUUAAUUCGCGUGUGAGCAAGGGAUAAUGAUAUAAAUGAUAUCACUUGAACAUGAUAAUAUGUGUAUGAGGUAUAUUAAAAAUGGUUUAUGGUCUAAGAAGAGCCCUUAAGCUAAGUCAAGUUGGAAAUUAUAUGAUGGGCUAAAGUUUCAAGUGGGUUCGCACAAGAUUUAACUUCAAACGAGCAUAAAUCUCAAGAUAUGAAGUGUUUUUCAUGGUGUAUGACCUAUCAUAUAAAAGUUCUAUGUGUCUACUUUCUAAUGCUUCAAACCGUUCGACAUUUGGAUAUUUCAACAAUACGUUAUGGCCUUUUUACCAUAAGGUGGUAGUACAGCUACGCAGCAGGCUACUCAACCUGCAUAGCCAAUUUAAGAUUUUGGCCAAGGGAAAGGCCUCAUGCGUAUGUUUUAUGAGUAGGCUAUACAAGGAGAACGCAAUUUUAGGGGCCAUUUUAAAGGGGAUGAAACAAAGGGUUUAGAAAGAUAAAAAGUUAGUUCUUCAACUUGAAAUUGAUUUCUAGAGAGAAUGAGGAGCUAUUCCACCAUUAAUACACUUCAAGGUAAAUUAUUUUGGUACAAGGAUGAUUAUAUUACAUCAUUUAGUGAUUAUACUAACACUAUUAUAGAUCAAAUCCAUAGAAAAUGGGUUGAAUCUUCAAGAACAUCAAAAAGAGGAAAAGUGAGAUUCUUCCACCAAGAGUUAAUCCCUUCACUUGAGCUUCAUAUAUAUGUCAUAUUGGAGAAUUGGUAGAAUCUUUAUGUGUUUUAUUUGAAGUUGUAAUGGGAUAUUGUAUGAACCCUAAGGGUGGGUCUUGAAAAUGAUAUUUUGGGCAAAGAAGAAGAUGAAUAGUGAUGAAUUGAUAUAAAUGGAAUUGUUUUGAGUUUCUAAUAAUUCCAAUAGACUUGAUAACUUAAUUGAUGAAUGAAUUGAAUAGGGAAUAACCAUUUGGACAAGAUGCAACACUAGUUCUUAAAAUGGGUGUUCUUGAACCUAGGGUUUUGUUAGAGAAAACAAUAUAUAGUGACUUAAUGAUGUUGGAUAAUUAACGUAGUGCUAUUAAUGACUCCAAAUGAGUAUUAAAUAAUAAGAAUGGAAUUGAAUAGGCUAAUGGGUGAGCCUAUUGGAUAAUUUGGGAUGGUUGAAGGCUUGUUGCCGAAUUUUGAAGCCUAAAUAAAUAUUUAUGCAUCUUUUUGUAUUUGUUUUGAUGUAGUUGGAUAUCUUAUGGUAGAUACUGAAUUGUGGGCAAUAUUGGAGCAUGAUAGUAUUUUUGGAGCUUGAAGUUUGAGGUAAGUUGAUUAAAACUUACUCUCGUGAGGGAUUCUCUUUAAAAGCAUGUCUUAAGUAGAUACAUUGUAUUAUAUGUAAGUGUGCAUCAGUACUUGCGGGGACAAGCGGGAAAGAUGUCACCAUGUGUUUUUAAAUUAUUGCUUAUGAAGUGUCGUGUAAUUUUAUAAAAAUAUUAUUUUCAAAACUUGUUGGCAAAAUGACACUUAAGAAAAUUCUUAUAAGUUAUAUUAAAACUUAUUUGUUGAUAAGAGUCUAAAAUGCUCGAAUGCUAAAGAUAUAUUUUCAUGAAAAAGUUUGUCUUUUAAAAUUUCAAAAAAGGAAGCACUUGUUGUAUCUUUAAAUUGAUGUUAAUUCCUGAAAGCUUUAACAUGAAAAAGGUUAUUCAAUUGAUUUUGUUCCAAUAGUUUGGAUUGGCUAUGAAAAUAAUGAUUUGAUAAAAAUAGAUCCCUUGAGGCAAUUAUGCUAUGAAUAUAUUUUUGAUAUGUCAAAUAUUUUGGAAGUUACUAGUGGACCACCGAGAUUGGUUCGAAUGUUGAAUUCAUUACUAUGAAACUACAUGUGCCGGUGUAGGGACACAUUCCAAGGCUAAGCCGAGGUUUGUGGGAAGAGGGCAAAUGAUCAUUACUUAAAGUAAUGAGGUUAAGUCGACUCAUACGGGACUAUGGGAAGCCGCCCAGACAAGUACGGUCAAAAACUUAUUGCUAGGAUGAUCACCUAGUAGUUGUUCAUUAUGUCGGUGUCUGUAUAGUACUCCCGGUGAAAGAUAAAAAAGAUAUUUCUAAUAUCAGGCCUAAGGAGCCGAAAAUAAUUUCAAUGACUUAAUGAGAUUAAAAUGGUUUUAUACGAUUUACUUAAUAAGAUUGAAAUGGCUUUAUAUUAUUUCUAUUAAAUAUAUUGGGUUGAUAGAGACAUUCUAAAACGUUAUACCAUGGCUUACAUUUCACUUGUCUUUUAUUUAAAAUAAUAAAGAACAUGAUUUAUAACCGUUUAUCACUUUAUGUCCAAUAUUGGUUGCAAAAGUUUUAUAAAAUCUUGUCCCACGAACUUGAGUUAGAGAGAGUCUAUGACACUUAUUGAGUACCGUUGUGGUGUACUCAGCCCUUAGGAGCCCCCUUCUAAGGCCCCACUUAAUAUAUGUUAGUCGGGCAUUAGCCCAAGAAUUUAGUUCUAUUCCUUGGUAUAGAGGCUCCAUAGUAGUUGUGAAUAAUUAUAGUAAUGGGUUUGUACGCGACAUACGUGAAAAGAUAUUUAUUUUACUUAGUUUCAUUAUUAUGAUUAUGAGAGGCUUCAUGUAUAAUUUUGAAUUGGAAAAUUGUUCCAUUGUUUAACUUGAAAAAUAUAUAAAAUUUCAAAGAGCUUCCACAGUUAAAUUGGUUUUCAUGCAUAUCGUUUGGGUGCAUCUUAUAGGUUGGUUCGCUCGGGCCAGAUAGUGUGCCGGGUGUCGGUCACGUGGAUGUGGGUCAUGACAUCCUCCUAAUGACUGUUGCUGGUACUGGAGGAAAAUAUGCACUAUACAUAACAAAUUUGCAGCUGGAUAUGUUUAGGAUGGGUGGCUAUCAGUGAAUGGACAAUACUCAUUAGGCAACGACUACAAAUAGAGACAGGGGAGUAGAGAGGGUUUGGCUGGUAUGAGAUGGGUUUGGUGUAAAUAUAACACCCCAACAUAUAGCUUCAUCUAUUGGGUAGCUAUGGACAAAAUAUUGUUAACGAUGGAUAGAUUGGCUCGAUUGGGAAUAUGCAAAGAAAACUCAUGUGCCAAAUGUGGGGAAGCCAUUGAAACAAUUGACCACCUAUAUUUUGAAUGCCCAUUCUCAAAAACAUGUACACUGGAAGUGCUGCAAUGGUUGAACAUGGGGGUCCGGCAAUGGGACUUGAAGGGUCUCUGGAGACGUAUGACUAGAAGAAUGCAAGGCAAAGUAUGCAGGCAAUUAAUAAUAUCGAUAAUGGUAGCGGUGGUGUACCACAUCUGGAGAGUAAGGAAUGUUGCUAAUUGGGAUCAUAGAGUCCCCACAUGAUUGUCAAUAAUAUUAAGCAGGAAAGCAAAUAGAAGAUACAUGAUAUACUUGUUUGGAGAUCCUUAAGACAUAAUUAGAGAGCAUGGGUAGAAAGAUUAUCAUAAAUAGGAGUAAUUGUAUAGCUGCUUGAUAUGGCCAGAAUAGAACAGAAAUGCUAAUAGAAAAGGGGGUUGAGUGAGGAAGGAAUAUGGGGGAUUCAAUUGUAAAGUUUUUGUGCUGGUGAUCGAUAAAAUUCUUUUUUUCACCAAAACAACAACCUUUUAGCGGUUAUACAUGUAUAGGGUAAAAUAUGUUAUAUUAAAUGAUCGCAUGAGGAAAUGACACGUGGAGACGAAGACAGUAGAUAGCUGAAACUGAAGGCAACGAUCUCGUCUGUUAUCGUAGAGAAUGAUAUUCAUAAAGAUGAAAUAAACGCAUUCCACCCGGUAGCAUUUAAUGAAGAUUAUUCUACAGCAUUAAGAAUACUGCCUGUUACAAGAAAUAUGAUAUUCAUUGCGGCGCCGUUAGACAUUCUUCAAUGGCCCUCAUAAUUGACACUAAAGAGGGGCUUGAUCCUAGGAUAUUGUUCCCUAGGUGUAGCUAUAAAUAAUGAGCUCUAUUAUCAUUGUAGUUUCUGGAAAACAUAUGCUACACUCUAUUCAAAGCUUAAUAUAAUUUUAUCUUCUUGUUUUUUGAUAUCAUUGUUGUUGUGCCCGGAAGCCCUGCUCCCGCAAUUAUUAUUUCUACUAUUUCGUCUCCAUCUCAAGGCUAAGUAUUACAUUUUUAUCUAAUUCAUCUAUUAUUUCAGGAUCAAAUUAAUUCACUUUUCUAAAAAUUACGUAUAAAUUCAACUAUAUCGUUUUACGGGUAAACAGUUUGGCACCCACCGUGGGGCCUAGACAGUUGUGUAAUUAAGUCGGUCCCUUCCUUUUUUUUACUAACAUGUUUAAUCAUUUGUUCUUAGCAAAAAAUUAUAAAAAAUGACAGAUAAUGGUGUUAACUACACACACAACCUUGAGGCCCAAGGAAAUCAGCCUCAGCACGAAGAUUCAAUUAGUGUUACCCGCAGUAAGGGGAACGAGGCCACACCAGUCCACGGCAGGCGGUACCCGCGACAUGUUCGGGAGGCGACUCCUAAUAAUGCGGAAGAAGAGUCGUUGAAGCGGUAAGGGUCCUGCAGGAACAACAAGAGGUCAUUCUAGGCCAUCUCACGCAGCAGGAUAAGGUUAUGACAGAGCUAAAAUAUGCGUUAUCGGGUGCUUCCAAUAACGUGAAUGGACGAGGUCCAGUCCCUCCCGGUGAUCCCGCAAAUCAAACAAUGCAGAGGGUCGACAAAACACCCCGAGAGGCGAGGUCGGCUUUGAUGGGGUUGGGGGAGCAAAUCUGGUCAUAACAACGAUAGUGAUCCCUUCAAAAACGAACUCAUACGAUUUAUGAGGGAAGUGAAGGCCUGCAUGGACCAAAUCCUUUGUGCACCACCGGUGCUGAAAGGACUAUGCUAAAAGAACUACACUCUAUUGCCGUACAAACCAAGCGCGUCACCAGAAUUGAUCCCGUAGCGGUUUAAAAUUCCUGACGUACCGAAAUAUGAUAGGACUUCAGACCCUCAAGAUCAUAUCACCACCUAUACAACAACGGUGAAGGGUAACGAUUUAGCUCCCCACGAGAUUGAAUCAGUUUUGCUGAAACAAUUCGAAGAGACUCUCACGAGGGGAGUCUUGACAUGGUAUUUGUUGUUGCCCGAGCAUUCUAUAGACUCAUUUGAGAUGCUCGCAGACUCUUUCAUUAAGGACAAUGCUGGGACCAGAAAGGUGUAGGCCCGAAAGGCCGAUAUAUUCAGGAUUGCACAAGGAGAGUCUGAGUUGCUGCGAGAAUUUGUAACCCAGUUCCAGAAGGAAAGGAUAUUGCUCCCGGCCAUUCCGGAUGAAUGGGCCUCUGAAGCAUUCACCAAGGGUUUGAAUUCGAGAAGUUUUUAUGCUUCCUAGAAGUUAAAACAAAGCUUACUCGAGUUCCAAGCGACGACUUGGGCGGAUGUUCAUAACCGGUAAGAGUCAAAGAUAAGGAUUGAGGAUGAUCAGCUUGUCUUCCAGCAUUGGUUAAAGGUCGGGAGAAGAAUAAAGAGAAAUCAAAAGACGAUUUUGACACAGAUAGACGGUCUUCGAGGAGCCGGGUUUUGCCUUAUGAACGGGCCGAUGGAUGCGGCACAAGCUUCCAAUAUGCAUAUAGGUUUGUUACUGAUAGAAGGAUUGAUCGCGGCCGGAACAACAGGUCGUUACAGGACAAGGAAACGUCAGGUUCUCGAGACCCUUCCUACCCCAGACUUUCAGAAUACAACUUUAACGUCAGCAUGGUACAGUUAGUAUCAGCUAUGAAGAACAUUAAAGAAGCACGGUUCCUAAAGUCUAUGAGGUCCGAUCCAAGCCAGAGGGAUCCUAAUUUAUGGUGUGAAUACCACGGGAUGAACAGUCACCGGACUGGGGACUGCCGGCAUCCGCACGAAGAAGUGGCGAUACUGCUGAAAAAUGGCCAUCUCAGGGAGUUCCUAAGUGACCGAGCCAAGAACAAUCACAGUCGCAAUCAUGACAACAUGGAUCCCUCAAAAGCAGGAGAAGAUCCCCCACGCCUGACGAUCAAUAUGAUUUUUAAGGGGAACGAGAUUAACAGGGUUACCUUUUCGGCAGCAAAAAAAGAUGAAGGUAUCAGUAACCCAUAUCAAGAGACUCCGGGAAGUCACUGAAGAUGACAUCACUUUCACGGAGGAAGAUGCAGAUGGAUUGUUGCUACCAUACAAUGACGCAUUGGUAAUUUCUUUAAAUGUGUUAGAUUUUAAAAUCAAACGUGUUCUAGUGGAUCUAGGGUGUUCGGCCAAUAUUAUACAAUGGAGGGUAUUGGAACAAUCCAAACUUACUGGAAGCAUCAUUCAGGCCACAAAACUUCUCGCCGGGUUCAAUAUACCAAGCGUGACAACCCGAGGAAAAAUCAUGUUGUCCACGGACGCCGAGGGGGUGAUGAAGACGACCCUUUUCCAGGUGGUGGAUGGUGAUAUGGGCUACAACAUUAUCCUGGGAAUACCAUGGUUGCACGAGAUGAAGGUUGUACUAUCAACGUAUCACCAGUUGCUGAAAUUCCCAACUCCUGAGGGGAUUAAACAAAUAAAAGGCGAUCAACCGGUGGCAAGAGAGAUGAAUGUGAUUUCGGUAUCCAGUAGCAAAGAGAAGGAGCAUGCGGCAUAGCAAUUACAAGAACCGACGCCUACUCCCGAGUCAAGCAAAGUCAACCAGAGGGAAGAGACGUCGGAAUCUUAUCAAGUGCCAAGAUAUUUCCAGGUACUAGAAGAGAUGAACGCAACAAAGUCCACAGCGGAAAAUCUUGAGCAAGUCCUGUUGUUCAAAAAGUUCUUGGAGAGGAAAUUUCACUUGGGGACAAGACUGCACCCCGAGCUCAAGUCCGGGUUUAUUGAAUUUCUUAAAUUUAAUGUCGGUUGUUUUGCGUGGUUGCAUGCGGAUAUGACAGGUAUUCCAACGGAAGUGGCCGUACACAAGUUAAGCCUAGAUCCUAACAUUCUUCCGGUAAGAUAAAAAAAAAUGUCAUAUCAUCGAGGCCAGAAAUAAAUUCGUCAAGGAAGAGGUAACUCGCUUACUUAAUAUCGGUUUAAUCCGAGAGGUAAAGUAUCCAGACUGGCUACUAAUGUAAUAGUAGUUCCUAAGAUGAAUAAUAAAUUUUGCAUGUGUGUAGACUAUAAGGACUUGAAUAAGGUGUGCCUAAAGGACUCAUUCCCAUUGCCAAACAUCGAUCAAAUGAUUAAUGCAAUGAUCGGGUAUGAGUUAAUGAGUUUCCUCGAUGCUUACUCUGGGUACAACCAAAUUAAGAUGAACCCGGAAGAUCGGGAAAAAACUUCAUUCUUAACAAUUUUCGGCACAUACUGCUAUAAUGUGAUGCCCUUCGGGCUAAAGAACGCUGGAGCCACUUGUCAAUGGCUCGUAAAUAAGAUGUUUGAAAAACAGAUAAGGAAAACCAUGGAAGUUUAUAUAGACGAUAUGCUUGUUAAGUCUUUGAACGCAUGUGAUUAUCUUAAAUACUUGCAAGAAACUUUUGACAUCCUAAGGAAGCAUGACAUGGAGCUUAACCCCGAAAAGUAUGUGUUCGGGGUCAGCUCCGGCAAGUUCCUGGGGUUUCUGGUGUCACAAAGGGGUAUUGAGGUUAGCCCCGAUAAAAUCAAAGCCAUCAAAGACAUCCCAGACCAGCUAUCAAGCGUAAAACAGGUUCAAAGGCUUAUAGGGAGAUUGGCCGCUUUGAGCAGGUUCAUUUCUCAGUCUUCAGAGAAAUGCCACUAUUUCUUCUUCUGCUAAAUAAGAAGAACAACUUCGAAUGGACCACAGAAUGUCAGCAGGCUUUGAGGUAAUUGAAAUGAACUCGGACUUUAUGGCCGAUUUCAGCCCGGGAUUACUACCUCUGGCAACCAAAGAGGCAGUAAUGGCAUCAGAAUCAAUAUUAGAAUUUUGGACCCUAUUUAUGGAUGGAGCUUCCAACGUAAAAGGGUUUGGUCUUGACAUAGUAUUAACUACGCAUUCGAGAGAAACCCUAAGGUAGGCCAUAAGAACGGUUAUUUUAACUAACAAUGAAGCAGAAUAUGAAGCUUUGAUUGCAGGUCUCGAAUUGAUCCAAGAGUAGAUUCUGAGGUCAUAGAAAUCAAAUGCGACUCCCAGCUAGUGGUAAAUCAGGUCUAUGAGAUCUUUGAAGCCAAAGAUAAGCGCAUGUAACAAUAUGUAGCGAAGGUUCAGGCUUUGCUUGCUCGAUUCUGAGAGUGGUCAAUUACGCACAUCCCGGGGGAAGAAAACACGGAAGCAGGCGUACUAGCUUAUCUUGGCUCAUCAACGGAAAUAAAGGGAUCGAAUUCCUGUACGAUAGUAUAGCUUAUACACUUGGUUCUAGAUGCAGGUAGCUACUACGAGGUAAACACGACUAAUUUGGUCUGGAAUUGGAGGAAUGAGAUCAUUAAUUAUCUCGAGCACGGAAAAUUGCCUGACGCCAAGGCAUCCCGGGCGAUGCGCGCUAAAGCAAUACGAUAUAGCUUUAAAGUGGGCCAAUUGUGUAGGAAAUCUUUCCAAGGUCCGCUGGCCCGAUGUUUGGGAGCCUCCGAAGCCAAUUAUGUCAUGCAAGAAGUCCACGAAGGAAUCUGUGGAAAUAUUUCGGGUGCAGAUUCCUUAGUACUAAAGUUUAUAAGGGCAUGAUACUAUUGGCCCCAAAUGGAACAAGACACCAAAUCUUUUGUACAAAAAUGUGAUAAGUGUCAACGCUACGCUUCGUUGGUACAUUAACCACAAGAACCAUUGCACUCAUUGUUUUCUCCAUGGUCGUUCAUGAAGUGCAGAAUGGAUAUUGUCGGACCACUGCCGCCGACCCCUAGUAAGGUAGGGUUUCUUUUGAUUUUAACUGACUAUUUUUCUAAGUGGGUUGAAGCAAGUCCUUUUAGAAAUUGGCGAACGUGAAGUGGUGGAUUUCUUGUGGGAGAACAUAAUUUGCAGAUUUGGGAUACCAAAAGAGAUAGCAUGCGACAACGGGCCACAAUUUAUAGGUGCUAAGGUCACAAAGUUCCUUGAAGACUUGAAAAUCAGAAGGAUCACAUCCUCACCCUAUCAUCCGAGUGCAAAUGGUCAAGCGGAAUCAACGAACACAGUGAUUAUAUAAAAUCUCAAAAAGCGAUUGGAAGUAGCUAAAGGUAGAUGGCCUGAGGAACUGCCCGGAGUACUAUGGGUGUAUCAAACAACGACCAAAUCGAGCAUAGGAGAGACUCCUUUCUCCCUUGUGUACGGAGCAGAAGCCUCGAUCCCGGUGGAAGCAGGGGAGUUACCUUGAGAUACUUCCAGGCAAAUAAAGAAGCAAACAACGAAGUAAUGUUGAUCAAUUUGGAGCUUCUCAAUGAGCGCAGGGACUUGGCGCAUAUAAGGAUGGCAGCUCAAAAGCAGAGAAUAGAAAGAUAUUAUAAUCGAAGAGCCAACCUCCAUUAUUUCAAAGUGGGAAACUUGGUUCUAAGGAAAGUAACUCAAAACACUGGGAAAAUCAAUACAAGGAAGCUAGGUCCAACAUGGGAAGGCACCUACCGGGUUUCAUCUAUCACCGGAAAAGGUUCAUACGAGUUGGAGAAUCAAAAAGGAUAAAAGUUGCCAAGCAACUAGAACGUGGUGCAUCUCAAGAGAUACUAUUACUGAUGAACAUCACUUAUACUGAAAGUAUGUGUUGCACUUUUUUUCCCUCCAUCCAGCUUUUGUCCCAAUUGGGUUUUUCUAGCAAGGUUUUUAAUGAGGCAGCAAUGAAAAACAUACUACGAAGAAGGUUUCAACAACAGCAACAAGACCUUUUAAUAACAAGGCACACAAGCGAAGAACCACUCUGGAGCGGUUAGAUAAUCAUUUGCUCGAUAGCAAAGUUCCCACCGGGAAGUUAUAUUUUCUAUCGAGCAAGGGUUACCCCACUGUUCACAAGUGCAAACCACUAGAGGAUUGUUAGAUAGUCUUUGGCUCCAUAGCAUAAAUUCCUAAGGGGAAGUAAAGUUUGUUAUCGAAUUGAAGAUUAUCUAGCAAUUCAUUAGUGGAAUCCUCGAAGGUGUUAAACUUACAGUGUUCCAAUUCGCCUUCUUCGCAUUCGAACAGGGAAGAAUAGUUAUAUCAUUGGACCGGGGACUGCGCGGCCAGCCCCGUAGAAACAAGUUGUACAAGUUAGCCACAAGAAAUGGUGAUUUCCUUUUAGCAUAACAAAUGCUUAUGUAAUUUUUGAAAAUGGGAGGAAUAAAGUAAAAUUCUUUUAUUUCUAUCUUGUUUCUUGUCUAAACGAUGAAUUGAUUUUUUCAUUUGAAAGUUAAACAAGUACUUCAAAUGCUAGUGCCGUAAUGAACAGGAGACGUCCUCUUCAAGAUCAUUGUAAACAUAAGGGGGCCCUCUCUUAUGAAAACCCUCACGAUAAAGGGUUGAUUUCGGAAGACCUUGUGCCCAAAAUCCAAAUGCUUUUAGGAGGAAAUACACCCAAAGCCUUACAUAAUCAGGCGCAAACAGUAAAACUUGCGCAAAACACUCAAACAAGAAAGGAUACAAAGAUUAAACUUGCAUAAAUGUUCAACAAAUGAACGCAGAAAGACUCAUGCAAUACUUGAAAAAAGGUGUUUUAUUUACAAUAAAGGUUCCAAAAUGGCACAAGUACAAAAGUUGGGAAAAGAGAUGAAAAGCUAAGCUGUUGCAUCUCCUGAACCCGGAGGAAGAGAAGCAUCUAGGCCCCAGGAGAAAUGGGUAGAUCCGCCACCGGCUCAAUAUGACCUUCAUCAUUUUGGCCUUCAACAUCUCUGCCUUCCGGUUCCUCUUCAGUUCCUAAGAAUUCGUAACCGGAACCAGAAGAAUCAGAAGCAUCAGGUCUGGCCGGAAGACCCCUUUUAGCAGACUCCAGCUCACGGGCUUUAGCGAUUUCAGCAUCAAAGUCAAUGACACCCGUUUUAUCCUCUUUGAAGGUUUUUCUCCUCAUGUUAUAACAUACAUUUUUUCAACAACGAGGGAAGCCACUCGUUUCUUGAGUUCUUCUUUAAGUUGGUCAACCUCGGUAGAAAGAUUUUCCCGUGUGGAUCUAACUGACCAGAGGCUAACAUCGAGAUCACGGACAGUAGAGAUGAAAAGCCUAUUAUGCUCAAUGGUUGCUCUUAUACUUCUCCUCCAAUUGGGCAAAUUUCACCCCGGCAAUAGCAAGCUCUUCAGUUUUGGAGUUCAAGGUUGCUCCAAAUUAUUUAAUCUUUUAGCGGAGGCAGCCUCAUGAUCGGAUGCAGCAAGAACGUCACUAUGGACUUCAACCUAUUUGGCCUUAGCCUCUUCAAAUUGAACCCUCAAUGGGGCGAUCUAUUGGCUAAGGGUCUCUACUUCUUGCUCUCUUUGUUGCAAACAAGCCUCCAACACAAUAGCCUCAGUAGCUUUGGCUUCCAGUUCUGAGAGGCAAGCAGUAGUUUGGUCCCGCUCGGCCAAAAGUUGAUCCCGCUCGGAGGUAAGUUCCUCCUUAUCCCAAAUCAAACUUUGAAGGCCCUAGAAAGCAAGGUAUUGGCCUGCGAAACAAAAACGCCAAACUCAAAUUACUACUAAAUCAAGGAUAGAAGAGAGAACAAAGGAAAUAAAGAGUAUACCGUUGUGAAGUUGUGCAUAACAUUGUUCAACAAGAACUCUCCCGAGAGAGCUUUUAUUUUUUCCCAAUCUUUUUCUAAAUCCAAAGGCUCCAGAUAGUUAGCGAGUUCUACCGACAAGGAAAACAGAUUGCACCCGGCAAAGACAGAGAGCAUAACGCUCCUCCUCCUUUGCGUAUCUUCUGAGAAGGUGGCAUAAUUUUGCCCCAAGUUCCCAUGAAUUGGGGAUUGGGGAUAGGAACAUCCUCUUCUCGGACAGAUGCGGCCGAUGGAGAUGAUGUAGCAGUUGUUGGUUGAAGAAUCAGUGAAGACGAAGAUGAAGCUAAUGGUGUUGAAGGAGGAGAAGUGGUUGCGGCAAGCGCAAUGCUGGGUGUUGGUUACUCAUCAACCGAAGAAAGCAGGAACCCGGUACUCAAUCUCAUAGUAUCGGGUGCAGUGAUUGUGAUCCGAAAACGAAAUUGGCAUUUUCCACCAUCUCAAACUCCCCCUAGAGCGUCGAGGCAUCAUCCUCGGUUGGUAUAACUAAGUCAACAAAUUGAGUAGUCUGUUGAGCUGAGGAAGGUCGUCGUCUUCUGUGUAGAGAAGCCCCUCCUCGCUGGCUUCCCCAUCAUCGUCAAUCAUCACGAUGUCUAUGGUCGGCCCGGGCGGAGGACUCAUCACCACAACUUCCGGAGAUGACUUGAGAGUGGCAUUCUUCGCCCUAUUAUUCUUUCCCCCAUCUGCGGAGAAACGUCUUCUUUUUAGUGGCUUGUUCUCCGGCCGGAGACUCCGGGAAGAAGCACACGCACCAGAAGUAGGCCCGAAAAUGCCUUUCUGUGUAAAAGCCUCCUGCAGCAACCUCUCUGUGUCAGCAGGAUUAGCCAAAACGUCCUCCUCAAGGAUGACAACUGAGCCCUGGGUAGACCUGAAUCCAACAGGAGAGAAGAGUCAAACAACUUCCUUAUAUGAAAAGGUAAAAACAAGAUGAGUUCAACUUACCAUUAUUUUUGGUGUUCCACCCAUAUUUUAAGGAAAGUUCUUUCCACGUGUGGGUUUUGGGCAUAGUAACGUCCAAACUUUUCUAGACCCAAUGGUCCAAGCCCUCAACCCUAGGUGGAACCCACCGAGUCGCUGAAAAAGGUAAAGGAAGAAAGAGUCAGUAAUAAUGUGAAAUGAUCUUUAACAGAAGAAGAAACAAAUGAUAGACUUACAUGUGCGGUUCCAUAAUUUCGAGAAAGACGGAGUCAUGGCCGGGAUGAUGUCACUGGUGGCGACUGAAAUGAAUUGUUCUAUCCACCCACGAUUGUUGUCAUCAUCCAUGAUGGAUAGCAGUGCAUGGUGGCCACGAUUGCUGAAAUUUAUCAUUCCCCCGCGGAAGCUUUUGGGCGAAUAGAGGUUCAUCACUCGAGCUAAGGAUAUCUCUUCUCCUAUCUCCUGGCACUAGCACCGAAGGCAAGAGAUUGUCCUCCACACAGAGGGACUUACUUGUGCCAAGCACACCUAAUAGAUGAGGCAUAACUCCACAAUGACAUAGUGUAACAACCCGGACGGUCAUUUUGAGAGUUAUAGCCUCGUUCCCUUAUUUACUAUUCAUUCCCUAAUUAAAUUUUGUUAUGUGACUUGCCGGGGUAGUUGGCUCGGGUUCGGAGAGGUUUCGAAAUGAAUUGAGACACUUAGUCUCAAGGUUGAAAGUUUAAGUUGAAAAGAUUGACCGGAUAUCGACUUAUGUAUAGAUGAAUGUGGAAUGGAGUUUUGAUGGUUCUAUUAACUCUGUUGGGCGAUUUUGGACUUAGGAGCGUGUCCGAAUAGUAAUUUGGAGGUACGUGGUUGAUUUAGGCUUGAAAUGGCAAAAUUCGGAAAUUUAAAAGUUUGAUCGGGAGUGGACUUUAUGACUACCGGGCUCGGAUUUGGGUUCCGGGAGGUGGAGUAGAUUCGCGGUGUCAUUUGUGACUUGUGUUCAAAAUUUGAGGUCAAUCGGACGUGAUUUGAUAAGUUUCGGCGUCGUUUGUAGAAGUUGGAAUUUCUUAGUUUCAAUAGGAUUAAAUUAGGGUGUGAUUCGUGUUUUUGAUAUUGUUUGAUGUGAUUUGAGGGCUCGACUAAGUUCAUAUCGUGUUUUAGAAUUAUUGGUAUAAUUGGUUGAGUUCCCGGGGGCCUUGGGUGGAGUUCGGAUGGUUAACGGAUCGAAUUUGGAGUUUGAAAGAUUGUUGAAGUUGGGAGUCUUCUGGUGCAAUCGCACCUGUGGAGCUUUGGUCGUAGGUGCGAGCUCGCAGGUGCGAGCUCGCAGGUGUGAGAAAAGGAGCGCAAGUGCAUCCAUGGAAGGGUUGUGCAGUGGUCGUAGGCACGGAAGGAGUUCCACAGAUGCGGAUGUGCAUCUGCGCGAGGUUGACCGCAUAAGCGGAUUUGGCUAGGCAGCAAGGGCGUCGCAAAUGUAGAGAAGGCUCGCAGAUGCGGUCCUGCAGGUGCGAGGCUGGGACCGCGGGUGCGAUGGGUUGCCAGUUAAGUGGGUUCCGUAUGAGCGUGAUUUUUUCGCAAAAGCUGAUGCGUAGGUGCGAGCCCAGGCUCCACAUGUGCGGAAAUGCCUGGGGCAGUAUUUAAAUUCGAGGGUUUCCGAGAUUUUCUUCAUUUUAAACAUUUCAAGCUUAGGAUUUGGCGAUUUUGAGAGGAUGUUCGAGGGGUUUAUUGAGGUAAGUCACUUGUGGUUAAAUCUAUUCAAUAAUUAUGUUUUCCCAUUGAAUUUCUCACCUAGAUUGUGUGGUUUUGAGGUGUAAUUUGGGGGUUUGAGACUAGGGAUUUGGAGAGUUUAAAUUGGGGGUUUGGGUGUCGAUUUGGUGAUGGAUUUUGGUAAAUUUAGUAUGGUUGGACUUAUAGUGGAAUAAAUUUCUGGAUUUUGUGACUUCUAUUGGAUUCCGUGACGUGGGCCCGGGGCCGACUUUUGAGUGGACUUUUUGACUUUUAAUUAAAAGCUUAGUAAUUUCAUAUGGAAUUGAUUCCUUUAGCUCGUGUUGAUUGUAUCGAACUAUUUGUGGCUAGAUUCUUGGCAUUUGGAGGCCAUUUUGCGAGGCAAGAGCUUUUUGGAGUAGAGUUUCGUACGGUUUGAGGUGAGUAACACUUUUAAGCCUGGUUCUGAGGGUGUGAAACCCCGAAUUUCGUGUUAUGUGAUUAGUGUUGAGGUGACGCAUGUGCUAAGUGACGGGCAUGUAGACGUGCACAAUAAGAAUUGUAACUUGGUCGAUUCCAUGGAACUGAAAAGUUGUUAAAUCUUGUUGCUACCCGUAUUCUCACCAUGUGUUAGAUCUAUUGAGCUGUCAGUCAUGUUUGAAACCCUGCUUAGGCUAUAUGAUGGUACUAUUGGGACCCACAGUGGUCAUUUUUUGCUGUAGAACUAAUUGCUUAAUCUAUCAAUUUAUACUCAGUCACAGUUAUUACUUGCAUAUUAUGUCUCAGUCUCUGUUGUCUUUACAUAUUAUAUAAUAUCAUCAUUUGUAGGCUGAUUAUCAUGAUUCUGGUAAGCCCGAGAGACUAGAGAGAUUAUUGGCUGAGUGGAGCUGAGGUCCUAUUGUGAGUGAUAUUUAUGGGAUCGGGCUGCACACCGCAACAGGAUUUAUUGAUUGAUGCCAUGAUUUGGCUUAUUAUAGCGCUUGGGCUGGAUCGCCCCCUCCAUAGUCUGCACACCCACAGUGGGCGCAAUGCUAGCAGUUAUGACAUUUGGGUUGGAUAUGCCCUGUUUACUUGUAUUUGGGCUGGAUCAGCCCUGCUUUAUUUGCAUGUGGGCUGGAUCUGCCCUGUUAUAUGUUAAAUUUUGUUGUGAAAUCUGAAAGCAUGUCUAAGUUCUUAUUGAAAGCAUGUCUAAAUGCUUGUACCUUCACUUGCAGAAUAUAAAUAUCUGAGAUAUCAUUGUCAUAAUUUUUUAACUUUUCGUACUGUUAAAUGUUGAAAGUGGACCGUAAUAAUUGGACUUGUUACUAUUUUCAGUCUAAAGAUUAGAUUUUUUACUUAUUGAGUUGGUUGUACUCAUACUACACCAUGCACCUCGUGUACAGAUCCAGGUACUUCCUAUUACGGCGGUUGUUGAUUUGCAGAGGUCAAACUAUCGGAGAUCAUCGAGGUAGCUGCUUGGCAUUUCACAGACCUUGACUCUCCUCCCUUAUCUUUCAGUUUACUUAUUCAGUAUUACUCUUAGACAGUGUACCCGACUUUGUCUCUUCGUAGAUGCUAAUGUACUCAGUGACACCCCGAUUUUGGAAAGAAUUUAUGUAUUGAGUUAUGAUUUUCUAUCCUGUUUUAAGAGAUUUUCCUUUAUUUAAAUUGUUUUAGUAUCUGUUAAAGAUUUAAAGUGUUGGAAAUGUCUGAAUAGUUGGCUUGUUUAGUACCAUGAUAAGCGCCAUCACGACGGGUUGGUUUUGGGUCGUGACACGGAGUCAAGCUCCCGCUCAAAGAAAAUACUCCAAAAGUGAAGGAAUACGUGUAAAAGUAUGUAAAACCCUUCUUGGGUAAAGUUAUCUGCUCCACCAGAUCGGGAGAGAUAAUGUCCAAUUCUUGACAGUGGCAUUCUUCCUUCAUAGCAGGGAUACUGGAAGGACGGAUAGAAGAAGGAUAUACGUUAAUAGCCCACGUACGAGGGUGAGCAGAAGGGUAUUUUUCUUCGAAAUCUUUGGUGGUAAUAAGGUUCUUUGGGAUGAUGGUACUCAACGUAGGGGGAACAGCAUCAUCAGUUUUGCUUUUGUUCUUUAAAGAACUAGGGUUUCUUGAAGAGGGGGCCUUUUUUUUUAUCAGAAAGAGGGUUUUCUCUCAAAGAAGGAAGAUAAAGAAAGGUUAAAGUCGAAGUACGAGUUGAGUAAAGAAAGUUUUAGAAGAUUUAGAGUAUUAUGAAGUGUAAAUGAAGGAGGUUGAUGCAUAUAAGUAAAGGUAUAGGCGGCUAAACUCGUGGCCAUAAUUACCUCGAUAACCGACAAAAGUUAUGCUAAAUCAUGGGAUGACGCGUGUUCGGGGCAUUUAAUGCGAAGAGACAUGCGUCUAAUCAAUCGUCAGAAACCUUUUAGAGGGGUCAGUAAAUUUCCCGCCAAAAAGAAAGUUUCUACCAAGUUCCCAGUGACACAAAGGUAUGCCACUGAAAAGUAGGAGGACUAUAUGUAUAGGGUAAAAUAUGUUAUAUUAAAUGAUCGCAUGAGGAAAUGACACGUGGAGUCGAAGACAGAAGAUAGUUGAAACUAAAGGCAAGGAUCCCAUCUGUUACCGAAGAGAAAGAUACUCAUAAAGAUGAAAUAAAUGUCUGUCACCCGGUAUUAUUUAAUGAAGAAUAUUCUAUAGCAUUAAGUAUAUUGCCCGUUACAAGAAACAUGGCAUUCACUGCCCGUCAUUACACAUUCUUCAAUGACUCUCAUAAUUGACAUUAAAGAGGGGCUUGAUCCCGCGAUCUUGUUCCAUAGGUGCAGCUAUAAAUACUGAAUUCUAUUAUCAUUGUAAAGGACACAGAUUUUCUAGCAAACAUACGCUACACUCUAUUCAAAGCUUAAUAUAAUUUUAUCUUCUUGUUUUUUGAUAUCAUUGUUGUUGUGCCCGGAAGCCUUGCUCUCGGGAUUAUUAUUUCUGCUAUUUUGUCUCCAUCUCAAGGCUAAGUAUUAUAUUUUUAUCUAAUUCAUCUAUUAUUUCAGGAUCAAAUUAAUUCACUUAUCUAAAAAUCACGUAUAAAUUCAACUGUACCAUUUUACGGGUAAACAACAUAUAAUAAAAGUCAUAUAUGGAUAGAAGCACUAGGUCUACCGGAAAUAACUUACGUGCAACUGAUAAACACACCAAAGUAAUAAGGGGUCAUUUGUUUGGAGGAAUUAAAAAAAAGUUUAGAUAAAAAUCAACAUGAAAUAAAUAAAAACUUUUAGCUGAAGAGAUUAGAAAAUAAAAUUAAAUGGCUAUAAAGUGGAAAAUGCCUACAUAACUUUCUAAUUAUUAUUAUUAUUAUUAUUAUUAUUAUUAUUAUUAUUAUUAUUAUUAUUAUUAUUAUUAUUAUUAUUAUUAUUAUUAUCAUCGCCUAAUUUCACUGCAUAAUACUCCUCUGAUAAUUAUUAUUUGUCGAAUCGCGAUCUUUAAGAACAUGACAUGUAUCUGUAUACGGAAUUUAUCACCCAAUAAUCAUGACCCGUUAAUUUAUAUUCUUACCUUAAAUUAUUAAUGUCGGGUUUUAGUUCAAAAAUUGAGGUGAAUAGAAAAUGGAGGAAAAAAAUAAAAUUUUGAUUUUCACUCCUUUACAAAGGAACAAUAUCCCAUAUUGGCGGAGAAAAGCUCAUUUGUUAAGUAUAUAUAUAGUUGCACUUUUUCUAGCUCUUAAAGAGUUGAGAAGAAGUCAAGUCUUGCAUUGUCGUUGUUGGCUCGGCUUUGGAUUUGACCUGAUUGAUUAGUUUUUUUGACCAAAUUUAUUUGUUAAAUAGUUAAAUUAAAUUAGUAUUUCAAUCCAAAUCAACCGUUUACGUAAUGGUAAUUUGAAUUUCCUCUAGUUUGAGUUUUUCAUUUUAUUUUGCGUAAAUAGCCAUUUAUGUAAUAGUCGGUUUACGUGAACAAUCAUCAGGACGAGUUGCACCUCUUCGUUUGAACUCAACUGAACAAUCAUCAGGACGAGUUGCACCUCUUCGUUUGAACUCAACUUGUUGGCUAUAAAUCCCAAGCCAUUCCCUCAUAUUUUUCUUACAAAAAUUCUGAAUUCUCUUUCUUCCUUCUACAUUAUUUUUAACUUAAACAAAGCAACAAUAAGUAACUACCGAUUAUUUGUGUUCGCUGAAAUAUUGGGGUUUGAAGUACCGCUACACCAGCGUGUAAUCCGUUCUAUCCUGAGAGAAAAUAAUCCACAACCUCGGAUAUUAGGAGGGGAUUAAGUUCCUUAAUGAAACACUGUGAAUUCAAUGCGCUCGAAUUAAUUUCUAUUUCUUCUACCUUUCUGAUUUUAAGUUAUUUUUGUUAUUGCUUUACAAAUAGAUAAGACUAACAAUUAAUACUUAACAUUAAUAACUAAAUUUGAGAUUACAAUUUUCGGAUUAUCGGGAUACAAUGUAGUACCCUCACUUUUUCGAAAUAAAGUUAGCAUUCUUUAUUGGCGGCUAACAUAUUUUGCUUUUCUAUUUGAUGUAAAAAUAAAAAAGAUAAGCACACUCGGUAUUUGCAUAAUAAUAAUAAUAAUAAUAAUAAUAAUAAUAAUAAUAAUAAUAAUAAUAAUAAUAAUAAUAAUAAUAAUAAUAAUAAUAAUAAUAAUAAUAAUAAUAAUAAUAAUAACGAACAGAAAUAUGUCUUUUAAUUUGUGUAGUCAUUGUAUGCAAUGUUCAAAUUGAAAUAUUUUAAUCGAAAGACCAAAAACAGUAUGACGACCACACGGCUCUUUCAUAGAAAAUUUCGUGAUUCCUCUUUAAGUCUAAAUCAUGGAACAAAAAAAUAUCCAAGUGGAUAACUUUAUAUGGCUAUAAAUUUGAGCCUUGUUCCUGCUGUUUUUGUAUCAAUUUAGCUAACUAUUCUAGAAAGAGAAAGCAGCCAUGGUGUCCACUACCUCAAGUUUUCUACUUCUUGUUCUUGUUUCUUCUUCCUUCUUUGUAAUAGAAGCUCAGAUACCUGCUCCAGUGAAAGGUCUUUCAUGGAAAUUUUAUGAAUCUAGUUGCCCUCAGCUUGAAUCCAUUAUUCGGAAGAGGCUUCAAAAGCAGAUCAAAGAUGAUGUUGGUCAAGCUGCCGGUUUACUUCGCCUUCAUUUCCAUGAUUGCUUUGUUCAGGUAAUUUUAUUUAUUUUUUGAAAUGUUUGUAUUUAUUAAUAUAUAUGGUCAUGAUUAAAAAAAAACUACCUUUUAAUUAGUUAUCUUUGAUAUAGUGAUAUUUAAAAGUAGAUUAAUUUCAUUAUUGGUAAAUAUACAUUAUUGUAGGGAUGUGAUGGUUCGGUUUUGCUAGAUGGUUCAGCAGGAGGGCCAAGCGAACAGACUGCAAUUCCUAAUUUGACCCUAAGAAAGAGAUCAUUCAAGAUUAUUGAUGAUCUUAGGAAAAGGGUUCACGAUGCAUGUGGGAAAGUUGUGUCUUGCUCUGACAUUACAGCUAUUGCUGCUAGGGACUCUGUUGUCUUGGUAAGACCAAAAUUACCAUUUAGUCCAUGCUAAUCUUGCUUUAGAUCAUGUUAGUUUAUUUUUACUAAUCAGAAACUCUUCAUUUAAUUUUCAUAACUAUAUUUAUAUAAUUGAGCAACUCACUCUUAACUACUUCUAUUAUAUGUACCUAUAAGUUAAGUUAGACUCAUUUGUUAACGGCCUAGGAAAUUGAUUCACUCCUCAUUCUCUUGCAUAAAUAAAGCUAGCUAUGGGCCGGAGCUGCAACACGUUCUUUAAAACCUAGUAGCUUUUGUCUAAAUUAUUUAUUUGUUUUAAAGAAUGCAUCGAAUAGUACUAUUAAUUAAUUUGAUAGUAGCUUAAUUUACUAUCAAUAACUUAAUUAAUUACUUAUGAGAUUAUGUUCCUUUCAGACCGGUGGGCCCAACUACAAUGUGCCCUUAGGAAGAAAAGACGGACGGACCUUUGCAACAGAACAAGCAACCUUAGACAACCUUGUUGCACCAUUUGCCAACACUACAGUCGUCCUCAGUCGCCUUGCAACCAAGGGUUUAGACGCCACCGACGCCGUCGCUCUAUCCGGGGCCCACACCAUCGGAAUCAGCCACUGCACUUCCUUCACCGACCGUCUCUUCCCUAACCAAGACCCAACCAUGGACCAAACAUUCGCUAACAACCUUAAAACCAGUUGUCCAACCGCGAACUCCAACAACACUGUCGACAUGGAUAUCCGAACUCCUAAUUUAUUUGAUAACAAAUACUAUGUUGAUCUCAUG
This 141200-nucleotide long non-coding RNA is filed under the name Nicotiana tabacum (common tobacco). RNAcentral's name for it is "long non-coding RNA (NTAB_LNC000018)". Lineage: Eukaryota; Viridiplantae; Streptophyta; Magnoliopsida; Solanales; Solanaceae. The record is from RNAcentral.